RNAcentral lists this long non-coding RNA (95615 nucleotides) under Pelobates cultripes (western spadefoot toad). Lineage: Eukaryota; Metazoa; Chordata; Amphibia; Anura; Pelobatidae. The record is from RNAcentral.
ACAAAAGAAAAUCAGGUUGUUUUUUUUUGUCGCAUUUCUGAUAGACGCCUUACACGCAGGGAAGGGCAGUGUGUGAGGGAGGGCUGAGGGAGAUCGGGUCAUAGGCACGUUAUUUAUUUUAUUCCUAGUCCUAGAAUGGCUAAGUAUGGAGAUAAUGUAAACCAAGGUUCAGGGGCCAUUAUGGCAUAUCAGGAAUAGUAUAUAACUGGGUGAUCCUCUCUGACUUGGGGGGAGGAGGGAGAGGUUGGUUGGGCUACUAUUAUGCAGCAAUGAUAACUGCAUUGGUUCUUGUGCUACCUUGAAUUGGAAAUAACCUGAUUUUUUUUUUUUAUCCUAAUAGGGAUCAGUUUGAGUUCCUGUGUGAUUGGAGGCCAGGCCAAUUUUGUGAAUAUUGCCAUCUCUAACUUUCAGUCAUAUUAUGACAAAAACAGUAUCUUACCUUAAAGGACCACUAUAGUGCCAUGAAAACAUACUCGUUUUCCUGGCACUUUAGUGCCCUGAGGGUGCCCCCACCCUCAGAGAUCCCCUCCUGCCAGGCACUAGGGGGUGGAAGGGGUUAAACUUACCUCUUUCUGCAGCUCCGGGUGGGGGACUCUCCUCCUCCUCGGCUGCAUGUGCGGCAGGAGCCGCGUGCGCAUUCAGCCAGUCCAUAGGAAAGCAUUCACAAUGCUUUCCUAUGGACGCUGGCGUCUUCUCACUGUGAAAAUUACAGUGAGAAGCGCCUCUAGCGGCUGUCAAUGAGACAGCCACUAGAGGCUGGAUUGACCCUGUUAUAAAAAUAGCAGUUUCUUUGGGUGCCAGGUCCCUCUAGGGUUAACCCUGCCUGCUGUAAAAUAGCAUUUUCAGAGAAACUGCUAUGUUUACCUAUGGGUUAAUCCAGCCUUUUGUGGCUGUCUCAUUCACAGCCACUAGAGGCACUUCUCACUGUGAAAAAUCACAGUGAGAAGACGCCAGCAUCCAUAGGAAAGCAUUGAGAAUGCUCUCCUAUGGACUGACUGAAUGCACGCGCGGCUCUUGCUGCGCAUUCAGCCGAUGAAGGAGGAGGAGAGUCCCCGGCUCUGGAGAAAGGUAAGUUCUUUAACCCCUUCCUCCCACUUCAGCCCGGCGGGAGGGAUCUCCACGCAUGCUUAAACUCCUUAACUAUGUUAACCUCUACCACUUCAGCUAGAAGGCUAUUCCAUGCAUCCACUACCCUCUCAUUAAAGUAAUACUUCCUGAUAUUAUUUUUAAACCUUUGCCCCUCUAAUUUAAGACUGUCCUUUUGUUGUGGUAGUUUUUCUUCUUCUAAAUAUGGUCUCCUCCUUUACUGUGUUGAUUCCCUUUAUGUAUUUAAAUGUUUCUAUCAUAUCCCCCCUGUCUCGUCUUUCCUCAAAGCUAUACAUGUUAAGAUCCUUUAACCUUUCCUGGUAAGUUUUAUCCUGCAAUCCAUGAACCAGUUUAGUAGCCCUUCUCUGAACUCUCUCUAAAGUAUCAACAUCCUUCUGGAGAUAAGGUCUCCAGUACUGUGUACAAUACUCCAAGUGAGGUCUCACCAGUGUUCUGUACAAUGGCAUGAGCACUUCUCUCUUGCUACUGCUAAUACCUCUCCAUAUACAAGCAAUCUGCUAGCAUCAGUGGCGUACACAUGACCCAUGGGGCCCAGGUGCGAAAACUGAUGCGCUGGCCGGGCCGCAACACAUGGCGGUGGGCACCUGGUCGCAGGGGUUACAGGACUGCGACCGCAGUGGGUACGCCAGUGCAUGCAGAUGCACGCACACUUAAAGGACCACUACAGACACCCAGAUCACAUCAGCUCAAUGAAGUUGUCUGGGUGUCAGGUCACUCUAGUUUUAACCCUGGAGCUGAAAACAUAGUUUCGGAGAAACUGUUUCACUGAGGGUUAAUCCAGCCUGUAGUGGCUGUCUCACUGACAGCCGCUAGAGGAGCACACUGAAGGUCCAUAGGAAAGAAUUGAGUAAUGCUUUCCUAUGGGCGGUUUGAAUGCGUGCGCGGUCACAUUCGGAGCAGAGAGGGUGAGGGAUCCCCAACGCCAAGGGAGUCCGGCGUUGGAGAAAGGUAAGUGCUGAAGACACACACACUCUCACAGACGCAUACACAUUAGCUAACAGACACACACAUUUACUGACAGAGACACACUCAGCGACAGACAUACAUACAUACAUACACACACACUCACUUACAAAACAUACUCUCAUUGACAAACACACCCUCACUAACAGACAUCAAACAGACUCACUAAGACACACACAGUAACACACUCACUAGCAGACACACACACUCUCACACUCACUCUAACACUCACACACGUUUUUUUUUUAAAUGUAAUCCUCCCAGCCUCCUUAAGUUUUGGAGUGCUGGGGGGAUUCCCUGGGGUCCAGUGGUGCUGCUGGGCUCCUGGGCGGGUGGCCGGUCGGGCGCGCGAGGGAGCACUGAGUGCUUCCUCUUCAGCUCCCUCGCGCACUGAGUGCUCCCUCGCGCGCCCGCCUGCCCGCCCGACCGGCCACCCGCCUGCCGGGUGACAGCAGGGCCAGCCUCAUGGGGCCCUAAGGUGGCCGCCUCCUGGGCCCCCCAUGGGAAGAGGCUGGCCCAGUGGGUACACACCGGGUCGCAGGGGCGGCCGGGCCCAGUCACAGCUGCGACCCUGGUAUGUACGCCACUGGCUAGCAUUUCCUGCUGCUCUAUUGCAUUGUCUGUCUAACUUUAAGUCAUCAGAAAUAAUCACCCCUAAAUCCCUUUCUUCAGAAGUUGAGGUUAGGACUCUAUCAAAUAUUCUGUACUCUGCCCUUGGGUUUUUUUACAUCCAAAAUGCAGUAUCUUGCACUUAUCCACAUUAAAUGUCAGUUGCCACAAUUUUUCUAGUUUACCUAAAUCAUUUGCCAUUUGGCUUAUCUCUCCUGGAACAUCAACCCUGUUACAUAUCUUAGUAUCAUCAGCAAAACGACACCCUUUACCAUCAAGACCUUCUGCAAUAUCACUAAUAAAAAUAUGAAAGAGAAUGGGUCCAAGUACAGAUCCCUGAGGUACUCUACUGGUGACAAACCCAUGCUACGAAUAUGCUCCAUUGACUACAACCCUCUGUUGCCUGUCACUCAGCCACUGCCUUACCCAUUCAACAAUAUUGGAAUCCAAACUUAAAGAUUGCAGUUUAUUGAUAAGCCUUCUAUGUGCAACAGUGUCAAAAGCCGUACUGAAAUCUAGGUAAGCAAUGUCUACUGCACCACCCUGAUCUAUUAUUUUAGUUACCCAAUCAAAAAAAUCAAUAAGAUUAGUUUGGCAUGAUCUUCUUGAAGUAAACACAUGCUUCUCUGAUCUUGAAAUCCAUGUGAUUUUAGAUGUUCAACAAUCCUAUCCUUUAAAAUGAUUUCCAUUACUUUCCCCACUACGGCAGUAAGGCUUACUGGCCUAUAGUUGCCUGACUCCUCCCUACUACCUUUCUUGUGAAUGGGCACAACAUUCGCUAAAUUCCAAUCUUCUGGGACUACUGUUAAAAGGCCAUUAUAGUGCCAGGAAAAAUAUAGGUCCCCCCUACCCUCAUGGCCCCCCUCCCGCCGGGCUGAAGGGGUUAAACUCUUACCUUUCUCCAGCGCCGGGCUCCCUCGGAACUGGGGAACUCUACUCCCUCUCCCGACGUCAGCUGUGAAUGCACAUGCGCGGCAAGAGCUUAAGUUACAUCUGAUUAAAAAUGAAACCAUUUUGUUUUCCUGACGGUGAAUUGAGCAGUGAAACUUCAGAGGCAUGGUCUAUACACAAAAUCCUUUAUUGACCCUGUAACUUUCCAAAACACCAUAAAACCUGUACAUGGGGGGUAUUGUUAUACUUGGGAGACUUCGCUGUCCACAAAUAUGAGUUUUUCAAACAGUAAAACCUAUAAAUCACCAGUAAAAGUGCAGUUUUUGUGUAAAAAAAAAAUGAAAAAACUAAUAUGAACGCUAACUUUGGCAAGCGUUUGUGACUAAGUGGCUACUACAAAAGACUGGACAUACCCCAUUUUGAACACCGUGGGUUGUCUACUUUUACAAAUGGUAUGUCAUUAUGGGGUUAAUUUUCAUUCCAAUCUAGCAAAUUUCAAUGUGCGAAAAGGGAAAAGCCUUACAUUUGACCCCUGUAAGUUUGAAGAAACUCAUAAAACCUGUACAGUGAGGGCACUGUUGUACUUUGGAGAUGUUGCUGAACACAUAUUGGGGUGUUCUUUGUCAGUUGCCCCACUUCAAAAAUGUCCCAAAUAGGACAUGGGUGCAUGAUGACCAGCUGUGAAAAUUCCAAGUUGGAAAACUGGAAUGAGCACCCUCCAAAUAAGGUCUUUUAGCCCCCAAAGAACCCAGCACACCUGCACAUGGGUGGUAUCACUGUACUCAGGAGAUAUUGCUGAACACAUAUUGAGGUGUUCUUUGGCAGCAAUACAUAACAGGAACUGAGAAUCCAUGCCUAAAAUACGUGUGUGAAAAAAAAAUGACUACCCAAAAGUUUGACAAAGACUGUUGGUGGAAUUAGUGCAUGGAAAGUGUUAAAAUACCACCAGUUGAAAUACCCUAAGGUGUGUACUUUUCAAAAAUAUAUGGUUUGAUGGGGGUAAAUUACACUGACCGGCUUAAAAAAUGUCCCAAAUAGGACAUGGGUGCAUGAUGACCAUCUGUGAAAAUUCCAAGUUGGAAAACUGGAAUGCGCACCCUCCAAAUAAUGUUUUUUAGCCCCCAGAGACCCCGACACACCUAUUCAUGGAGGUAUCAGUGUACUCAAGAGAUGUUUCUGAACACCUAAUGGGAUGUUCUUGGGCAGUAACCCUUAAAGUUCUCCGUACAUGUAUUCUUUAAAUGCUAUGUGUGUCAAAAAAAUCACCAAUUAUUUUUUUUGUUUUCAAUUUGGCAUAGAUUGGUGGUAAAAUGGUUGCAUGAAAAGAGUCAAAAUACCCUGAGUUUAAUACCUUAGGUUGUCUUCUUUAAAAAAAAUAUAUACAUGUGAAGGGUUAUUCAGGGAUUCCUGACAGAUAUCAGUCUUACAACAUGACUUGCGUUAAUUUUGAAAAAAAUGGUUUGGAAAUAGCAAAGUGCUAUUUAUACUUAUUGCCCUAUAACUUGCAAAAAAAGCUAAGAACAUGUUAACACUGGGUAUUUCUAAAAUCAGGACAACAUUUAGAAACUAUUUAGCACGGGCAUUUUUUGGCGGUUGUAGAUGCGCAACAGAUUUUGGGGGUCAAAGUUAGAAAAGGUGUGGGUUUUUUUUAAUUUUUCAUCGUAUUUUAUAAUUUAUUUUAUAAUAAAUUAUAUGAUAUGAUGAAAAUAAUGGUAUCUUUAGAACGGUAUAUAAUAUGUGUGGGUACAGUAAAUGAGUAAAAGGAAAAUUACAGCUAAACACAAACACCGCAGAAAUGUAAAAGAGCCCUGGUGCUUAACGGUACGAAAAUUGAAAAAUGGUCUGGUCACAUUUGCAGAAAUAAAAUGGGUGGUUGGCUCUAAACUUUAUAUUGUGUGUCUGAACUGUCACAGCUUCUAUCACUAAGGGAUUAAUUGGGGGGGAGGAGGGAGGAAUAAGAGAUGGGUUACUAAUUUUUGACAGGCUACUGUACCUGCAGAUUUGUCAGAGUGGAGAUAUCUAUAUAAUUAGUUACAUGGCUAUCUGCAUUAGGCCACUGUAAGCAUAUGUUGCGUUCCACGGCAUAAUGCGGAAGUAAAUUGGCCUGAUUGCACUGAUUAAGACUGUGGAACGCAUGUGCGUUCCAAUGAAGAAAAAGGAAGUGGAAUAGUAUAACUGUAUGAUGGAAGCACGCGCGCACGCACGUAAUUGACGCACGCACGCACGCAUGUACGUGCGUUCCAACCAGUGCGGCGUGCGUUCCACGGAGCCAACUUCCGGUCCGACAGAUGCCGGCAAUUUCAUCAUUUGGACUUGUAUAAAAGAACAAGAGGAUAUACUACAGACAUACCAACUGAGGAAGCCAGUUUAACUGGCGAAACGCGUUUUGGGAGUACUUUGGAAUCAUUCCAAGUAUUUUGAUUCAUUUUUAUUCUAUUUUAUAAUAUAUUUUAAAGUUUAAGCUUUUAUACAAUAAAUUUUGUUUACACCGUCCUGUGGAGUCUGCAAUUCCAUUCCUACUCAUAUGUAAGGAGGAAGACAUCAGGAGGAACAUAAAGAGGGUGGUGGAUCUCCCCUAGAAGAUCCUAAGGCGCUUACCACUAGAGCCAAGUGUUCUUUUGGCUCCACCUUUGUGAGUUACCCAUUUCAUAGUUAUUACUUAUCCUAUUCAUUUGUAAUUAUUGUCUACACUUAGAUCUGUUACCAUUUAUUCACAGAUUUUUUGACAAUAUUUGUCUCCCACAUCUUUAUAUUACUGUUCAUACAGGUAAUCCAGAGCUCCACUUAUAUUUUGUUUUAUUCACUGUAAGCAAGAGACAGGGAGUUAUAUCACUGUGGCAGUGAUCACUCAGAUCACACUGCUGCUAUUCUCUGCAGCCCGCAGCAGCUCUCACACAGCUGAGCAUUACCGUGGCAACCAAUGACGCUCCAAUUGUAACCCGAGCUGUUGCGUCCUGGAGAGAUGAAGGGGGGCAAGCUUUACAUGAGUAAGGGUCCAAUUUAGAGCUAGUUUCAGCUUUAAUUAUGCAUAGUUAAAGGAACCUAACUCUAAGUACUAGUGGAGCUUGGUCUAAGAAUCUGCCAGCUGACUUGUAGCUAGCCGAUCUAAUGUAAAUAGCUCAGUAACUUAUUAAGCUACAGUGCUAUUUGCACUCUGAUAGUUCUGUUUAUUAAAACAGAUUGUCAGGGUAAAACUAUUUUCACCUGAUCCUUUCUAAAGCUGCAGGAGGGGGAGGAAAGCCCUGCAAGAAAAAAACAAAACGUGCACACUCUCUCUCUCCAACGCAGUCAAAAUAUAUACUAAGACAAAGUGUGGACUGCUUAGUCUUUUUUUAAAGUUUGUUAAAAAGGCAGAGCUACCUUUUGUCAAGCCCCAAGCCAUCACUAUUGAUGGCUGAGGGGGAAAAAAAAGCUCUCUCUAUGGAGGAUUCUGCAACCUUGUGGGAUCCUCCAUAGGCCUUAGUUUUGUCAUUUUACACAUGCGUGAGAGUACAACGCUUACGAGGGCUUCUAGCAGCUGAAGUGCCAGGAGCUGAAGAGGACCAGCAGAAAGAAUAUUACCUUAUUUUCAUAAAUCAUAACAUUCAGUCAAUGAGCAGUGUGCUCAAAGUGAGGUGGCCAGCACAUCUGCCAGCCUGAGAAGCAUGCAUUCAUGCCAGACUGGUAUGUCUGUUUUAGGCAGGUGCAGGUUCUUUGGCAUCAUCAGUGAUACAAUCCAUGUCAUUGGCAUGCCUCCUCUAGGCCCACUUCAACCUGUACCGGGUUCCAUACCUUCCAAUGCUGGAAGGUAUGUGUGCAACAACAGGGGAUCUACCUUUUGGCCACCCUUAUUUAACUCUUGACAUUUUACUUUCAGAAUCACUGCUACAAUAGGUAGGUCUGAGUUUUCCCAAAUUGGCCUAUUUAGCUUAAAUGUCACAAGUAGGUAGUUAAUUGUAAAUAUUUUGUUAAUAAACCAAUUUAUUUUACAGUAGGCUGCUGCUUUGUGUUGAUUUGGACAACUGCCUGAUGAUGUCAAACUCCUAACUCCCAAAGUUCUGCUAGCAUCAAGUGAGCUGUUUUUAUCCGAGACUGACUUGGCAGCUUUAACGUUUCCAUUAAUGUAUUGCUUUAGUAAUAGCAUUUUAAAAAUGGCCCGUUGCCAGCCUUCCAGGAACAUUAAGUUUAGUUCUUCAUAGUUAAGGUGGCUAGAUAUGCAUAUUAAUCUGGGAUCUAUACAGAAAAAGCACACAGUGGGUCAGUAUCCACUUUAGGGCUUGUCUGCAUUAGGUAUUUUCUAGAGAUUUCACAAAUGAAAAUGCAGCAUAGCAUAUUUCUUUUGGGAAAUGUAACUGCCAGAUGGCCUAGUCCUCUAUGCCGUCAAGGUCAAAAAGAGCUGGUGGGAAAUCAAUAAGGAUAUUAUUAUAUUGUAGAAUAUAUGGUCUAUUUUGUAGAAUUGGACAAUCAGAGGAUAAUACUGACACAACCUGCAUGAAAACAAAAUGGUUUAAAUUCAAUGAGAUGUUAACUUACUUUAGUAAGUAUUUAUUUUAUGUCUGUAAAUUGAAAUUUAAGCACAUACAGGAGACUUAAGGUCUAGCAAACUAUUAACAGUGCAGGAGAUAAGAAAUUCUAAAUGAAACAGUUUGUGCAAUAAAGGAAAUGCAAACAUUAAAUCUUACAUUACAGGAAGUGUUUUGGAAGGUUGUGCAAAUUGCAUGCAGGAAGGUGUAACAAAGGCUGGAUAAACUAAGUAAUUUAACUUAUAAAUGGCAGAGAAUUAAGCAACUAGACUGCAGGGGCAUGAUCUAUACACCAAAACUGCUUCAUUAAGCAAACGUUGUGUUGGUGACUAUAGUAUCCCUUUAAGAGUUGAAUUAUACCCCAGUAUGUUGUGACUCUGGAGUGUACUUGCAUUAUUAAAUUGGGAAAUACAUUUAUGUGUGCUCAGAGAGCUCUUUUAAUUGCUCAAAUAUUCUUUGGCAAUCUCAGGUCAAUGGCUUAAAUACAUGUCCAACAUUAUUACAGACAGUUAUUCAGUAAACACAUUUUUGUUAUCUGGAUUUACAAUAUCCUGUAAAAAUGCCUGAAUUCCAACUGCAAUGGCUAUUCUCAUUUUUACUAGAGCUAAUUCUAGUCGGAAUUCGGUCAAAGUUGGCUUUUCAGUAACUGGUUUAAAAUCGAUGCUUUUCACAUCUAAAUUUUGUACAAAUGAUAGGAUUCUAAAUAUGUACGAGCACCAAUUUUCAGCACAAUGGAGACAGAAUGCAUCCAGCAGAAUGCACAUUCACAAAUUAUAGUUCGCUUGCUUUUAGCACUAGCAACCAGCAGGUAAAUAGUUAGAAAUCCUACAGCAGUUCAAGGGAUCACCAUGCGGUGGCUGGUCAGGGUUUGCAUUAAAAAAAGGUUAAUGAUCCCCCUCAUAGUAUAAGGCAGGUGGGGGCACGUUUACUAAACACUGAGCAGCCAGCUGCUGCUCAGCAUACAGAAUGUGAGAGCACUACUUCAUUACAAUCACUCAGUUGCUGCCCAGAAGCUAAAAGGCACCAUCUCAUGGAAAUGGCUCCUUUAAAAUAAUGGGGCGGGACCUGUUCCAUGAGUCUGUGCCCCUAAUAAUGUGUCCACCCACAUGCCUCCACACUGACAGAGUUUUUCAUGUUCAGAUUGUUAACAAUUCAAGGUGAUUUUAACAUUUUGGGCCAGGAUAGCAAGAGAAAAUUGUAAGAAAAAAAAUAAUACUUCUGUCAUCUGUGGUUUUGUUUUGGCUUUUUCAGCUUAAAUCUUCAAAUUCUCAAAUCAUUAUAGAUUUUUCACACUUUAGUGAAGGACAUUGUCAACAACUUAAAGUCCAAAUGGCAACAUUGAAGCUAAAAUGAUAAAGCUGUGACCAUUGCUGAAUUGGGAAUGUGCCCAGAUCAGCUAUUUUUUCUAAACUGUGCCAUGAGGAUUUUCCUACAAAUAGGAGUUUGGUGAAUAAACCCCUAUAAGUUUAAAGCAGAGGAUGUGGGUUUUUAUACCCAAGCUAAAAGAAAAAGUAGCAUCACAUUCAAGUCUCAUUAAAAGUAAAUUUACAUUAUGUCAUCUAGAAAAGAGGCAUUAUCUAGAUUGCACGAAUCACUUAAAACCCUAUUCCUCUUUGUCUUGUUUGUAGUUACAGGGCCAUUUUAAGCACCAUAACCACUACCGGCUCAUUGUUUAGCGUUAAACACAUUUUUAAUAGUUUGACAUUUAUCUGGGUACUUGAGAUGCAGGAAUUUUUUUCAAGAUAUUACUGUGGAAUUUCCUACUUUGGCAAUUAUUGGUAGUUAAUCCUCAUCCAAUGAAUUCUUUCCAGUUAGGACAACACUGAUAUUUCUAAAGUGAAAUAAGAACUUCUAUUCUAGUGAUGUCUGAAGACAGGUUGGACCAUGGGUGUCGGGACCCUGGAAAGUGUCAUUCCGUUUGAAAACAUUUUGACUCUUAACAGUGUUAAGAAACCAGAGAGCUAAAUUGGUUGUGGUACUUGAAGUGCUCCUUUAAAACCUGUUUCUGAUUUUUGUAUGCUAGUCUGCUGUUUGCAUAGUAUUCAGAAUAAUGCAAGAAUAUCAUAAAUGAAAGAUUACAGUGGGCAUCUAAAAAAUUCACACUCUGCAAAAAAAAAUAUACCAUCUAUAAAAAUAGCUGUAUUGAGUCCUAUAACAUUAUAGCACAAAUAAUAGUUUGCAGUGUGCAUGAAUCUCCUGUCUAGAUCACAUUACGUGUUCUCCACAUUUCUCUCUUCUUUUUUUUCUGGUUUGUUUUGAGCAGAAGAAUGGUGUUUCUAAAUUGGGCCAAUGAAAGCACAGAGGUGUUUCAUAUAGAGCCAAUCUGGUUAAGAGAAGCCUCUGCAGCAGUUCCCUGUCACACAGAGGGAGUGGUGGAUAGGCAGAGAAAAGAGGUAGGAAGAUGCUGCAGGUUUCAGCUUUUUGUAAAUGUUGUGAAUACGUUUGCCAUGCAUGACUUUUCAGGCCGCUCCUUUAUGCAAACUAGAACUGAAAAGUCUUUGUUGUCCUGCUAUGUUUCAGGAGAGGAUCCAAUAAAUGAUUAUUUCUUUCACUGUAGAAGCUGAUGAACUGAGCCUGCAUUAAACAUACUGCGACACUGAAGAAAGGAGAAGACUCACUCACAUCAUCUUUUACCGCAGGCAAGUAAAUGCUUAAAUAUUUUAAGCGUCAAAUCUAGAGCAUUAUUGCACCCAUGUAAGAGGAAUUGUAUAUAGUUAUGUGGUGCGGAAGCUUUCCAAAAAAUAUGCUAAUAGCCUAAGCCCUUAGCUACGCUUGCAGAUACAUUUUUGCAUUGGAAAAUACUGCGUAUUGGGCAGGCAUAAACCAUGUAGUUUAUGGGGAGAUUUGGGAGGCGUAGCUGUUGAGUCAUAGAGUUGGUAGCUCAACUGUGCUGAAAUUAGGAGGCUGUCAAGGAUUGAUGCCUGCAAGAUGUUCCUGGAAAGCACAGUUGCCUGCCCCCCAUCUUUUUCAAACAAUAAUCACUGUUUUAUCCUUUCUAUGAAUAAAAAAAAAAAACAACAUAUAUAAUACAAGCUAAAAAAUACGAGUGCUUCUUGGCAAAUCAGUGUCAGAUAUAAUUCUUAUCACCUUUUCAUUUUUGUAACAAAAGAACUGCGUGCAACAUUAAAUCCUCAUGUGGAAGGGGUGGAGCUAAACUAUUGGGUUAUGGGAAAUAUUUUUUUAAGGUAUUGCGCAGAGGAUGUUAACAUUACUAAUAUAGUCCUUAGGCACGACUGAAUGUUAAUUCUUCAUUUUUGUGAUUUCAUAGUGUGGGUAUUAUAUUAUGACACCUUUAAGCAGUUCUGCAUACACCCCCAAUCACUGUGCAGAAUUACAGCAACACACUCUUAGCAAAGUACAUUAGCUAACCGAAACUGUAGUGCUUUUCCUCUGGAUGUAAAAAGGAGGCGACAUAGGGGAAAUAAAGUAGGGCCUUUUUUUUUUUUUUUAUAAGAGGCAGGUGCAAAGUGAGCAUUGAUUCAAGUAAAAUCCUAUGCAGGAAGUUAACACUGAUUCUGCCAACCAUCUGCAGGCUGGCAUAGAAAGGGUUGCACUGAAUAUGAGAAACAUAUCAGGUGUGUGCUCUGCAGUACAAAAGCACCUAACUCGGUCGCCAUGUUGGGUUUACGCCUCGACUAUAAAAAUAUCUGCAAACAAAACAUAUAAUACAAUGUUUGCAAAAGUAAUACAUUAUACGAAUAAAGCAGUAUAGUAUUAUAUGUCAUUCACACCUUGAAAUUCCAUUACAUUCUUUGAUAUUUGGUUAGUGUUUGCUUUCAUUGUACCGAUUCUUUGUCCUUUGUGAUGUAGCAGAGAGAGAUAAUCUUAUUUCAUUCCAUGUGUGAUUGGAUAAUGUGAUCACUAGUACUUGCACUGACUGUAGAGGAAAUCUAUAAGGCUUAUUGUACCACUGUCCAUUUGCUCGGUGUUCCUUUAGUGUUCUACAAAUAAAAUUAGACCCUUGACUACUUUCAAGGCGUAGCAGCAAUAAACAAUAUGUUUUGUGUUUGCAUGUACAUUCUAUGAAUUAGAUUUUUAUUUAUUAGUUUUUUUUUUACCAAUAAAAUAUUUUUUUGACUUUGUUUUCUCUUAUUUCUAGGGAAUUGGUAUGACAAUGUUUAAAUUUCAAAUGGAUCACAGCCUGUGCAUCCAAGGAUCUUAACAUUUCCCAGCUGCUCCACACCCACUCUCAAAAUACUACUGUCGAUUCACUAUUGAUAUCAAAGCUGGAGAUAGUAUUAAACAUUACAUUGUUCUUGGCUACCAGCAGCCGAUGCAGGAUGUUCUCAAUGAAAAAAAACACGAAAUUGCUUUGGCUUUGUAAAUUAUAAUGUCUGGUUCAGUACUCUACAAGCCAAAAGUCAAAUGUUGCUUUAACAUUUUAACACUCAAUGUAGAUUAAUUUUAAGCAAGUCCAUAAGAGCAACAUGGGUGGUUAAGAUUCUUUUCUUAUGACAUAUAAUGUGACACAUUAAUUUAUUAUCUACUUCCUUGUAUUUGUGGCAAUGCAAAGCAAAGUCCUGGUAAUUCUUACCAAUCUAUAUACUGCCUCGUUGCUCUGGAACAUUACAAGCCAAUGGAUUUCCAAGAAUGUUCUUGUGUUUUGUGGGAACACAGAAACUUGCAGACAGACAAUUUGCAGACAUUUCUGACUUGUUAUAGAAAUAAAUCCCCAGUAUGGAAAUGUGGAAUGCCUUAUGUAUCAGUGCUUUUACAGACAGUUUUGAUAAAUAGCUGGACAUGGUUUCAUUAAAGUAGUGCAGAUUUUUUUUUUAAAGGUGGUAUAGAUGUCGAUAAUAAAAGUGUGUUGGUCCAGGGACAAAUCUUGUCUUUUAGGAAGAAUGAUUAGAAGGUUGAUUUUUUUUUUUCCCCUUCACUAUAGCAGUAUAACCCUUGAGCAUGUGUUUUUGCUUCUUUUGGAUUAACAGCCUCAGCAAGAAUAUGUGAAAGGUUGACUUAUUUUUUAAGUGUUUUAAAUGUUAUGAUCGCAUUCCUGCUCAGAUUGUGCUGGACAUUUAUAUGCGUCUUGUAGAUAGUUUAUGCUUUAAUAAAAAAGUUUCGUUUUUUUCUUGCCUAGGCUCAAAUCUGACUUUUAUGACGCUGAUAGCAAUCAGAAAGUGGCUGGAUAGUCCCAGCCAAUCUCUAAGCUCCUGCUGGUACCAACGAUAGAAGAACUGCAAGAAUGAGAUAAUGCCAUGCAUAUAUUAUGUAACUCAAAAGAAGCCACUCAUAAAUGCACAGUACACCUGUGAUGGCUUUCAAUGACGUUAACGGAAUGCAUGUAAUUACUUUUGAUUUAGGUUCGGAAGGCUGAGAGUGCAGUGACUUUAUUAUAUAUUUUGUUAAUUGGACAAGCACAUGCCUAGAUACAGUUUAAUGUUAUGUUUAGGAUUGUGAUAUACAAAUCAUACAGGUGUAGUUGGUGCUUGUACAUUCUUCUGCUACUAGAAUAUUUUGUGCAUGGCGUCUUGCGAGAUUCUGAACUUGGCAUUGUGUGUAUGGAUUGUUGUGCAGUCCACAUCCGUUUAUAAAAUUAAAACAUGAGGUAAAUAUGUAACAUAUGAAACAGAAAACAACGUUACUUUUCACUAUGCUCUGAAUGGUAGCGAAUGAAAUCCUGACUGACAAAAUAUAGGCUGAAAUAUCCAUUUUGGAAAAAUUAUCCAGCUGAGCUAUAGUUUACCGCUUUGAUUAAUUAAUCCUUUAAGGGAAACAUGGGCCCAAAAGUUGUUAUGAUGCCAAGAGAUCCCUGGCGCUGGCUUCUCUUUAGAGGUUAAACUAUUCAUGAGCAAUUUAACUCCAGAUUCCAGUAUCCAGCUUCCAAUCACUCUUCCCUCUGUUCUACCGCCGCUCAGAUUAUUGAAACAGACCACACUUAGGAGUGAGAGUGUCAGCUGACUCUCUGAGCCAGUUAGUAGCUCCCCAUUCAUAACAACAGUUUGAGAAAAAUACAUCUCUCAGUUUAUUUUGUGGCUGAAGCUCAUUCAUGUCCGCAACUUCCUCUUUCAAGAGUUUGAGCAGACGAAGGACAGGGGACAGAGCGAUCCGGUGCUGAUUAGUAUACUCUGGGGUUUGUGAAUGUGAAUGGUUUAAUCCCGAAUAGUAAGCUGGUGCCUGGAGUGUUCCUUUAAAUUUUUAAAUAUGGAUUUUUAGUUUCUACAGUUUGAAAUUUAGAGAAUAACCCAGUGGAUUCCAAACAUGUGAGGUUUCCACUGUCUUAUAGAUUGUUAGCACUUGCCUUAAGAAAAUCUUGUGAAUCAUGCAAUUUUUAUGACACGUUCUCAUUGAUAUAUUGACUAGUGACAUUACUAAUAAUAUGCAAAGUAAGAAAUAUCUAUAAGCCUGCCUAUAGGAAUAUCUUUCUACGAGAAAGACAUUCCUAUAGGCAGGCUUAUAGUUGGGUAAAUAAAGUGAAUGAUAAAAGAAAGUCAGACUAGGCACUAGUCAAAACACUGUAAAAUUAAUGGAAUUAUAUUUUCAAAAAGUGCAACUGUAUACAUGUUAUAGGUCAAAAGUGUACUUUGACAAAUACUAAUUGUUACAGAAAAUCAUGUUGAAGAAUCAAAAUCCAGAAAUAUUUCUAAUGGAUAAAAGGACACAAAUGGUAACCAUUAUUUCAAAGUGUGUUAAUACCUUUUUAGAGUGAUACUAACCCAUUGUUAGUCUUAUACCCUUAGUUCUUCUAUAGAUUGCCCUCUCUUGGUGAUAGAGGGUGCUAGCACGGUUAGAAAAUAAACAUUUGAAUAAAAUAUUGAAUCAAAUCAUAUACAACUUGCGUUAACCUUUUUUGAUGUGAUGCUUUGUUUUCUUUUAAAUGCACGUUAAAGGAAUAGCUUAGUUUUAAUGCAUUUUACAGAUAACAUGUUAAAAUAUUUAGAUGAAUAAAAUAAGAUGCUACUGCACAUGCACAUUAACAGGGUUAUUCACUGAAGUGAGAUUUGUCAGGGAGAAUUUUUCCUUGUCAGCUAAAUUUGUCUUUGAAUUCUUGAUUAUUGUCACAUUAGUAAAUAACGCUGUGUGCGUCAGUAGCAGGCUGACCCCUCUCUCCACACGAAGAGGCUCUACCAGUUUGGAGGUUCUCAUUCUGGUUUAUGGAGUCUGAUUUUAUAACCCUGUCCAGAGAGGUCUAUGUGAUAAGAAGCUUCUCCCAGGAUCAAUUUCACUUUUAAAAAAUGCAGUAGCGUGACUGUUUUAAAAAAUUUAUAGCUGUACAGUGUUAACAUAUAGCUCAAUUCCCAGUUUAGUAAAACAGGCUGUGUGUAGGAGAGAUAGUGUGUGCUGUGUUCACAUUGUACAGAAUUGACACAGGUAGGCCUGAAACUAAGAGUUAUAAAAGAAAGGAAAAAUGGAUCAGAGCUCCCUCACAAACCCUACAAAUAGAUAAGUAAUAUAUGAAAAAGGAAGAAAGGUAGCACCAAUAAUGUUAUGCUAUUAAAAUUUAUAAAAAAUAGUUACAGAUAAUAAAAAUAGUUACAGGUUGAGUCAGAAGUGGUUUACAAUUCGUGCAGACAUAUAAAACAGAAAAAUCCAAUGGUGGAGUAUAUCCUAAUCAACUGAGUAAUUAAUUAAAAAUAAAUGGACUCACAUGUACCAGAUGUACUCUAGUAUGAGGGGUGUAGAGUGGUAUGAUCCCCACUUCUAAGAUAUAUGAGUUGAUGUGAUAGUCAGGUUUUCUUAGCAGUAUGGAUAUUAUAGGACUCAAAAGAAAAACAGAACCAACAAAAAUAGUGCUCUCCAUAUGUAUUAAAGCAGGAGUAAAAAGAAAGUAAAUCUUACUCACAUUUUAUUGAGCAAGCUAACCGCUUAAUGUAUACCAUAGCGCACAGAUGGUAUGAUCCUCACCUUGGAUAAGAGUACGAGCUACCUGAUUGAUAGCUCUGGUAAGAGGAUCUGUCUUAAAAAUGUAUUUAUUUUAAUUCUUUAUUUUUCGUGCAUUGAUGAUACAGAUAACAUUUAGGCUAGCAAUGCCACACCAGCUGUUGCCAUAGUUUUGAGAGACAAAUAAUUACAAUUGCAUGGCUUGAAUAACUGUGCACAUUUUUUAAGUAAAAGACGAGAAACCAUAUUAUGUUGUAAGUCAUUGCGUGUGCUUGAGCAGUUAUAAGGCUUAACAACUGAAUGUGCUAUGGAAGGUGUAGAACGAUUAACUGCCACUUCCUAAUUCUAGCCUAGGGUGUAGCUGGAAAUGUUAUUUAUAUUAUAUUAGAAUCAGGCUUAUCAGAGAGAAGAACAUACUAAACAUACAUGUCUGAGCUGACUGGCUACGGCAUUCAAAUUCACUGAACAUUGUUAUACUGUAGUAGGUUUGUGGGUUACGGUUGUGUUACUUGAGAACAAUUCAGUGUGGUUCUGGCUAGGUACAGGAUUAUAAAUAGUGACAUACAUGGCUAUCUUUUGGUGUAGGCAAGAAUAAAACACGGAGUUUAUAGUGAGUAAUGUCGAGUGCAAUGUCUAGGUCCUUAUGUGAGUUGAAAAAUUUAGUUAUUUUUACUAAACACAAGUCAAGUUAAAGGGACUCUCCAGGCAAAAAUUUUACUCACCUGGUUCCAGCGCCGGGAGCCUCGUGAAGCCGCGCCCCCUAUUUCGUCAAAAUGAUGAAAUAGGCGGGCGCGAGCAGGGAGCAAUCAGACGCUUCCAUUUGGAAGCGUCAUUGCUCCCUUGUGCGCAUGCGCAGCAUUCAUGUCGCCCUCUGAAGUCCUGAGCGCACUACCACGCAUGCGCGCGUGUCCAGAAAGUAAUUUAAAGAAUAAUAAUCCACAGAACACUACUAAAAUUGCACAUUCUGCAUGUUCAAAUGUAAGUACAGAUACUAAAAUCCUGCGGUGAAGGAAAAGGAGAAAAAGGGGGUUUAUGAUAGGGACAAUCUUCAAGAAAGAAACUUUUUUUAUGGAAUCAGAGCAGUUAAAGUGAAUGUUAGCAACAAGGAACACAAUGAUGUGGGUUUAAUAUGAAGGUCUCAAACCUUUUGAGAAUUAUAUUUGUCCACAUGGAACAAUGGGUUUUCAGCAAGUUUGCACACUGCGUCCAGCCUGUCAUUUUUAAAACUAAAUCUUGCAUAUGACUAUCUAUGUAGCUUAGGUUUACUCUGUUUAAAUGAAAAUACAACUUCUUGAACACAGGUCUUUACUACACAAAGACACAAUCUGCAUCUAAUACACACAAACACUACAUACAUGACUGCCGACCAAUCCUCUUUCCUCCAAUGCCGCCAACAAAAAUAGAUGAGACCAGAAAUAUGAGUAACGGCAACGACCACAGCUUUAUUAAGUUUACAACUUUUAAUGGACCAGCAUUCCAUCCAACUGUCAGCUGUUGGGUAACUUCCCCUAACAGACAGAUCCCACUUCCUUGUCCAGAGUUUGUAUUAGCCUGCCUACUGCCAUCAGCCCUCGGCAGGCUGCAACUCCCCAAGCAGACUCAUCAUUCUACUUCACUUUUUUUUGUAAAAAUUUAUGUUUUCUGUGCCUGGAGAUAAUUGAGUUUAAUACAGUGCUGACUUAAUUAUCUCCCAGGCAUAGGGAGAUUUACCUAUUUUGUAUAGGAGUGUCCUGGACCUGAGAGCCAAUGUAAUCAUGUAUAGUAGCCUACUCUCAGGUCCAGGGGGGAGUGCACCUUGCAUGGGGACCUGCAUAUAAGGCGAGCUGUGGCUGCCAUUAAACAGAUUCGUUUUACUCUUCAUUAAGUCUAGGCUCAUGUUUGGGGGAUUGGAGAGCUAUAGUCACUCUUGGGAUUGCUAAAAUCACUAUACUCCCUUGAAUUACAACACUUGCUCUUGUAAGAGCAGUCUGCUUUGCUCUCUGGGCUACCCACUGGAAACUGGAUCCUGGUCUUGGCUCCAGUGUGGGUGGAGGACAGUGAUACCCCAACCAAGCUGCGUUGAUUUACGGUGGUUAUGGUUUCCAGUGCGGUGCUAAUGGUACUCAAGGUUUACUAGUAAGCAGCGAUUGAUGGAGGUACCCGGUCGCGCUGCCAGGCGGUCCGUCACACUCGCCACUGAACCCUGUCCACUUCAUCCAGAAAGCCCAAGUUCCUGCCGUAGGACCUCACCUACCCAGUAAACAUAAGAGUGGCCCUGAUCCACACAUAAUGAGGGGGACCUAUAAGAGAGGAAAGCAUUACAACAAAUGCGGCUGAAGAUACAGCCGAAAACUACCUGAGUCCCAUCUGCCCAAACUCUUAAUAGCAGUUGCUGAAUAAUCUAAGACGUCCGUUUGCAUGGCAGCCCCAAUUCGAAAGGUAUGAGCUGAAUAUCCAGCGGCGUCCACUCCGCAAGCUCGCAAUGCCAACCGGAGCAAUGAAAUGAAAACUGGUAUGACAUUAACGGCGACCCAUCCCGAUGUACCAACAGGAACCCUGCCGCCCCCGGCCUCACUUUCAAGUAGGCCCUGACCAACUAAACUGGACAAAAGGGGCCCCCACCGGCCCCAGUCCGCACCCACGCUCCACGACCCAAUCGGUCGGUCUCGGAUCAACGAAUCCGAAGAUCCAACAAAGAAUCGGACCUCCGAACAUCUGACAGCAACAUGGGACACCGACCGCAAGUUGGGCACCACCAACUCAUCUACUCGGAACGCGCCAAAAAAACUAAGGGAUAACGCAACCCGAAACAACAAAAGCUCAAACUCCGGAGCACACAUCUCCGGAAGGAUCGUUAAGAGCUGCCCCCGUAAGUCCACCGAAAUUGGUCUCUGAUGAUCCUUACCUUUCCUAUGCCUCCAACCUUUUAACACACUCUGAACACUAAACUCUUUCAUGAGAUCCCUCCACCCUAAAAAGCAAAGCAAAGACAAGGCUGACAUCGCUCGUUCCACAGAUGCACACGACUUACCCUGAGACUAUAACGCAGACAGGAACAGCAACAUAAUUUCAAACCUCCCUGACUCCGUAGCGAUCAUCGACAAAGGACAGCCACUACGACCACAUCGACCGAUAUGCCUGCCACGACGCUGGAAACAAAGACUCGGCCACCAGAUCCCUCAGUCCUCCAAAGCGAGGUCCCAUAAAGAUGCAGGACAAAUCCUUCCCACUCAAUCUGCUUCUCGUGCUGCCUCUCAAAAACGGUCCCACUGAAACCGAGAAAGAGUCAGCCACCACAUUUAACACACCUGGAACAUGAGCUGUCUUCACCCAAACAUUGAACUGCAAGCUCAGCAACACCAAGCACCGAAGCAACGCCAACAUGGGGGUGGAGGCCGACGAUGACCGAUUUUUCAUGGAUGGACCAUGCUCAUGUUGUCCAUGUGAAAAAUCACGACGCGCCCCCACAGGUCGUCUCCCCACAGCUCUAAGGACACUACAGUCAGAAAAAGCUCUAAAAAGGUAAUGUUACGAAUUAGCUCCAACUCCUUCCAACUCAAUGACCAAGGCUCCGUGCACCAGUGACCCCGAAAAAACGCACCGAAUCUGAAGCGUCCGUAAAAAGAUCCAGAGCUGCAUUGGAUGUGGCUUCCUUCAGCCAGCACAAAUGCCCAUUGUAGGUUCCUAGGAAAGAACUCCAUACCUGUAAAUCCUCCCGGAGACAUCUGUUGACCCGUAUAAAGUAAUGUGGUUCCAGAAUGUCCACCGUCGCUAACGACAAACGGACAACAAAAAACCCGACCCAUUGGAAGGACGCAAAUGCCAAGUGCCCCAAAAGAACCUGCAUUCAACGUAAUUGGACCUUCCUCGCACCCUUCACCUGGUUCACCAAAUCCAAGAGAACCGACAAUUUGUCAUCCGGCAGCCGAAAAAUCAUUGGCACCAUAUCAACCUCGAUCCCAAGAAACGACAACGUUGUGACUGGCCAAAACAUUUUCUGCUCUUACACAAACACAUAUUUUGGUAAAACAGCCCACCAAAGUGACAACCCAACAAAUGGAAGCACUCUGGGUGAACCGGCAACAAGCGGAAGGCUGACUCUAUAUCCGACUUAGCUAACAACGCCCCUGCUUCCCGCACCAAUUCCAACCCCCUUGCAAAGGAAGCGUAUCUCACCGGCAGACCUCCUUCCCAGGUCAUCGUCAUUCACCGAUCCCCCAACAGGGAAACUCACAAGUUGGGAAAGAGGGGUGAAGUCUAAAGGUCCUGCCAUCUGCCCCAACCGGCCCUCCUUGUUCAGCUUGUCUUGCAAAAUCGCCUCUUUCCCCGUUUACCGACUUCAAAUUAUCCGCGAACGAAAAAACUUCAGAAAAAACAAACGGUAUCCAAAAUCCCUCAGAAAAAAUCCCUCCUUUCACCAAAAUGUCCACGGUGCGCUUAUUGGGGUACCAGCCGAGCCACUGCCGCAUCAUUACUGCGCUCACCGGCAUCCUCACCUCUGGUAACAUCGUCCCUACCUGUGCAUUUUGCCAGGAACUGCUUACCCUUCUAAAGCAGCGCAUAGCAGGAUGCGCUCCUCCACAAUGGGCGCAUUCAUGACGGAACCAACGGGAGCUAAACCACGUACAGUGACUCUCGUUAAAGAGCCAGCAUACUCCUUUUUUCUGCCCUGCCGGUGCACUAGCGUGUGCGCUAGCUACUCCAGGAAAGGGCGAAGGCCUACACAGCGUUAUCAGGAGCAGCCGUAGUUUGCCUGCAUGCUAAAGUCCAUCCCCGGACAUGCCGUCAUCUUCACACAGUAACUUGUGUAGGUGUGAUUUAUAGGCCCCCAGGACAAAUUGAAGAGUUAGAUAAUCUACUAGUUGAGGAAAUAGCUAAAAUGACAAUGAAGGGGGAAGUUAUCAUCAUGGGUGACUUUAAUCUUCCUGAUGUAAAUUGGAAAACAAAAUUAGCUACUUGUGCCAGGAGCACACAUAUUCUAAACUCCCUACUGGGAUUGUCUCUAAAACAAGUUGUUGAGGAGCCAACUCGUAAAGAGGCCAUACUAGAUUUAGUGUUAACAAAUGGAGAUUUGGUAUCAGAUGUUACUGUAGGUGAAAGUUUAGGAUCCAGUGAUCAUCAGUCAGUGUGGUUUAAUAUAAGAACAGUGACUGAGUCACACCACACAAAAACAAAAGUUUUAGACUUUAGAAAAACAGACUUUUCUAAAAUUAGAAUAUGUGUAGAGGAGUCAUUAUCAGACUGGAGCAAUUUAAAUGGAGUCCAAGAGAAAUGGGAUUAUUUAAAAGUUGCACUACUGAAGGCAACAGAAAAUUGCAUUAGGCUUGUCAGUAAAAGCAAAAAAUUCAAGAAACCACUGUGGUACUCCGCAGAUGUGGCCAAAAUAGUUAAAAACAAAAAGUUAGCAUUUAGGAAUUAUAAAAAAACCCAGAGUGAGGAAGACAAAAUGAUCUAUAAGAUUAGGCAGAAAGAGGCUAAGCAAGUUAUAAGAGCUUCCAAAUCACACACAGAAGAGAAAAUAGCACAGUCAGUAAAAAAGGGGGAUAAAACAUUUUUAGAUACAUAAAUGAGAAAAGAAAAGUAAAACAAGGAUUAGUUAGAUUAAAAACAAAAGAAGGAAGGUAUGUAGAAGAGGAUAAAGGUCAGGCUGACUGCCUCAAUGAAUAUUUUUGUUCUGUAUUUACAGAAGAAAAUGAAGGAAAGGGACCUCAGUUGAGAAAAAGGAUAAAUGAGUCAUUUAUUACACGUGAGUUUACAGAGGAAGAGGUUCUAUUUCAACUGUCAAAAGUAAAGACAAAUAAGUCAAUGGGACCUGAUGGAAUACACCCAAAGCUAUUAAAAGAGCUUAGUGGUGUACUAGCAAAACCAUUAACAGAUUUAUUUAACCAAUCAUUGUUAACAGGAGUAGUCCCAGAAGAUUGGAAGUUAGCAAAUGUUGUGCCCAUUUACAAGAAAGGUAAUAGGGAGGAGUCGGGCAACUAUAGGCCAGUAAGCCUUACUUCAGUAGUGGGGAAAGUGAUGGAAACCAUGUUAAAGGAUAGGAUUGAUGAACAUCUAAAAACACAUGGAUUUCAAGAUCAGAGACAACAUGGGUUUACUUCAGGGAGAUCAUGCCAAACUAAUCUUAUUGAUUUUUUUGAUUGGGUAACUAAAAUUAUAGAUCAGGGUGGUGCAGUAGACAUUGCUUACCUAGAUUUCAGUAAGGCUUUUGACACUGUUGCACAUAGAAGGCUUAUCAAUAAACUGCAAUCUUUAAGUUUGGAUUCAAAUAUUGUUGAAUGGGUAAGGCAGUGGCUGAGUGACAGGCAACAGAGGGUUGUAGUUAAUGGAAUAUAUUCAAAGCUUGGACUUGUCACCAGUGGGGUACCUCAGGGAUCUGUACUUGGACCCAUUCUCUUUAAUAUUUUUAUUAGUGAUAUUGCAGAAGGUCUUGAUGGUAAGGUAUGUCUUUUUGCUGAUGAUACUAAGAUAUGUAACAGGGUUGAUGUUCCAGGAGGGAUAAGCCAAAUGACAAAUGAUUUAGGUAAACUAGAAAAAUGGUCAGAAUUGUGGCAACUGAUAUUUAAUGUGGAUAAGUGCAAGAUAAUGCAUCUUGGACGUAAAAACCCAAGGGCAGAGUACAGAAUAUUUGAUAGAGUCCUAACCUCAACAUAUGAGGAAAGUGAUUUAGGGGUGAUUAUUUCUGAUGACUUAAAGGUAGGCAGACAAUGUAAUAGAGCAGCAGGAAAUGCUAGCAGAAUGCUUGGUUGUAUAGGGAGAGGUAUUAGCAGUAGAAAGAGGGAAGUGCUCAUGCCAUUGUACAGAACACUGGUGAGACCUCACUUGGAGUAUUGUACACAGUACUGGAGACCGUAUCUUCAGAAGGAUAUUGAUACCUUAGAGAGGGUUCAGAGAAGGGCUACUAAACUGGUUCAUGGAUUGCGGGAUAAAACUUACCAGGAAAGGUUAAAGGAUCUUAACAUGUAUAGCUUGGAGGAAAGACGAGACAGGGGGGAUAUGAUAGAAACAUUUAAAUAUAUAAAGGGAAUCAACACAGUAAAGGAGGAGACUAUAUUUAAAAGAAGAAAAACUACCACAACAAGAGGACAUAGUCUUAAAUUAGAGGGACAAAGGUUUAAAAAUAAUAUCAGGAAGUAUUACUUUACUGAGAGGGUAGUGGAUGCAUGGAAUAGCCUUCCAGCUGAAGUGGUAGAGGUUAACACAGUAAAGGAGUUUAAGCAUGCAUGGGAUAGGCAUAAGGCUAUCCUAACUAUAAGAUAAGACUAGGGACUAAUGAAAGUAUUUAGAAAAUUGGGCAGACUAGAUGGGCCGAAUGGUUCUUAUCUGCCAUCACAUUCUAUGUUUCUAUGUCUGAACCAUAGAUUUUGUAUGCCCCUCAAAUUAAAUCAAGAUAACAAACAGAGAGGGGGCCUUUUCUGGUAACCACCGCACCAAGAUGCUUGCAAGAAUGUAACCCCCUACACUAACAGCCGGAGCUAAAGCUAAGUUUUCUCUAAAACUGCACGCAGAAAUCCCAGUACUUCACUAGACUGCAUAUCACCCCAAACGCUAGCGCGGGUUAACUCACCCCUGGGGAGAUGGACAGCUAACUCCAGAGCAGCAGGCUGGGCUGCUUCUUCCUCUCCCUCUGCUCCUAAGGUAGAAUCCAAAUCUUUCUGGAAAGCUGCACUCUCACCAAAUCUCCUGCCCACAUCUGGCAGAGUUCCGACCGCUUUCUGGACUCCUCUGCUGUGUCCGACUCGUCGGAGAGGUAAAGAUGGUGUGGCCUGUGACGUGGCAGCGUCCCUCCAUUGACGUCAUCCGUCUGCUACCUUGCGUCCGACGUUGUGACAUUAUAUCCGCCUGUCCCAGAACAGAAGGCAGACUUUGUGAGCAUCCCACCAUUCCGACGCCAUCUUGGGCCCUCACCUCAACGUCCUCACUGGGCCAACUGCUCCGCCUGGGCACACGGGGAACCUCCGCCGCCAUCCACCUUCCAUUGGGGGGAAAAAAAAGGAGAAAGUAUAAAUUAAAAAGUGAAGGAAAACAUAUAGUUUUAUAAGAGAAUCUAGGAGAAUAAGCAAGCCUGUGAAAUGCAAGGCUAAUUAACAGAGAGUAUUGAGUCAGAAAGGGUGAGUAACGUCAGAGGUUCUAAGAGGCAAAAUUUUUUCAAGGCAAGCAGUAUUCCUGAAUUGGGUGGAGAAAAAUGAAAAGUAAGAAAAAUAAAAAAGUAACCUAAUACUAGCUGUCUCUCUGAGAAAAAGUAAAUGCAUCAAUAAAAUUAUUGACCAAAUGUAAUUAAUCAUUGGAUUCAAUUAAAGAGCACACAAAUUAUAUUAUAUUGUAUUCUGUAUAUCACUUACUUGUCAAAUAUCCCCAUUCUAUAAUCUUAAAGCACUGUGGAAUAUGUUAGUGCUAUAAAAAAUGCUAAUAUAAUUAGUUAAACAACAUUGAAACAUGCUUAUUGUGUUGUAAUGGUGUGGGGGUGCUUUCCUGCUCCAGAACCUUCAAAAGUUGCCAUCAUUGAAGGUACCAUGCAUGAAUUCUAAUACCAGAACUUUCCAAAGGAUAAUUUCUAGCCAUAAGUCAGUUAUGUGAAGCAUAAUUGGGUUAUACAGCAGGGCAAUGCACAAAACUAAAAAAAAGUAAGUGCACUGUAGCUUAAACUUAAAAGGACACCAGGCACCAUAACAACUCCAUCUCAAUUAUUGUUGCUAGAAAAUCCCGGGUGCCUUCUUACUUUCACACAAUUAAAUGUUUCUGAAUAGUUUAACCCCAAACAUUUGAAUACAUAGCAUGUUCACCCAGUUCACCCAUCCAUCUGGAAACCUCAGACUUGAUGCUUUUGAUAAACUGAGAGUGUCAGCUGAUCACAAGCUCCUCAUUCAUAAAACUGAGUGAACCCCAUUGAUAUGUAGUACUUUAAAUGAAUAGUUUAUGCUUGAAAGCUUUCCAGUUGCUUAAUUAAAAUAACUCUGCAAAGAAAAGUGGGCCAAAAUUUCACCACAUGAUGUGAAAGAAAAUGAUCUCCAAUUAAAGAAACUGCUUGGUUGCAGUUGUUGCAAAAGUUGACUCAGUUAUUAAACAAUUAUUUUUCACACAAGGCCAGUUCGCGUUAAAUAACCUUUUUUACUAAACACAAUUAUCAUGUAAAUAUUGAAUUUAAUGUUGGGUCUACCUUGUCUUAAAAUUAACCUGUCUUUCUAGGUUGACUAUUAGUAUGUAACAGCACCACAUGCAGUAAUUAUAUCAUUUUUUAUACAAUAAUAUAUAUUAAUUUGCUUUAGGAGUGUUUAUAACAUUAUUUACAUGCUACCCUCACUCCAAAGCUGCCAUUCUCGGCAGAUCUAUGGGUUUUACAACAAUGCAACACUCAUAAACCUCCAAAAAUGGCAGUGCUGAGAUGAUGGGCACUCUACUGCCACACCCCAUCUAUAGCAAUUGACCCUCCUGGGGACACUUCGAGCAGAGCAAUCUUCACUAAUGAUGCAGACAUGCUUGCUUCAGCAUGCCAUCCUGUCUGGGCUGUGUGGGGUGUGCCACACAUACUGGAUCGGUGCAAGCAUUUUUGACUGCUAGCUUUAAUUACACAUCUGUCACUUCUUUAGCCUAGGGCAGUGUUUUUCCAACCUUUUUUCACGUGUGUACCCCAAGGCAGCCCUUUUCCAUGAAUUGUACCUCACAUAUUAACAAAAUAUUUCUUGCAGCUAUUUCAAAUGUAUAUGUUUUUCUGUGUCCAAUCUCCCAUUUUUAUCUGCACUAUUCUCUCUGCUUCUUCUCUGCCCCAUGCUCUCCCUGCUCCUCCCCUGCUUAAGUCUCUCCCUGCUUGUCCUCUGUCCUAGGCUCCCUCUUCUUCUCCUGGCCUCCUGCUUCUCCUCUGCCCCAGAAAUAUAAGUAUCUACAGUGCAGAUACACUGACACACAUGCAGGUACACAAAUACACACACUGACACACAUGCUAAUCAUGGAUACAAACACUGACACACAUAAAAACCCACUGACAUAUAGAUACAAAUACACACACUGAUACACCUGCAGACACAUGGAUAUAAAAACACAGACACAAUGACACAGAUUCACAGACAUACAAAUACAGGUACAAACACUGACACACAUACAGACUCACAUGCAGACACAGAUACAAACACUGACACAUGCAGUUACACAGACACACAGAUACAAAAACCGACACACAUGCAGAUGCACAGAAGCAAACACUGACACACAUCUAUAUUCACCGAUACACAACAUGCAGAUACACAGAAGCAAACACUGACACACAUCUAGAUACAAAGAUACACACACUAACACACAUGCAGAUAAACUGCCACACCUGCAAAUACACAGACAGAUACAGUGAUUUUAAAUGUGUUUUGUGCUUAUUUUUUUUACAUGCAUGGCAAUUUUCUUCAAUAAUUUUUGACAACUCAGGUGAAGAUACCUUUUGCCAACCCACCUCCCAAAAAGAAGUAAUGUCUUAUUCCUUUUUGUUUACCUUACCACCCCUUUAGUGUAUGUUAUCUCCCAUUUUUCCCCUUUGUACCUCUUACUUUUCCUCUUUGUGUGUCAUACGUUCCCCAGCCCCUUUGUGUGUCACUUUCUUACCUCAGUCCAUCUGUGUUAUUACCCCAUUCCCCAAUGUGUCACUGUCCCCAUCUCUAGCCUCUCUGUGUGUUACUGUUCCCUUCUCAGCCCCUCAGUGUGUGUCACUGUCCCCUUCCCAAGUCCCUCUGUGUCACUGUCUCCUUCUCAGUCCCUCAGUGUGUGUCAUUGUCCCCUGACCGUGAAGGUGUGCUGGCCCACCGGAAAAUUUCCCCCUAUCCCGUUGGGCCGGGCCAAGCCAGUCCUGCACACCAAUUGAACAGAUGGCCCUGUGUCUAACCACUUAUUAAAGGACAAAUAAAUAUAAUUGGGUGGGAGGGACAAAUAAAUAUAAUGAGGGGAGGGACAAAUAAAUAUAAUUUGGGAGAGUGACACAAAUGCUUGUCCCAUUCCUGCAUUAUUUUUCUAGUACCCUGCUUUUCUAGAAUAUUGUGAAAACAAUUAUGAAACCUCUUUAACUUGACAUUUUUCUGAAAUGAUAUGCAUUUGGGACAGAGGUCUUUUUGACACUUUUGCUACAUGUUCCUUCUAUUUUGAGGACAGAUAGGGUAUUCUUAUGGUAUCCUAUACAUAUACAUAAGCAGGGCUCCUCUUCCUAGUUUGGAGUCCCAUCUUCCCAAUUUGGUUCACUGGUGUCCUGUAUCCAGGAACAACAGGGCGCUGUCCUUAGGAAGCACAGUAAGAGCUCAAACUGUGCAGUGACUGCUAGGACCAUGCAGAGAAUUCUUCAGUAGUGCUCUAUGCAAGAUCCUGUAUGUUGAAGGCAAGCCAGGAGGCUAUCUGUCAGUCAUCAAUGCUUGAUGCAGGCUGACAUGAAUCUUCAAUGCGAUGGGUAGGGUUGCCACCUGGCCAGUAUUUUACUGGCACAGCCGGUAUUUCAGGCUGCCUGGCCGGUGGCGGUAUUGCAAUUAUACCGGCUAUACAAAUGCCGGUAUUUUUUUACUGAUUGAAAUUAGACGCAAUACCACCGCUGGCUGUGUGGAGAGAGGCAGAGACAGGAACUUGAUUGAAAUUAGACGCAAUACCACCGCUGGCUGUGUGGAGAGAGGCAGAGACAGGAACUUCAUCUCUCCACCUCUCUCUACACUCUGGGGGGACCCCACAGCACAGAGCAAGCAGAGCCAGCAACUCCCAGCCUGCAAUCAGCCUACUGAUCAGGUAAGUGAGUGGGGGGCAGUAACGUACUACGGGGGGGCGGAGGGGGCAGUCCGCCCCGGACGCCGUUCACUAGGGGGCUGCCCUUGGCACAUUUUCAUGCCACUUGCAGGAAUCUCCUCAUCCAGCAGCAGCAUGUCCUCUGUUCUCACGAUCCACAAGAGCGUUGCUAUGGCAACCCUCGGCAACGCUCUUGCAGAUCGUGAGAACAGAGGACAUGCUGCUGCUGGAUGUGGAGACUCCUGGGCCCCUCUUCACUGGGCAACCAUACUGGAAAUGUAGUGUGUCCCCCAGUGGUGUAUCCUGGUUUUGUACUGCCCUACGCAGGACAAAACUCAGGCUCCCUCCUUCCCCCCACCACUCCCACCCAACCCUUCCCCCGCCCCGCCUUCUAAAUACACACACAAUCACUGACAGAUACACAUACACUAGCUAACAGAAACACACUCACAAACACUAACAGACAAACACACACUCACUAACAGACAAAUACACACUCACACACAGACACACACACACUCACUAACAGACACACACACUCAUAGGCAAACACACUCACACUAACAGACACACACACACUAACAGACACACACUCACUCACUGACACACACUCACUAAUAGACACACACUCACUCACUAACAGACACAUUCACACUCACUAACAGAUACACACACACACACUAACAGACAGACACUAACAGACAGACAGUAACAGACACACAGUAACAGACACACACACACUAACAGACACACUCAAACUCACUAACAGACACACACUCACUAACAGACACACACUAACAGACAUACACACACACUCACUCACAUUAACACAUUUUUUUAUUUAACCCCCCUCCCCCAGCCUCCUUCCUUUGGGAAUGCUGGGGGGAUUCCCUCUCUUCCUGGGGGUGCAGUGGCUGCUGGGCGGGCGGCUGGCGAGGGAGCACUUCCUCUGAGCUGUCUGCUCAGCUCCCUCGCGUGCAACAGAGUGAUGCCGGGAACCGGAAUAUGACGUCAUAUUCCGGCUCCCAGCCUCACUCUGCGGCACGCGAGGGAGCUGAGCAGACAGAGCGUUGCUAUGGCAACCCCCGGCAACGCUCUUGCAGAUCGUGAGAACAGAGGACAUGCUGCUGCUGGAUGUGGAGACUCCUGGGCCCACUGGCGAGGGAAGUGCUCCCUCACCAGUGACGCCCGCCCGACUGGCAUGUCAGUUAGCCGCAAGGCUAACAAGACAUUUGCCCUGGGCAUUUGGGGUGGCUUUUUUUGCCGCCCCCUGGAAAAUGCCGCCCAAGGCAAAUGCCUUGUUUGCCUCGCGGCUAAAACGUCCCUGGUGUCCCCCCUCCCUGAACACAGGUAAGGGAGGGGAUACACAUACACACACAAACAAUACACACUGCUCACUAUACACACACACACAUCAUACACACUAUACACACAUCAUACACACUAUACACAGACACAGCAUACACACACCACACACACACAGCAUAUACACAAACAGCAAAACAAAUAACAGUUAAAUGGCUACUCUGAGCUAGAGGCUGAGCAAAAACUCUAUUACUGCAGGUUUUGGCUAAAUGACCUUUAUCUUCUGUUUAUUGGUUGUUAUUUUUUUUCUGUUAUGACACUUUGCAGCUUUUGUAGGCUGAGUAAAGAAAGUGCAAAAUAUGAGCCUCCUGUCUUGUCUUACAAUUAGCAGCACUAAACACUUGGUGGGAAGUAUGGUUUAUAUAUAUAUAUAUUGUAAUGAAUUGUCAAUAUAAUGCAUGAUAAACUGGGCCUUUAGAGCAACUUUAACUACUGCCCUAGUAACAGAGUUUCUUCAUUUAUUAAGGAUUGACGCACCCAUUACCAUGGGAACUGCAUUAUCGUGCUGGUUAGAAGGAACAGAUCUACCACAUUAAUGUAAUUUAAAAUAUUACUGUAGUCUUACAUAAAUCCCUCUUAGGCUUUUGAUAUAGACUCCCAUCUGGGAACUGUUUAUACUGCUUACAAAAUAGGCCAAGCAUGGCCUUCAGUUUAAUUAAAGCCGAUCAUGUUUAUCAGCAGUAUAUCGGCUCAUUGUAAGCCAUUUAUCAGUUCAGAUCAAUUAAAUUACUGCUGUUAAAUGCUUAUCGAAAAAUGAUAAAUAUUGUUUUAAGUCAAAAGCCUAUAUUUAACAUUGAAAAUUGACAUGGUUAUUUACUAAAGUAAGAAUUAAAGGUGAAUUCAAAGUGAAUUUCAAAGCUAAGGUCAAAAUAGAAAAUUGUAAAUAACCUUGAUAGACUUCAAUGACUUAGUUCCUUUUUCAGAUGCAUAGCGAGCAGAUGCCUACACACUGUUUAGCAGAUAUGCCUCCACCCAUAACAUGGUGAAUGGGGGCAUCAGGUACGUAAAAACCUCCCUUGUACUAAUGUGGUGGUCCAGAGGCGUAACUAGAAAUCACUGGGCCCAGGUGCAAAAAUUGCCCUGGGCCCCCUCCCCCCAGUGGUCUAAGUGUGUGUAUAGGGAACCAGUGUGUGUGUGUGUGUGUAGGGAAGCAGUGUGCGUGUGUGUGAGAGUGUGUUUGCUGGGUAGGAUAGGGGCUGUGGGGGCUAAAAGGGAGCAUCUUUUUUUAAAAAUAUAUUUAUUUUGUAAUGUAAUAAUAAAAAAUAAAAAAAUGUAAAUAUGAGAUAGGAGUAGUGAUGUUGGACUAGCCAACAUCAGAACCCCCAAGUAGGUUACAAGAGGUAACACACAACAAGUAAAUAACUACCAACUGAAAGAGUGGGAUAGAAAAACCACUCACUCAAAAGUGAAUGGGAUUCAAUCUCACUCUAGAAGAUUACCUCCUAAAGUAAACGUAACAAAGAAAAUGGUAAUAACCUUUAUUAAACUAAAAUUAAGCAAAUAAAAUAUAUAUAAUAGGUAUAAAGCUUACCCUGGAUAGAAACACCAUAGAAAGUUGUGUUAGUGAAAAUCACAUAAAGGUGAGGAAUUAGAAAUCUCUUAAUCUCCUAAAAAAUGAUAUAUAUAUAUUGUAUGUGCACAUACGUAUAGAGUCCGCUAAAAUAAAUAGUAGUAAGGCCUCUAAAGAGGACCAAGUAAGAUUAUAGAGACAUCCGAUAUGUGGACCAAUAUAUAAGAGAAACGGAACAUAAGUACAGACUUCUCCGUACAAAAGAUGAAAAUUAAAUGAACCAAGUAGCGCAAAAACGGUAAAAUACGUAAGUGAUAUAUAUAGCUGGGAUCGUGGUACCUAGCAAUAGUAAAAAUGCCGAUAUGGUACUGGAGUUAAACUGUGGUCAAUAGUAAUAUAUCCCCUAGUGUGAGUCUAAAAGAUACAUAAAAUCCACAGCGGUAUAUAACAGCAGUACCUUCAAUCAAAAAAGCCCCCUCCGAAAUUAGUAACUUUAGAGAAAAGGAGACAGUAUCCUAGAAAACCCUGGGCUUACUAUCUAGCCCACAGGCAGGCCAUAGAUACUAAACUGCUGCUUCAAGGCAGCCUAGCAAAUCCCUAUUAGCACAAACAGGUGUGGAGCUAUGUAGCCGACCCUGCUGUACAGACUCUCUGGGAGGCUAUAUGUCUCGUUUGGCAAUAUAAACUAUAGGGGAAAUCCAAUAGUGAUAUAUCCCCUAGUAAAAAAAAAAUGUAUUUAAUAUAUCUCCCCCUCCCUGUGCCCUACCAGUAUCCAGCAUAUUCCCUGGUUGUUUGGUUGUGCUGCAGAGGCUCUCUGCCUUCACCUCUGCUGGGUGAAGGCUCUUUCCGCAAGUCCUGGCACCAUGUGUAAUCGAGGGUUGCUGUGGUUACCGCAGCAACGCUUGGAAAGCCGGAACUCAGCGCAGAGGUGAAGGCAGAGAGCCUCCUCCCCUUCCUGCUGUGCAAACCCUGCAAAGACUCGGGAAGGGGCUGUGUGCAUGUAAGGGGCCCGGGCUUGCAGGGCCCUCAGAUGGCCUGGACCCCUAACAAGUGAAGAGGCUGUACCCCCCCAACUGGUGAUGGGCCCGGUUGCAGCUGCGACCGUAGUAGGUAUGCCACUGUGGUGGUUAUAUUGUCCCCAUAGGCAUUUAUAACAGGGUAAGUCUUCAAAAAAGAUUGCUAAAAGUGCUUCUGAUACACAUUCAUCUGAUACGCAUAUUUUCCUCAAGCAUCCAACCCAUUUAUAGAAUUCUGAUGUUUUUGGUUUGCAUUAAAUCCAGCAGAAAUAAUAAAAAAUACGAUCUGAAAAUAGUUAAUAUUUAUUUACCAUUUUCAGUCAUUACAAUUAAAUUGAGGCCAUGGAUCUUGAUGCCUACUAGCUUAGAGGCUUUUCAAAUUCUGCAGCUUUUUAGGAUAAGAACAUACUGUAUAUACUCGAGUAUAAGACGAGUUAUUCGGCAUGUUUUUUGUGCUGAAAAACCCCCACUGGUCUUAUACUCGAGUGAAUGUCUGUAUUAUGGCAACUUACUUUCCUGCAGCUCCUGUCAGCUCCCUUCUCUCUCCUCCGGUCCGGUCAGCUCCCCUGCAAGUCUCGCGAGAGCCGCGGGGUCAGAGCGUUGCCACAGGUUACCGUGGCAAUGCUCCGCGCGGCACUCACACCGCGAGAUUGCAGGGGAGCUGACCGGACCGGAGGAGAGAGAAGGGAGCUGACAGGAGCUGCAGGAAAGGUAAGUAAAAACUUCCUGCCAGCCCCCUCCUACACAGCCCAUCCACUGGACCACCAGGGAAUGAGAGCCCCCCUCCCUGGCCAGCUAACAAGCAGGGAGGGGGGACGAAGAAAAAUAACAUAAAACUUUAAAUAAAAUAACAUAAAAAUAAUAAUAUUAAAAAAAAUAUUAAAAUAAUAAUAAUAAUAAUAUAAAAAAAAUAAUAAAAAUGCCCACCCCCCACCAAGGCUCUGCAUCACAUACACAUACACACACUGCACUCAUACACACACACACUGCAUUCAUGCACACUCACUGCACUCAUACAUACACACUGUAUUCAUACACACACACUGCAUUCAUACACACACACACUGCACUCAUAUACACACACUGCAUUCAUACACACACACACUGCACUCAUACACACACACUGCAUUCAUACACACACACUGCACUCAUACACACACACACUGCAUUCAUACAGACACACUGUAUUCAUGCACACACACUGCAUUCAUACACACACACACUGCAUUCAUUAUAUACACACACUGUAAAUAAAUAUUCAAUUAAUAUAAUUUUUGGGGGAUCUAAUUUUAUUUAGAAAUUUACCAGUAGCUGCUGCAUUUCCCACCCUAGUCUUAUACUCGAGUCAAUAAGUUUUCCCAGUUUUUGGGGGUAAAAUUAGGGGUCUCGACUUAUAUUCGGGUCGACUUAUACUUCAGUAUAUACGGUAAUAGGAUUGCUACAUCAUAACUAAAAUUCAUAUUUUAUUAAGUUUGGUCACUAAACCAGCAAUUGUUUGGUGAUAGACAAUACAUUUGCACAUUUUAGGCCAAAAGAGUUAUCUUGUCAAUUCUCCAAAAGUCCUGAUUAUUAAAAAAAAGCUUAUUUUUCUACAAUAUUAAAUUCACUAAAAUUAAGCAAAUAGUAUAAAAUUUGAACAUUAAAGGAUACUCCAAACACUUUAGCUUGCUAGAAAUUGGCACUUUUCAGACAGCCGGUUUCUUCUAACUAAGCUGAGCACCCAGGGGCUAAGCUCAAGUGGCAGGAGCUUGCCCAGGGCACCUGCUUUUUAAAGACUGUGCCAGGAAGAAGGAAAGGAGUUGCAGCAGCUGCAAAUACUAGAUCUGCAGUUAUAGCAAGCUACGAUUUAAUAUAUUCCCAAAUAAACCACGCAAAAAGAAUUACAUAUAUGUUAAUGUCUAAUAUCUACUGUUAAAAAAAAAGUGUUCCUUUAAUGUAGGUUUCUAGUAGCUGUUGAGACAUAUUGAAAUAAUUCCUAAAGAAAACAUCAUUGCAUGCGGACUUGCAAUUAAAAUGUCUUAAUGCAAUAUUUUGCCUUUCUAAAAGGUUACCAUUAUUUCAGCUACACAUUCUAUGAGCCACCCACUGUUUAAUGUAGUGCAUCGUCAGCACAAAAUGUCACUGUAUACCAAUAUUAAGAAACACAGCAUGAAAUUUAUGCUAUUAGCGUCAAUGUAUCAGUUAGUAAUGCUUGUCACAUACAGCAGCUCUUUAUAAUUCUUGCUGGUGGUAAGAUUAAUGAUCUUGUCAUGAUUUUCGUCUUAUCAUAAUUAUCUAGCAAUUCAGCAUUCUCUCAGGGAAAAUAUAUUCUGAAAAAAAUAUAUACAAAAUUAGAAAACAUAUCCACCAAUGUUUUUUUAAAUAACUGUAUUAAUAUUAUAUUUUACUAUUUACUUUUGAUUAACAUAGACCUUUCUUGUAUAUUCUGAAAGGUGCACAAAUUACAGUGACCACCAUUAUGUCACGUUUUAAUUAUUUUUUUUAUUAUAUCACCUGCAAGCUCUACCACUUACGUAUAUAUGUUGCAAUUCUUUCUUUUCUUUUUUUUUCUAUAUCCUAGGUGUGCAUGUUUGCUCAAGCACACCUUCUGCAAGUGAAAGAAACCGACUUGGAUAGCGUAAGCAGGCAGUACAUGCCCAUGCCAUAAAUAUACUUGAAUGGUUCAAUGAGAAAACCUAACUUGGCAUUGUUUUUCUAUUAGCUUUAAAGUAUUAAACAGAGAGUUUAAAGGCCCACCAGGUACCCUUUACAUUUGGUUUUCUCCUACAUACAAAGCCAGAUAUCCCUAUAAAAUAAAGCAGACUCAUUUGCUGAAAUAACUCAGCUGACGCCCUCAACCAACCAGUACAGUACUGCAAGGCCAUGCUUUGAUCUAUAGAGCAAUACAGAUUCUCCUGCAGGGGAAAACCAGAUACAGCCGCAAGCAUCUGGUAGGACCAAGGUAAAUUGUCAAGAUACCAAAACCAGUACAGUGUGCUGCAGUUAUUACAAUGCCUGGAGUAUUGUCAAGCUACCAAAACCAUGAUAGGCGCACAGUCGGAUUUGCCGGCCUAUGCGCUAACCUUACCCAAACCCCCAUUAAAACACGGACACAGGUUAUACUGUUGGAAAUAAUUAGUCCACAGCUUUAUUAAAUUAUUAAUAAAAUAAUUAAGGAAUAACAAAUGGGGUCAUUGCCAACAAAUCCUAUUAAAGUUAACAUCCCCCCAUAUACAUAACAUACCUCUAGCAAUGACCCCACAAUAAUAACAAUAGAUAACAAUUUAACCCCUUAAGGACGGAGCCAAAUGUACACCUUGUGAACUAAACAAAAUGUAAACAAAACCUGGCAUUUGCGCUACGUCUGUCCAACCGUAAUUCACCUCUUUCAUAUUAAAUGCACCCACCCUUAUUAUAUAUCAUUUUAUUCAGGGGAAACAGGGCUUUCAUUUAAUAUCAAAUAUUUAGCUAUGAAACAUAAUUUAAUAUGAAAAAAAAUGGGAGAAAAUAAGAAAUUUUAUUUUUUUAGUUCUACAUGACAUUUUAACUGUCAAUGUCAUAAUACUGUUUGCUUUUACUGCAAUAAAAUACACAUAUUUGUAUUCAGCAAAGUCUCAAGUGUAAAACAGUACCCCCUAUGUACAGGUUUUAUGGCGUUUUGGGAAGUUACAGGGUCAAAUAUAGCACGUUACAUUUGAAAUUGAAAUUCGCCAGAUUGGUUACGUUGCCUUUGGGACUUUAUAGUAGCCCAGGAAUGAAAUUUACACCCAUAAUGGCAUACCAUUUGCAAUAGUAGACAACCCAAGGUAUUGCAAAUGGGGUAUGUCCAGUCUUUUUUAGUAGCCAUUUGGUCACAAACACUGGCCAAAGUUAGUGUUAGUAUUUGUUUGUGUGUGAAAAAUGCAAAAAACGCCAAUUUUGGCCAGUGUUUGUGACUAAGUGGCACUAAAAAAGACUGGACAUACCCUGUUUGCACCUUGGGUUGUCUACUAUUGCAAAUGGUAUGCCAUCAUCGGGGUAAUUUUCAUUCUUGGGCUACCAUAGGGUCUCAAAGGCAACGUAACCAAUCUGCCGAAUUUUAAUGUGAAAAAAAUGAAACGCAAGCCUUAUAUUUGACGCUGUAACUUUUGAAAACACCAUAAAACCUCUACAUGAGGGGUACUGUUGUACUCGGGAGACUUCGCUGAACACAAAUAUUUGUGUUUCAAAACAGUAAAAAGUAUCGCAGCAAUAAUAUCGUCCGUGUAAGUGCUGUUUGUGCGUGAAAAAUGCUAAAAAAGUCACUUUUACUGGCGAUAUCAUCGUUGUAAUACAUUUUACUGUUUUGAAACACUAAUAUUUGUGUUCAGCGAAGUCUCUCGAGUAGAACAAUACCCCACAUGUACAGGUUUUAUGGUGUCUUGGAAAGUUAUAGGGUUAAAUAUAGUGCUAGCAAAUUAAAUUCCCUUUACUCUCGGCAUGGGUUGUCAGGCAGGUCCCGCUAAUUGUAAUUAAUUAAGAUACCUAAUUAUGUAAAAAUAUUACAUAAAUAUAUAUGUAGAAUUAAUAUAUGUAUAUAUAUACGUAUGUGAAUCUAUAUGUGUAUAUAUAUAUAAUUUUUUAAAAAUAUUUUUAUUUAUAUAUAGGUAUAUAUAUAGUGAUAUAUACGUAUAUAUUUAUGUAUGUAGAUAUAUAUAUUUUCGUUCUACGUGUAUUUUGAUAUAAAUAUAUAUAUUAAUAUCACAAUACAGUUAGAACGAAAUAACACACAUCUCUAUAUUUUUUAAUUAUUUUUUAAUUAUCUUUUUAAUUUUAUUUUUUAACGUAUUUACAUAUUUAAUUUUUUAUAUUAUAUAUACAUAUAUAUAUAACAAUAAUUAUAUAUAUAUUUAAUCAGUAUCAGUCUACGUGUAAUUUGAUAUUAAUAUAUAUAUAUAUAUAAUUAUAUAUAUAUUAAUAGUAAAAUACACCUAGACACUAUAUGUGUGUGUAUGUAUAUCUGUAUAUAUAUACUUAGAUCAUAUAUAUAUAAUAUAUAUGAUCUAAGUAUAUAUUAUUUCUUUUUUUACACUUAUAAACUUUUAUUAAUUUUAUUCUCAGCCAGCAGGGGGACCACCUGUCAUUACAGGCAGCCCCCCUGCUGGCAAUGCAGGAGGCAGCCUACCCGGCCAUGUGAUUGUGAGGUCCUCGCAAGGACCUCACUCUCACAUGGCCGGGGGGCUUCCAGGGGGUCGGACUUCCGACGCCGGCGACUGGGUAAGUACAGAAAGACCGGAGGGCGUACUAUUACGCCCGGCGGCGUUUAGAGCCGCAUAUAAUAGAGCGUAAUAGUACGCUCUCCGGUCUUAAGGGGUUAAAUAACAUGUUAAUACAGAAACUGGCUGCCCAAUAUGACCACAUUUCCACCAGGUUAAAUUGUAGGGGUGUACCUAGACACCGCUACCCACCAUAUCGAUUGUAGGGGUGUACCAAGACACCGCUACCCACCAGUUCCAGUGUAGGGUGUACCAAGACACCACCACACCCCCAGGUUCGGAGCCACCGACGGGCUCGAAUCUACCAACCACAUGCAACACUGCCCAAUCCACACUAAACCUCAGGAUGCCCACUUUCUCCUCCAUCUACCCUCCGAUUUAACCAGGCCAUUCCCCGCCGCUGUGAAAAAACGGGAAAUCAACUAACCUAACCAAAUACAGGGAGGGUGGGAGGGACAACUGACAGGUAAGCUUAGGUUCAGUUAAAAUGGCCACUUCAUAUAAUGGCUGGUAUAAAUACUCCCCUAAUGGCUCCGCCCUACCCAGCAUACUAGCUGUCACUUCCUGUGGCUGCUAUGCCUCCUGGCUCUGUCAAGGCCUAUUUCUAUUAGCUGUGCUGAUCCAUGGGCUACAGUACAGUGUGCUGCAGUUAGUAUAAUGCCUGGAGUAUUCUUCUAAGAACACAAUGGCUGAAUUGAAAAAUAAAUGCCAACUUUUGCAAUUCAUUUGUCAAUUCUCCACCAUUUCACGUUCACUAAAUAACCCGAUGAGUAUCCUUAGGGCUUAAUUAAGAGUAACACAAAUACAUUGAUUGGUGGACAUGGAAUAAGGCUGUGAAUGCGCUUCAUGUGCAAAAAAAUAAAAUAUACCAACAAUUGAAUAAUAUAACACAAAUGUAAAUUACACAUUUAAAUCUGUUUUUUUGUGGCACUGCAGUAAAGAAAUCUACAGAAAUAAACUGGAAAAAAUGGAAAUAUAGAACUCCAACUGAUAUUACUUAAGGCACCAUAAGGAGAAGUAUUGUUCCAGGCUCAAAGAUUAAAUGACCUUUCAAACCACUUGAAAUUAAAAUAUUUAGUAAAUCUGUUGACUCUAGUCAAAUCUUUGUACUGGGGGUGGAGCCAACUGAACUGGAAGCAGUAGGCAUGUUAGUGGAUCUCCUCUGCAAUAUCACUUCAAUACUGUAUUUUUUUCCUGCUAAACAAGAAAUUGUCUUUAUUUUUCCAUAUACAUUGCCCCUGUUGAUAUAGUGGGCAAGAAAUCUAAAAGCAGCACCUGGCCAGACCUCCCUCACCUUAGCUCUGGAUUCCUAUGUGGUUUGUCAGCCAUGUGCAGAGCAGGCCAUCAUGGCAUCCUCGCGACCUACACCUAAACUUCCUCCAAGCCUGAGAGUAUCCCUUCUAUACUACCAAGUCCUUGAAUCGGAUGACGAAUCCAUACCUACAACUAAGAGAGAUAUUAAUGCCCUCUUUUGGGGCUUUAAACCAUUGUUCCUAAUGGACCUGGGGGACAUGAAGCCAGAACUCACCAUUCUCACAAAACAAGUGCCAGAGCUGGUGAUGGCGGUUCAGAUGUCAUCCACCUCUGUGGUGGCCACAGCCAAUACCACUCCAGUAAUUAGCCAACAGGACGAUCUUGAGUCUGCAGUGCAGGUCCUGCAGGUGCAAUGUUAGAAGUUGGGGGAUCCUAGAGGUAGUAGGCAUAAUGCCUUAAAAACCUACAAUGGACCACUAUGGUCAAACAUCCAAUAGUGGUACCAUGUGUCUUCAAGGUGAGGAUGGUAGUUUUGGCACCAGUGAACUCCCCUGAAAUGCCAUUGUUCAGAUGGCUACUAGGGCCAAUAAGAUAGUAGCACUUAAGCUGUCAGGGAAUUCGCAAGCCAUGGAUCAUGAUUGCUACACACUACAUAUUUAUCUGGACUUAUGCUUUCAUAUGUUUCAGUGUCGCAGAAAAUAUUCAGUGAUCACUUUUGUAUUCCAGGACAGAUGCAUUGAAUUAUAUAAAUGGGACCCUAUGGCAAGCCACAAUGGCUCACACAUUUACUCAGCCUCUCUAGCUAAUCCGGAGGUCUUUUUCAAAUUGCUAGGUCUCAGACGGUUGAGCUACUCUCUCUGUCUUCCCAGCAGCUCAUCAGCAGAAUGUAUGUGCCAUAUCUGAAGCACUAAACUCAAUUAUCAAGAGAAAAUUGCAGAGUCCCUUGCUUCAUUCACUCAUGGCUAAGCUGUGUACUGGCAUGUUCCCUCUACCUAAGAUCAAAGAAAAAAGGUGAUUAGCGCACACAUAAGAAAAUAACUUUGUUUUACCUUACGUAAAUUGUGUCUCAGGUAACCACAAAGCAAGUACUUUUUACACCUAUAUAUAAACAGACAAAACAUACAUAGUGUAAUCUGUAUAAGAAAUAACAAAGUGAGGACAUUUUUUUCUUCAAACUCACAAUUUUUUUAGCUAUUUAAAAGUUAGCUCUAGACUUAUAAUGCUCAUCAUCUCAUCCUUAAACGAUGCAGUGAUAAUCCAUCCAAAGUAUCCACAGGAACUUAUAGCUGAUAAAAUUCCAGUAAAAUUCAAAGUCCGCGGAGAGUUGAUAUAAAAAGUAUUUAUUCUCACAUAAAAUUUAAAAUAAAAAAUGUGUAUAUAUAUAUAUACAAAUAAGACAUAAAAAUAGCACAACGCGUUUCAACCUUUACAUAGGUCUUUCUCAAGUGCAUCUGACUUACAACUGGGCUUUAAAGCCCUUUUAUAGCAAAGAGUAAUUGGAACAAAGUACAUAAUUAUAGACAACUGUGUAUUCACUACCACCCACUUCCAUUUAUGGUCAUAGCCGGAAGUGCCGUGCCAUCCAAAAAAUGGCCGCACCUCCGGCUAUGAGUCCCAUUAAACUUGACCUCCCCAACAUGUCCGAUCGCAUUCUUCAUUAUAUGGAGUCCUGUUCGGUCUAAUCUCUUCCGAUGACAUCAACAUCCUGUCGUCUGUAUUCCGAUACGUCACUUCCGGUGACGUGUAUAUUCUAAUUUCUUUUGCAGUCACAUGACUCCUGGAGCUCGUUCUUUAUAGGGCUCGUCAGAAAUACAGAAAACGUCCUUUGUGCGGAUGUGAAUGUCCUCAGUUCAUGAUAUUUUGUAUCUCCACAAUUAAAAGGAGGGAAACAAUAAAAAAUAGUAUGAAAAAGAGGGAGACAAUAAAAAUAGUAUUAUUAAACACUUUUCUAUACAUACAGUUUUUUAAUAUAAAAUCAUUUAAAAAAUCCAUCAAAAUAUAUAUUUUUGUAAAUAGGAGAAAAAUUGAAGAGAUAAAACUCUAUUAAAAUAUAUUAACAAAUAAGUUUAAGAUUGAUAAUAAUAAUCUCUAUAAAAUACUAUUGAUUUCAAAAUCAAUAUUGAGACCCAAGGGAGAUAAAGUGCGUAUCUCAAAGAUCCACUUUACUUCUUGGGUACUCAAUUUUUUUGGAAGAUCUCCUCCUCUCCUCUUUUGUCCAUAGUGAUUUUAAAAAGAAAUCUAAUUUCUAUCCCGCAUUCCUUAAGUCCGACUCAAUGAAAGUUUUUGAGCGGUCAUGUUUGGAGGAUAUAUAUAAAAUCAAACCCCUUUCAAAAUACAGCUUGAAUGUAACAUUUGAGGAAAAAAGGAAUUUAGAAGAAUUAAGAAAAGAUCCAUCGAUAGUUAUUAAACCGGCUGAUAAAGGGGGGGGGAGUGGUAAUAAUGGAUAUGGAAAAUUAUUUACAGGAAAUUGAAAGACAGCUUCAAGAUUUUCAUACGUAUAAAAAAUUGAAAAAAGAUCCCACACAAGAAAUAAAGACAAUCUAUAAGACUUUUUUAGAGCAGGGAGAGAACGAUAAGAUUUUAAAUAAAAGUGAAUAAGCUUUUUUAUUUCCUGACCAUCCUCGUAUACCAGUAAUAUAUGUAUUACCAAAGUUACACAAAGAUCCCACUAAUCCACCGGGACAUCCUAUAAUAUCAGGCAUUAAUUCGAUUUUACCUCCGUUAUCCCAAUAUAUAGAUUUCCAUCUCCAACCUUUGGUCAAAAAUUGUCCCUCAUAUCUCCAGGAUUCAAUGAGUCUACUCAAGAUCCUUAAUAAUUUUAAAUGGGAAGAUGAUUAUCUCCUCAUUACAUGUAAUGUAACCAGUUUAUAUACCAUUAUUAAACAUGAGAAGGGAUGUGAAGCUACUGAGUUUUUUCUACAAGAAUCUAAGAAAUAUAAUAUCUCAGCUAAAUUUUAUUCUAAAUGGUAUUCAGAUUAUUCUUAAUAAUAACUACUUUUGGUUUGAAGGAGAUUUUUAUCUACAAGUUAGAGAUACGGCUAUGGGGACCAGGUUUGCACCAAGUUAUGCAAACCAUUUUUAUGGCAUAUUGGGAGCGCACUUUUAUUUAUCAAGGACAUGACUGUGGUGCAAACCUGGUCCUAUACAAAAGAUACAUAGAUGAUAUCUUUAUCAUAUGGAAAGGAUUUGAGGAUCUUUUUAACAGUUUUUUUAAUUCUCUUAACAUUAAUGAUUGGGGGAUUCGCCUAACUAAGUGUAUGAGCAAUACAAGUAUUGAUUUUUCAGACUUGAAUAUUCAGGUCUGUAAUAACAUUUUAACCACCCGUACUUUUUUUUAAAAUCAGUUGAUGUCAAUAGUUAUAUUAAAGUUAGUAGUUGCCAUCACAAACCAUGGUUGUCUAAUAUUCCUAGGGGACAAUUUUUAAGAUUACGUCGGAACUGUACGAAUGAUGAAGAUUUUUUUAAUCAAGCUGAAUUUUUAAAGACACAAUUUAUACAAAAGGGAUAUCAAAAGAAAGAUUUAGAUAUACAAGUUCAGGAAGUGUCAACCUUAAAAAGAUCUCCUUUAUUAAAAUAUAAAAAGAAAGAUGAUCUAUUGACAGGCAACGAUAAACAAAUCCCUCUUAUCUUCAAUUAUUCCAGUAAUAUAGGUAUUAUUAAAAAGAUUAUCAAUAAAAAUUGGAAUAUUUUAACUCAGGACGAAGAAAUACAGGAAUUUUUAGGUUCCAAACCUAAAUUUAUUUUUAGAGGUGCAAAAAAUGUUAAACAAAUUUUAACCAGUAGUUUUUUAGAAAAAACGUCCCAAGUUUAAUGGGACUCAUAGCCGGAGGUGCGGCCAUUUUUUGGAUGGCACGGCACUUCCGGCUAUGACCAUAAAUGGAAGUGGGUGGUAGUGAAUACACAGUUGUCUAUAAUUAUGUACUUUGUUCCAAUUACUCUUUGCUAUAAAAGGGCUUUAAAGCCCAGUUGUUAGUCAGAUGCACUUGAGAAAGACCUAUGUAAAGGUUGAAACGCGUUGUGCUAUUUUUUAUAUCUUAUUUGUAUACAUAUACAUUUUUUAUUUUAAAUUUUAUGUGAGAAUAAAUACUUUUUAUAUCAACUCUCCGCGGACUUUGAAUUUUACUGGAAUUUUACCAGCUAUAAGUUCCUGUGGAUACUUUGGAUGGAUUAUCAUUGCAUCGCUUAAGGAUGAGAUGAUGAGCAUUAUAAGUCUAGAGCUAACUUUUAAAUAGCUCAAAAAAUUGUGAGUUUGAAGAAAAAAAUGUCCUCACUUUAUUAUUUCUUAUACAGAUUACACUAUGUAUGUUUUGUCUGUUUAUAUAUAGGUGUAAAAAGUACUUGCUUUGUGGUUACCUGAGACACAAUUUACGUAAGGUAAAACAAAGUUAUUUUCUUAUGUGUGCGCUAAUCACCUUUUUUCUUUGAUCUUAUCACAAUUUAGAAGUGUAUUUUGGUGACACUACACUUGGGUAAUUUUGAGCUGCACCAUUCGUUUAAUAUUUAUAAGCGCCCUUCUUGUCCUUUUUUCUGUUGUUUAUAUGUUCCCUCUACCUAUCUGUGCAUAGUACACUGAGUGCCCUUUGCAGUUUUUUACACUUGGGAACAUUCUCCUGCAGCUGCCAGGUCAGGUGCUUACAGUAAAACUUUUCAAUAUCAGGUACUUACAGUGCAUCCGGAUGUGGAAUGUUACUCAGUAUUAGGGGAAAGAAAUAAUAGCACAUACAUCUCAUAAACCAUUCAAACAUUGCAUUGACCUGUUGUUCUUUACUACAGGACUGUAUUCUCAAUUAUAUUUUAGUAUAAAGAAACACAGCACUGGUUAGGAAUGGAACAAGUCCAUCCGCCAGGUUGUGAUGGUUGAGAGAUACAAUGGGGCCUAACCCCUAGAAGUGCAAAGAGAAAAUAGGACUAAUGGGUUGCAGAUUAUAAACAAUCUGCCUCCCAAAAAGACCUUGUAUCCUUAUGUGAAAAAAGCUACUCUGCAAUUAUAAAUAUAAAAGUGGAGCGCAGAGAGCAAAAAACGAAAAACUCUUUAUUAAUCCCUCUUGGGGGAGAAACACACAGAUACUAAACAAACAAGUAAUAAAAUUAGGAUCUAAUUGGAUAGAAUCGACUAGUCCAAAAUUAAUAGUAAUAUGGUCAGAAGAAAUGCUAUAAGUAUGUGUGUGGCAGAAUUACCAUAAAUAGUAGCAAAUAACUAUGACCAAAAGAGGGGAGAUACAUUAAAUGUAGCAAACUGAAGAUCUCUGAAUGCAAAAGUAAAUAAACUCUAUAAUUAGGACAAAGAGUAUAUCAAGUGCACAAAAAAUAUGUGCACAAAGAUCUACCAAAAUACGUUUGUAACAUUGCAGGAAAAAAGCCUGCAGUCUAAGUAGCCAGCAAUAUAAAUGUUAAGCAAACUGCCUAAACAGCUGUAGGAGAUUUGGGGGGAGGAGUCCUUAAUAUCAUGCUGGUAAUAGACUAGUAUCUAAUCCCACCAUAAAUAGAUAAAUGAUAGGACAGUCUGAAAACAAAAUAGAAUCCUAAAUUAAAAUCAUCAUCCGCUUUAGUAAAGUGCCCAACGCGCGUUUCGGCGAAGCAAGUCGCCCUUAUCAAGAGCAAUUUGCAGACUGAAGGGAGCCUCUUUUUAAAUGUGUUUAAAGCUCCACCCAUACGCAUGAUGUAACCACUGUUGUCCAAUCAGGAAAUAGGGGGCGGAGAAAAGUACCAAGCUCAACAGGAGUGAAGCUAAUUGUAGAUUUAACCCUCACAUAACCAAAAUAUGAAUGGAAGCUAGCACAUAUCUUCUAUCUUCAUAGAGUGAAGGCACAAAAUGUAAAAUGUAAAUGUAGCUAAACAGAAGAGCUGGCGAAAGUAGCGUAUAGAUGAACAUAACGCUACAGGAUAAAACAAAUGGAGCCCAUUUAGGGAACAAUUCGAUAGUAAUCAUGAUAAAUAUCACAACAGUGGCACUACAUGUAUGAGUAUGUCACACAGUGUAAAACUCAUCACAUAUAGUAAAGAUGUAAUAAUUGAGCACCAUGUGUGACUUUGUAUGUCUUAAUAAACUCUAUCAUGUAGUAAAUAUAAUGAGCCCAGAGAAAACAACAUUAGAGAGAUAUUCAAAAUUAUAUGAAUAGAAUAAUAAAUUAGGGCAUAGAAACAUAAGCCCCACAGUGUGGUUAAAAUAGAAAAAUAAAGUAAACUCAAAAAAUAAAGAGGGAGAAUACAUAUUGAUUCAAAGAGAAUUUGUUAAAGUAGAAAUCCUGUAUUGACUUAGAUAGCAAAUUGAAAAGUACUCCAUUAAUGGUAAAAUUAAAGGAGAGAUGGAGAUUGAAAAAAUGAAAAAAUUAAUGAAUAAAUAAAUGAAUGAAUAAAUGAAUGGAAAGUGAAGUAGUAUAAUAUAUCCAUAUUCACAUAUCAUGUAAUGUUGGUGAAAAUAACGAAUAAGUCGCAAAACUGAAAAGUAGUAGGUAAUGAUGGAAAUAGAUGAUAUUAAUGAUGAUGGACAGUUUAUCAAAACAUUACAGUUUUUAAAUAAAGGGGAAAAAAAAAAAAAGAAAAACCUUCAUUGAGACCUUUUGGGUAAAGUGUUCUAAGUUGAUAAAUCCAGAGGCUUUCCCGAUGUCUCAGAAAUCUGUCAUAGUUACCCCUACGUUUAUCCUUGCGCACCAAUUCCAAUCCACAGAACCGGAGUCCCUGCGGAUUGCCCGCAUGGAAGUCUCUCAGGUGACGACCUAUGGGAGUAUCAACAGGUAGUUUCGGAGAUCUAACAUGCUCCUUAAUGCGCUCCUUAAACGGUCUGAAAGUUUUUCCUACAUAUUGUAGCUUACAGGUGCAUGUAAGGAGAUAGACUAUACCAGCAGUAUUGCAAUUGAAAAAGGAUUUAAUCCCAAAAGCCUUUUUACCAUCGCUAUCCAUAAUAGACUUAGAGUCACGUUUGAUGUAUUUACACGCGACACAAUGGCCACAUUGGUAUGAUCCCACUGUAGGGGUGUGUAGCCAGGUGCGUGUGGGUGAACGAUGGAAAUGGCUUGGGACUAAAAGGUUCCUAAGGUUUUUGCCUCUACGUGCCGUCAUAUCCACAUUUGGCCCUAAGAGCAUUUUAAGGUGAACAUCAUCCAACAGACACGGCCAGAAUUUUUGGAUCUCAAACUUAACAGCCUCCCAGCCUGAAUCGUAAGUGGCUAUCAUCCGUGGGGCUUGAGGUUUGAUGGAGGUAUCCACUAUUUUUGGGGAUAGUAGAGUGCCUCUGUCUGCCUCUAAGGCCCUUCUAUAGGCUUUUUUAGGCAUUUAUUAGGAUAGCCCUUCAUUUUGAACUGUUGUCGCAAUAUGUUAGCUUGAAGCUUAAAAUCCUCAACAUCGCUGCAGUUCCUACGGGCUCUAAGAUAUUGCCCCGUCGGAAUGCCACGUUUAAGGGAUUGGGGAUGAAAACUCUCCCAACGAAAGAGACUGUUAGAAGAUGUGGGCUUUUUAUACAGCGUAGUGGUGAUGGAAUUACCACUGACCAUGAUCGUAAGGUCCAAAAAUUAAGUGUAUUGCCCCCGAACUCCGAAGUAAAAUAUAGGUUAAACUCAUUGAAAUUGAGUAGGGAUACAAAUUCAUCAAAAAAUUCCCUACUACCUGUCCACAAAAUCAAAAUAUCAUCAAUAUAACGGGCCCAAUGAUGAAUAAAGGGCCUGUAUGAUGAAAAAACAUCAGAUGCCACAACUACUUCCUCCCACCAACCUAGGUGGAGAUUGGCAUACGAUGGGGCACAAGCUGUCCCCAUCGCAUUGCCCUGUACCUGAUGGUAGAAUUUUUCAUUGAAGAGGAAGUAGUUGUGGCAGAGGAUAAACUCAAGAAGUUCCAAGUCAAAGUUAGAGUGAUCAUUAAGGUCAGCACCCCUUUUGUCCAGGUAAAAUUUAACAUGUUGAAUGCCCCCCUUGUGUGGUAUAGAUGAAUAUAAUGCUUCAACAUCAAGACUACAAAGUGCCAAUGUUUCGGGCACUGUUAGACUUGAUAGACGAACCAAAGUUUGCUUGGUGUCCUGAAUGAAGGAAGGUAACAAUUCCAGAAAUGGGCGGAGAACCUUAUCCAGAUAAAUACUACCAUUUUGGGUAAUGUUGUCAACACCCGAAACUAUGGGGCACCCAGGGGGAUUAAUCUGGCUUUUAUGGACUUUGGGCAGGCAGUAGAAGGUAGCUAUCCUGGGGAAUUUAUUCAGGAUGAAAUCAUAUUCAUCUCUGGAUAGCACCCCUCUACUGCGGCCCAUGUCCAAAAUUGCUUUGUAGUCCUGUAAGAAUGUAUUGGUGGGGUCUGUUCUGAGGAGAUGGUACGUAUCUCUAUCAUCAAGAAUCUUGAGAGUCAUUUUUAUAUAGUCUGCUGAAUUCAAAAUGACUAUAUUCCCUCCCUUGUCAGCCGGUUUGAUCGUAAUUGUGGUAUCCAGUUUUAAAGACUGGAGGGCUUUGUUCUCAGAUUUUGUAAGAUUCAUAUUGGGAAAGAAAUUCAAAUCCUUAUGAUUGAUGUUCUCUAUUGCAAAUUUGACUGACUCUAAAAAGAAUUCAAUAUUCUUAAAAUUCCCCAGAUUAGGUGUAAAGCGACUUUGAGGUUUUAAGUUUGUUUGUUGUAACGUGGUAUUUGUGUCGCUCUCAUCCAGGUCUUUUUGGGAGGCAGAUUGUUCAUAAUCUGCAACCCAUUAGUCCUAUUUUCUCUUUAUAUUUUAGUAUACUAAACAGGUCACCGGAACAGGUUAUCAUCACUGAGGGUAUGUAUAGUUAACUUUUUUUUGUGGGCAUGGGCUCUGUGUAAUGAAAUUGAAGUAGGAUUAAGGUGCUAAAGUAAGUGGUGAGAAUCGAUAGAGGUCUGUCAAAUACUGAAAGUAGGCAAAAAGACAUUAGAAAAAUAUGUUCAUUAAAUCAAGAUAUAUACAACAUAAAUAACAACUUGUAUUCUUGCCUUAGUUUUAAAAUAGGAUCAGGAAUAUAAGUGGCAAAAUAAAAAGAAUUUCAGCAACCAUGAUUUUUAUUAUGUGUGCUGGAAUGUUAUUUAGAAGCUGCAGGUGCAGAGCCAAUUUGAAAAAUGACCCAGAUAAGUAGAAAAAUGAAAGCCUGGUCAAUAGGACUCUGGUACAAUACAAUAAUUGCUAUGUGAUCAGUAUUGGAAUCUGAAUUUCUACCAACUAGAGUCGCUUGUAAAUCGUUAAAGGGACACUGUAGGCACCCAGGCCACUUUAGCUCAUUGAAAUGGUCUGGGUGCAAACUCCCAUCACCCUCAACCCUGAUUAUCUUUGUAGCAGAAGACCUCCAAAUACUGUUAUAUAUAUACUUUCCCCUUGUAUUCACCUGUUUCAUCCUUUUUCCGUUCGGGAGACUUCAUACAAACAGAAUUUUUUUGUCUCCCAAACUAGGACCACCCUUGUACCCCAUUAGAACGUUGACACCGACCACUUAAGUGCGAAACCACAAGGGAAGUAAUUAAUUAAUGCUUCCUCUGGGUGGCCGCCAUUUCGUGGCAGACAAAAGAGUGGUGGCUAUCUUGUCUCCCGAACAUUACUUGGUCGUCGAAUGCCUGGAACUCUCUUCGGCUAGGCACCGCUACCCGUUCUGUUUCCAGACGAACGACGUUCAGGAGAUAUGAACUACCUAACAGGGGGAGCAUACGUAUCCUGAAAUGAAGAAAUUCCCUUGCAUGGUGUUCGCACUGGAACCUCAUGAACGGAGACAGGCCAGGGUACCUAUUUCCCUGGAACUGUUUUGGGCUAGUGCCAUGUGCCUGCCGGUCAAAACUUUACCUCAAUGGCAUUUCCACAUCACCAAAUUGAGGAUAUGGGGAAUGUACUUUUUGUGGGGUUCCUAUGUAGGGUGGUGGUUCUUUUGGGGUACAGUAUAUUUUGUUGGAUUUUCAAGAUAUAAUUAAAUUAGAUGAUUUUUCUCACACAAUUAUCUCUCAGGCACAGAGGAUCCUGGGAUUGAAACCCCUGUAUUGGUGUGUUGAAAACCCCUUGUAUGGGACUGGUCAUAAAAGCCGUGUAUGCACCACUCACGCCUGCGAAGGAGAGCGAGGCUUAUGCAAAAGCGACGGAGUGCAGCCCUGCACAGCCCCACACAGGGGGAGGACUUGGCCCCAGGACGGCGGAGAGUCCGUGAGACAGUGGACAUGGCUCUAAGAAAGUCUCAGGGCAGGAGGGGCGCCUCAUCCAGACCGCGCUGGGAUACUUAUGAGGACACACAGGGUACCGAAGACGAGGAGCAGCUGGAGUGGCUCGUCAAUGCUACUUCCAGGCAUGUCACCACAGCCUCCAGCCUGGGAAUCGGCUGACCUUAUAUGGACUGACCCGCUAUACCACCUACAGUUCAUGCCUGAGUACAUAAUGUGAGAACUCUCUCUAUACAUUAUACUUUGUAAAUUAUACUCAUUACUUGUUUAUUUACACCUACUAAGCUACAUAAUCAGAUGACCUAACUGAUACCUUAUAUUUUUCCCUCUUUGUCCCUCCUCUGAUUAUAUUCCCUACUUAAGCACCCACACAUAUUUAGCCAGCAACAUUCAGGUUUUUCGCUCAUUUAAGCUACAGUAGUAUACACAUGAAUACCUAGCAUGACUUAUCGUGUUUUACAACAACCUGUUCAGAUGUAUAUAGCUGGAUAAAACGAACACCCUUACUGGCUGACUCGCUUAGGAGUUUCUCAUGAAUCAAGUUAAUGUACACGACUUUUGUCUCUCUGCUUUAACUGCUUUCACGCUGAUACCUUUCCCCAAUAGUACAAAAUUGUGCAUUAUGCAUUUAUGCGCUGAGAAAAAUUAAAACAAAUAAAAAAUACAUGGAAAAGCCGAGUGUGACUCAAUAAACUUCAGCUGUACUCCCAGAACUAUGUGUCGUCCAGUUGCUGGGGAGGAGGUGGAUAUAAGUGUGUGCUGGACUGGAUGCUGGUGCAGGAUGUGAUGAGAUAUAAAGAAUGCCCUUGGUGUAUGAUACAGAUGGUGAAGUUAAACCGGACCUGCAACCUCAAGCACUUUGGAGAGAAUUUAAAGAUUAAUCAUAUCAAUAAUUCUGGACAAGGGAUAAGAGCUUCUAAAGCUUAAGUGUAAAGUGAAAUGCUCAAGACUAUAAGAAAGGUACUAGGGUCAGCUGGUUUGUGAAUGCUUCAGGAGUAUUGAGAUUGGCACCUACCUACCAGAAUCUGGUUGCAAAGGUGCAUCAUGCAGGGGCCGGCUCUGGGGCUGCUAUGUUGAUCUGAGGUGCAGUGUGCAAAGAGGCUUUGUAUUUUGCAUACCUCUCUUUACUAACUCCAUACAGCAGUAAAGAAACACAUAGAAAAAAGAACCAAUCACAGGAGAGCAGGAUGUACAUAAGGCAAUGUGACCUCAUCAUUUCCUCUUUCUUUACUGCUCCAUCAAGCAGACAGGUCAGAGUAUUACUCUUCUCCAUUACUUUAUGUUUAUUGUGCCUCUUUGAGGUUGUUUCUGUAUUAUAUUUUUUUUAAAUACUUUACUGUAUGUUCUUGCUGUGCUUCUGUACUAUGUGCAGCUGUGUUUUUCUAUGUUAUUUCAUAGAUAUUAUGUAGAUUUAACGUAAUCCUUAUUUCAUAACCUUUAGUUGUGAUUAAUAUCACUUGUAAUUUAUCAGUUUUAUAGGCAUUUCAUCUUUUGUUUUGAUAAGUAUUAUAUGUACUUUAUAUGUAUUUAAUAGAUGUCAUAUGUGUUUUAUGCCAUGGAUUUAAUAGGUGUUAGGUGUAAAUUUUAUUAUUGACUUAAUAGGUUUUAUGUAUAGUUAUGGUAGAUGUACUUUAUACCAUAUGUAUCAUGACUUUUCUGGCGAUUUUCCUGGUCUUCUAUACCUGGGGCAUCUGGGGACCCUCUUUCCCCGUUUUCCUCCUUCUUCCCAGGGUCUCAUGGGGAUUCUGGGUCUGGUUGGGGCUUAAGCCCUUCCCUCCAGCGGUUCCCGUCGGCUCCCGCCGGCUCCAGGGCAUUAACCCCUUCUUCCGGCCUAUCCGUUCGACCCCUUCCUCCUACAACCCUCAGGGGGACGGCCAGACUCACUGCCCUUGCUCUCUCAGGCUGCCCCAUACCAUACACCCGGUAAUGUGCUGGAUGCUUUCCAACAUCCACUACCUUGGUGCAGGGCAGUCUGUGGGGCAACCAUGAGGUAGCCCGAGAAUGACGCGGUGGCCAUCUUUGAUCCCGCAUCUACCGAGACUCCAGGGACCAUGUUCCCCUUCCUUUACGGCCAUCUUUAAUCUUGCGUCUUGCGAGAUUAUGGGCGGCCGUUUUGCUACUCUCAUCCACCACGAUUUCGGCUCUCGAGAGUAACAUAUACCUUGGCUGUCGUGACUCAUGAUGCUCUGACACAGACGUUGGAGCCCAGGGUCCCAAGUUCGAAUCCAGGCAAAGGUAAGUAUUUUAACUGGCCUAUUAUUGUCAGAUUUGAGUCGUACUCAUGUAUAGUGGUUCGAGGUGCUGGAACCUUAAAGGGAUAUCACCCCCAAAAAUCCCUUAAAGGGAUAGCACCCUCAAAUUCCUUAAAGGGAUCCUUAAAAGGAUACCACCCUGGUGCUACUUAAAAGGGAUACCAAAUGCCAUUGUAUCAAGAUGGUACUGUAUAAGUACAUAUCAGUGAUGGAAGAUUUGAAGGGAUAUCAUCUGGAUCAGGGUUCAGGAAUCUACAGCAAGACUUUAUGUCUGGAUGCUCAAAGGGAUGACCCCUAUCACUUAGACUACCUGUCAGAACACGACAGAGUUUAGUGCUAUAUCCUAUUAUCCCUCAGAGGUCAGUCACUUUUGUCUCAUUACUGCCAUAUUAAGCACUAAAGGGCUUAUUACCCUGUGCCUGCCUGGGGUGCUGCCCCUAUUACCUGCUUUUUGGAGGUCGCACUGUGGCCACUUCUGUGAUUCUGGGUGAGGCUCAGUUAUACAAAUCCCAAUAUUGUGGUUUGCCCUGCUGGGACAAUUUGACAACACUUAGUGACAGAUACAGAAUACCAUGCCGGGGUUAUUACACCUUACUGUCAUUUAUACAGACCCUGCUGGGCAUUAUUUACACUACAACAGAUACCCUGCUGGGGUACCCCAUAUCACACACCCUGCUGGGGUUGUUUUGGUACUUUGAGACAAUAAAUUGCACACAAUAAGUGCACACUACUGCAUAUCACACACCCUGCUGGGGUCGUUUUGCUACUUUGAGACAAUGAAUUGCACACAAAAAAUUGCACACUACUACAGCCUGCUGGGGUCUGCAUGGUGCAUUGCACACAAUGAAAUGGAUUGUGCUCUCAUCCAGUAUGUUUUAUUUGGCCGUGACCCACGCUUGACGGGUACAUACUCCGCGCACCUGAGGUGAUCUCUGACUAGGUAUAAGCAAAUCUAUUCGGCUAAAAAGGGGACAGAGUUGCAAGCUUCAGUGCAGAAUAUCCCCCAUGGCGGUGCAUGGUAAUUAUUGGAAGAGCUGUAGGCCAGCACUGAUGGGUUCAUACCCUGUGCAACCGGGGUGAGCCCCCUACAGCACUGCUGCUUCUACUCCUACCCCUAUCAACAGCAAGCUCGAGGAUUGAAAACCAGAACUUCAGAUCUGGGACCAGCACUUACAGGUUCAGACCCGGUGCUCUCGGGGUGAGACCCCUACGAUGGGGGAGUCACACUACCCGACCGAAGGAAGUCUUAUGGCAACAGCCCCUACCUACACCUGAAGGAAUACCUCCAUUGAUAAUGAAUCAUGAUAUGGUACGGGUUUAUGCCCUGUACCUAUUCUGCGGCCUGCAGUUAAAGGCUCAUGCCCUAUGCACCGGGCCCGGCUAGGCGUGCACUGCACUAAAAUGCCGAACAAAGGCAUGUGGUUACAACCGCUGAACAGGAGUUCCGAGCUGCCUACUUAACAAUAUAUAUUCCCCUUGAGGUGAAUUUAAUAAUGAAAGAGGUGACUGACACUCAUACCCUGUGCACCUCGGGUGAGCCCCCACUAUAUGUGCGCUGCACAGUGCUGCUGAGCGGAGGCAAUGCUAUGGCAACCUCUAUGUACUGGGUGAGCCCCAGUCUGUUUUAUUUGGCCACGAUUCGGAAUAAGACCCGCAAGGUUUUCCAUGAACACUGCCUACUGUCAUAGUAGACUAAUCUGUUUGCCCUGCAUCCUGUGCCUGAAUACUGGUUUGUGCCUUACACAGGGGUAUCCCUUACUAGGAUAACCCUACUUGACAACGUUAUGCACUCAUGGCUUUGCAGCCUCUUGCUUAGAAUGUCCAUAUCCGCUAACGGUCGGACAACCCCAUGCCCUUCCAUGCCGGUCAGAACGGUUCAGACAACUAUAGUGACCAGCGGAGGAGGUCUUUCAGGAUUCACAACCUUACCAUGGGCGAUGCCGGACGCCGCCAAACAUCGUCCAGGAAUGGGCAUACAACUUGGGUAUAUGGACUCAAAAAACUGUUUCUGCUCCUCGCAGGAAACCCCAGUGUUGACCUCUCCCAUAGGAUGCCCAUAGCAGCACUCCUCCGCACUGACGGAUGGUUGGCGGUACUGGGCGCCAAGAUAGUCGGAACCCCAGACACAAGGCACAAAGUUCUGAAGGGAACUUAUUAGACACACAAGGGUCCCACGGCUUUCAUAAGGGCCCAAACCCCUAGGAGGGAGGAGUUAUGCGAUUACCUUUACAAGGGAUUCUUUGCACCGGUUGGCAACAGAGCCGGUCGUCAACCACUUCGGGACAUCUGACCCGAGAUCCGCUACCGCUAGCUCUAUUACCCAUAAAGAGCAAGAGUCAACCAAUGGUGCUCCAGAUAAGCGGACGGAGAACACGGUACGCACAGAUACCAUCAAUAUACCUCCUACUACAUCCACAGGGGAUUUCACCACAUCUAGGUGAAAGGCACUCAAAACUGGGGAAGACCACUUUCACGUAGUAAACCGACUUGUGUUCAGGACCUAAAGACACGUCAGGACGGUCUUCUUCCUUCCCGCUCGACCACCUUAUCCAGUUUUCAGGGGACAUCCUCUCCUUCCCGAUCCAGUAGCUCGGAGCCUGGUGGGCCCUGAUAAACUACCGAAAGAAGUCAUGUAUACAGGUGGGGAAAACAAGACACCCUCUUCCGGGAGAACCUCAUUCAGAUCACUCCAGGGAACUGAAAACCCGUCAACACCCAUGUUCAUCCGAGAACCGGCUGGAACCUCCAGACUUGUAGAAGACUAUUCGCUCAGAGGAUUCGUAGACUAUCCCACAACUUGGGAAUAUUCGCACGACUCUCCGCUGCACCACCGCAACCCUGUACAUUGUAUACCUAGACUUCUUGGUCCUAUACUUCACAAUACAUGGAUUGAUAAAGAAGUACUAGAUCGGCUGCACCCUACUGCACCCUACUGCAGGUAACCACAGAUUAGGCGGUCAGGUUUCACAUCCACCGGUAUGGACCAACUCACGUUUAUGAGACAACAUGUAAGCUCCUUCGAUCCCAGUCUUCUUCACAGAAGAUCAACCCGUCUCCUGGGGGAGACACAUCUCAUAGGGGCUGACUGAUUUGGAUAUUACCACUCGUCACAGUAUAAGUCGAGGCAUGAUGGUGAUCGCGCUCCGUCCGACCGGACCUCCCCGAAGGACUUCUCAUGCUUACAAGGUCUACAGAAAUUCUCGAGCAGGCGAGGAUCUUCUCCUGCUACAUUCAUGAUCGACAAUUCCUCACGGAGCCGUAGGGUACUCACAUCUUCUAUCCCAGGAGAGUCGGCUACCUGGGGUCCUGGACCCACUUUGGGGGUUUCUUGGCAGGUCAGCGGACGAUCGCAGACUGCCAGGGACUUCUUGGGAAUCUGGGAACCCAGGGAUGCGUUGACCCUACCCCUACAUCUGGACAUUCCCAGCCUGUCUGGUUCAGUCCUGCAUCUUGAUCCCUAAUGUGAGGAUGGACCCGUAUCACUACCGGAGAACGCCCAAGGGACUAGGAUCCUCUAGGAUACCAACUACCCAAUGUCAUACCUCUCAAGCUUAUGAGUUGUGGAGGUCGUUCUCCUUUCACUCUACGGGACUAAACAUCCUGCUGACAAACAGUCAGACUUGGUCUUGUAUAAUUUCCCGUUAGAUGGUGUAUACGUGGGCACUCAACGAGGAAGACUCCCCAUAACGCCGAAUACUGGGUCUCUCGGCACACCAUAGGACUCUUUUUUAGUUCUAUACUCUUUUCUCAGAGUUAAAAAUGCAAAAUACGAAGCCUGUCAUGAGGUAAAAUUGAAGAUUAUGCUAGCUUUAGUGUACUCUUCAUUUUAAUAAUGACAGGAGGCGAGUUAUUUCCCCCCCUGCUUCGCUGCCCACCCUUUCUAUUUAUUUGCUUUGCAGAUAUCAGGGGCUAAGGUAGGUUUGCCUCUCACAUUGAUGCUUAUAUGAUAUGGAAUCCUCAUUAGAGUUCUCAUUACAAUUACUCAGUUAUCAGAUUAUGUUAGGUGUUACCUUAAUUGGAGUUACAUGUUCGUGACUAUGUCUUAACCUGUCACACAUUAUCUUUUCAGUAUGAUUCGUCUCUGAAGAUAAUUGGCAGUUCACGUGAAACUAUUGGAGAUUUUAUCCUUUGGAUUUGUCUCAACCCUGAACUCUUUUUCGUUGUUCGUAUAGAAAUCUUUGGAAGUUUGCUCCUUCGCACAUGGGAACUUGGAGUUAUUAUUAGUUUUAUUGUUUGCUAUAUAUUUACUUCUGCUUGUUGUCGCUUUCUGAAAGAGGAAAUGAUGAGGUCACAUUGCCUUAUGUACAUCCUGCUCUCCUGUGAUUGGUUCUUUUUUCUAUGUGUUUCUUUACUGCCGGAUGGAGUUAGUAAAGAGAGAUAUGCAAAAUACUCGCCUGCUGUCAUUAUUAAAAUUAAGAUUAUUAGUACACUAAAGCUAGCAUAAUCUUCAAUUCUCUACACUGAUUUCUGAGCUUCCUUUGUGCACUCUGUAUGCUGUUGGAGCUGGGAUAUAAUGUCAUCCCAGCAACAGUACAGAGCUGCUGAAUAUGGAGGUUGGGUGCACCUCAUUGUGAAAAAGAAUACUAUUUAAUUAUGUAUUUAAUUGUAUUUAUUUAUUUAUUUGAAAUAAAACAUAAUAAUGCAUGUUGAAGUAAUUAUGAAUGUCUGUGUAUAAGCCAGUCUGUACAUUGAAACAUAGCAUGUGAUGGCAGAUAAGAACAAUUCGGACCAUCUACUCUGCCCAAUUUUUUUAAAUACUUUCAUUAGUCCCUGACCUUAUUUUAUAGCUAGGAUAGCCUUUUGCCUAUCCCAUGCAAGCUUAACCUCCUUCAGCUGGAAGACUAUUCCAUGCAUCCACUAUCCUCUCAGUAAAGUAAUACUUCCUGAUACUAUUUUUAAACCUGUGCCCCUCUUAUUUAAGACAAUGUCCUCUUGUUGUGGUAGCUUUUCUUCUUUUAAAUGUAGUCUCCUCCUUGAUUCCCUUUAUGUAUUUUUUUUUUUUAAUAGUUUAUUAUUUUUCUUUUUUUGUAACGUAUGUUGUACAUGCAUAUAAAACAUUUCACAGUCAAUAAAAUGCAUACAAAGACAAUUACAGGGAGACAAUUAUAAAGUGUUACCAUGCUUGUAGCUCUAACAUAUUAAUAAACAUUAUUCUUAUUCUCCGCGUAAAAUAUUUCCAGCCUUUAAACUUCAGUAAAGAAGGAAAGUAUCAAAAACCUAAGAUAGAAUAACCUUCUCAUUCCUCUCUACUGAUAGGCUAAUAUUACACACUUACACAGACAGAACAUAACUAACAAUAAAGUUGACAAUGUAUCCUUGAUAUUUAUUAUAUCCUUCCUAACACCUAUUUACUACCACCCUUUCAGGAGACUCCUUUUUAUCUUUAAAUAGACUAUCUUAUAUUGAAUUUUCAAGAAUCUUUAUCCAUUUAUCCCAUAUCUCAAAUAGACAAAUAUUGAUGUUCAGACUAGAUGCUAUACCCCUUUCCAUUUUACAUUGGGUUAUAAUAAUUGUCUUAAUAUGUGGCCAUGAAUCAAUUAGAGUUUUUUUCCAGUUUUUGGCUAUGGACAUCUUAAAGGCCAUCAGAGCAUGUAUCAAUAGACAUUUCUUAUCUAUAGUCAGUAGCGGUAAAUUUAAAUGUAAAAGCAGAGUAUCUGGGGUCCAAAUAUGGGUGAUGCUCAAAAGAGUAUUUAUAUGUCCCAUAAAAUGGUCCUAUGCUGCUUUAAUUGGAGGACACUCCCACCAUAUAUGCAGUUCAUUUGCCUCCUUGCUACCGCAUCUCCAACAUCUAGAAGACUCUUCCUUAGAGAAUUUCUGAAUCUUAUUUGGAGUCAUAUACCAGCGAUUUAAAAGCUUAUAAUGAGCCUCCCUGAUAUUUAAACAAUGUACCAGCGAGUAGACUGUAUGAAGGGCCCUAUUCCAAUCCUUUAUAUUAAUUUCUGUUGAGAAAUCUCUUUCCCAUUUACUUUUUGCUAAGGGCUGGACAAACCCUUUUAUGCUUUUCAUAAUCACUACGCAUCUAGUUAAUAUUUUUAUAUCCUUCUCUGAGUCUAUCAAUGCAUUCAAUUUGGCUACUGAAGGUGACUUUGAAAUACCGCCAAGGAAGCUUUGUAAAAAGCUCCUGAUCCUUAUAUAUUUAAAAGUCUGUGAAGAAGAAAGCCCAUAAAUUCUCUGUAACUCUGGAAAGGAAAUAAUCCUACUCCCCUCUAGUAUAUCCUCUAUUUUUUUAAUCCCCUUACCAAGCCAUUCUGUUAUAUUCAAAUUUUCUAUCCAGACCUCUAGACUUUUAAAGGGUAGAACUGGUAAUAUUUUAUUUUUUAAUUCUAAUUGAUUUUUAAAAUAAGACCAAAAUUUUACUAACGGUUUUGUUAUCAAAUUGUCCGUAGAACAUCCUAUAUUUCUAUUUGGACUUUUAUUUCUUAAAGGCCACAUUAAUUCUACAAUAUUAUAUGGGAUAGUAAUAUCUUCCCCCUCAAUUUCAAACCAAUUCGGUGAGAUUUUAUUUUGUUUGAUUAGGGGGAGGGUAUGCAUUAGUUGAGCUGCUUGAUGGUAUAAGAAAAUAUUUGGGAAACCAAUACCUCCAUGCUUAUAUUUCAUAUAGGAGAUCCUGACCUAAUCUGGGUUUCUUCUGAAGCCAUACAUAAUCUCUAAAGAUCUUAUUUAUAAGUUUUACUGUGUUGAUUCCCUUUAUGUAUUUAAAUGUUUUUUUAUCAUAUCCCCCCUGUCUCGUCUUUCCUCCAAGCUAUACAUGUUAAGAUCCUUUAACAUUCAUGAUAAGUUUUAUCCUGUAAUCCACGAACCAGUUUAAUAGCCCUUCUCUGAACUCUCUCCAAAGUAUUAAUAUCCUUCAGAAUAUACUGUCUCCAGUACUGCGUACAAUACUCCAAGUGAGGUCUCACCAGGGUUCUGUACAAUGGCAUGAGCAUUUCCCUAUUUAUACUGCUAAUACCUCUCCCUAUACAACCAAGUAUUCUGCUAGCCUUUCCAGUUUAUUGAUAAGCCUUCUAUGUGCAACAAAGUCAAAAGCCUUACUGAAAUCUAGGUAAGCAAUAUCUACUGCACCACCCUGAUCUAUUAUUUUCGUUAGCCAAUGAAAAAAAAUAAUAAGAUUAGUUUGGCAUGAUCUCCCUGACGUAAACCCAUGUUGUCUCUGAUCUUGAAAUCCGUGUGAUUUUAGAUGUUCAACAAUCCUAUCCUUUAACAUAGUUUCCAUUACUUUCCCCACUACUGAAGUUAGGCUUACUGGCCUAUAGUUGCCCGACUCCUCUCUACUACCGUUCUUGUAAUUGGGAACCACAUUAGCUAACUUCCAAUCUUCUGGGACUACUCCUGUUAACAAUGAUUGGUUAAAUAAAUCUGUUAAUGGUUUUGCUAGUACACCGCUAAGCUCUUUUAAUAGCUUUGGGUGUAUUCCAUCAGGUCCCAUUGACUUGUUUGUCCUUACUUUUGACAGUUGAAAUACAACCUUUUCCUCUGUAAACUCACAUGUAACAAAUUACUCAUUUGUCUUUUUUCCUAACUGAGGUCCCAGCCUUCCUCCUACAAUUCGACUCUUUUCUCUGCAAAAGUAAACUACUUCAACACCCUCAUAACCAAGCUCUUCUGCAAACCCAAAUGUCUAUUUUAACAUUCUUCUUCGCCUUCCUCCUAUCACCUUGUCCACCACACACUUUGCAAUCACUUUACUGAGAAGAUUUAUACAACCAGGGAAGAGAUCUCUCUUCUCUUUCCCUCCCCUACCAAUACUCCCUCAUCUCCACUCCCUUUACUGUUCUAUGCUAAUUCGCACCCGCUACAUCGGAAGAGAUUGCUGCUCUGCUCUGGUCCUCCCGCCCCACCACCUUUUCCCUUUAAUCUCAUCCACACUCCCCAUCCAAAUACCGCCCUCUCUCACUACUGCCGUUUGCCUCCAAGAAUCUUCAGAGAGUUGUGUAUGAUAAGACUCCUCGAAUCCAAUUAGUUGUAUCUAAAUUAUUUGGCUUGUAUCUUGACCAUUCUCCAUUCUUUUAUCCUUGAAAUUGAGCUUGUCUACUCAUUUACGUACUCUCUUUCUCAUUGAUAGGUCUUACUUGUACUAUUCUAUAUAGUGUUAAGUCUGGUAACUCUGCCAGGUAAUACAAUGUAGUAUUCUGAUUUAUGAUUGUUUAUAUUUGUUCUGCGUGUUGGGUGAUAGUCAAUCCUGACAUUAUGACUGGGCCAUUGACGCUGCAGCUUCAGUCAGCAAAAGACAACAUGUGAGGCUAAAGUUGAGAAACUUGAUCACCGUAUGAAUCCGUUCGCUCAGGCAUUUCAUACUUUAUUGAACCUCCAACCUUAGUCGCUUCCUGCUCUACAUGUAUACCAGCAGACUGCCAUUGCAAAAUCCUUUGCACACAGUGCCCCUUCGAUAAGUCUGUCUCCUCCUCCAUUUCUUGGCGAGCCACUUGAAUGUAGGGGUUUUCUUAACUGAUUAUGCUAUUAAAUUCCUUACACUUGCAGCAGAGGUCGAUUGGACCAACAGUUCCUCUUUUGAUUUCAUGAGUACCUUUCUGAUACACUUCUAGAUGAGACUGCAACUAGGGAAUGUUUGGAUAAAUAUAUAUCAUAUAUGUUACAUAUUGACAACAGACUCAAGGAGGGAGAGAAAACCAGGAAUAGAAUUAUAGGGACACUCCACUGACCAAAUACAAAACAAAUAAAAAUUACUAUUCAGUAGAUAUACUUUAAAUGAAAACAUGCAUACAUUUAAUUAUUAUUUUUUAUUAGGAGAAUAUCAUAAAACAUCUUGCAAAACUUGCAGUUGUUUCCCCUUUUAACUCUGCCCAGACUUUUUGUGGCUGUCCAAUCGUAGAUUUCCCAAUGUAGCUCAGUGAGAAAUCUUUACAAGACAGGUGCUCUGAGCAAUUAAUGUCUUUUGAGUUCAGCUCCACUGAGGUAAACAAACCAGUGAAUAACAGAACCAGUUGUCUAAAGUGCUUUCUGGAGUGUCCUUUUAAGCAUCCAUCUGUUCCAUAGACUCUUCGUUUAACUCUUUCUACUCCUGCAGUUGCACCUGAACCUGAACUUAUGCGAUUGGGAGUAAUGCAUUUAUUUGAAAUUGAGAAACAAUACUGUCAGACUUAGGGUCUAUGCCUUUAUUAGGGGGAAAAUCUACGUAGAUUUUGUCCAGUUCAUCCAGAAAACCCACGCACCUAAAAACCAUCAGUGGACCUGCCUUAGGUAUUUUGCAUAUGUUCCCUGCUAUGCCUCACAAUUGGAGUACUCACAACAUAAAUAGCAAAGCUCUCAUACAUUCUGGAGCUAUAGUAAAUGUUAUUGAUCAUGCUUUUGUCACUCAUCACCAUAUACUUCUUAGGGAGAUAUCCACACCUAUGGCCACUAAGGCCAUAGAUGGUAGAUCCCUCUAGAAACUAAUACUAACCCAUGAAACCUGUUCUUUGACUCUUUCUUUAGGGCCUCUAAACAAAAAAAACAUUGUUUUUAAACUAAUUACCUCUCCUUCUGUUGCCUUUAGAACAUCCCUAGUUGGUCAAGCAUAAUCCCGUCUUGGACUGGGUACAGGAGAACAUUUGCUAAUGGGGAACAGGUUGCAAGGAGUGCCUCCUUUCUAUUAAACAUUUCAGCAUCAUUAAUGUACCUACUAUGUUCCCUUAUCUAUUGCUGUUCCACCUCAAUAUGACUAUGUUAAAGAAGUAUUCAACAAGUUCCAUUACCACCAAACAAACUAUAUCUUUAGAACUAUUACGAUGCACUAUGCCAUCUAGAGUUAGAUGUACCCGUUGUUGACUCAUGAAAUCAAGAUAAUGGAGGAGUAUAUCCAAGAUGCUCUCACCAAGAGGUUUAUACGUAGAUCAUCCUCACUUGCAGGUGUAGGGAUAUUCUUUGUCUCAAAAAAGGAGGGUGAUCAAUGCUCUUGUAUAGAUUGUAGGGCCCUUAAUAAGAUAACCAACAGGAAUGUCUAUUCUAUACCUCUUAUCACAGAGUUAUUUGAUGGACUUAAUGGGUACACAGUGUUUACAAAACGUGAUCAAAACUUAAGAAUAUUUGAUAGAGUCCUAACCUCAACAUCUGAGGAAAGGGAUUUAGGGGUAGUUAUUUCAGAUGACUUAAAGGUAGGCAGACAGUGUAAUAGAGCAGCAGUAAAUGCUAGCAGAAUGCUUGGUUUUACAGUGAGCGGUAUUAGCUAUUGCACAGAACACUGGUGAGACCUCAAUUGGAGUAUUGUACACAGUAUUGGAGACCGUAUCUCCAGAAGGAUAUUGAUACUUUAGAGAGAGUUCGUAGAAGGGCUACUAAACUGGUUCAUGGAUCGCAGGAUAAAACUUACAAGGAAAGGUUAAAGGAUCUUAACAUGUAUAGCUUGGAGGAAAGACAAGAUGGGGGGAUAUGAUAGAAACAUUUAAAUACAUAAAGGGAAUCAACACAGUAAAAGAGGAGACUAUAUUUAACCCCUUAAGGACAGAGCUUCAAAAGCUUGUCUUUCACUUAAUGACAACGGCAUUUUUUUCAUUUUUUGCUGUUUGCGUUCAACUGCAAUUUGCAUUUUACUAAUUUGUUGCACCAACACAUAUUAUACAUCGUUUUUUAAAGGACAGAAAGGGCUUUAAUUUGAUGUAACACACAUAUAUAUAAAUGCUUAUUUAUUAUAAAAAAAUACAGAAAAAUGUAAAAAAAAUGAAAAUUUUGUGUUUUUUUUUACAGUUUUUGCAAUAAUAAUGUGUGCAUAAUUAGUGCAGGUUAAGAAAAGUAAUUAAAAAUAAAUUAAUUUAGUUGUUCUGAUUUACAGAAUAUACAAUGUGUCUGGGAUUUAAAGUUUUUUUUGGUAGUUACAGGUCACAAAGCACAAGGAGUAAAAUAGACUUUUAAUGUGGAGCGAUUUUAGAAUUUGGUAUGUUUGUCUUGUAAGCCUAAUAGCCAUAAAAGAAAACAAAAUUGCCACACAAAAGUAUAUAUUUAUAUAAAGUAGACAUCACGGGCUAUUUACCUAAGGUUGUUUUGACACUUUCUACGUAGCCAUUUCACCGCCAACCUCUGCUAAAUAUUGGAGUAAAAUUGUGUUUUUUUUGGUUUUUGGCACACAAACUUAUAACAAAGAAAUUCUCGUGUAUAUUUUGUAAAGUUGGUGUGUGCUAUUCCUGUACAAAGUUUUAUUUUGUGUUCAGUUACAUCUGCUGAGUAAAACGACACCCCCAUUGUAUGUCUUUGCCACUAUUUUGUGAAGUUACAGUGCCACACUGGAUACCUGUCCUUUUCAGUAUUCACAGUAGAAUUUUGAGAGAUGGAUUUAAUGAGCCUUAGCUUCCAUUUGGGGUAUUAUGACAGUUUGACUGUUCAAAAAACCCCCACAAAGGCCUACCAUUUGUAAAAGUAGACACUCCAGGGUAUCUCAUAAGGUGCAUAUUGUGCCUUAACAUGCCCCCAUUUUUUCACCAAUAUAUGCCAAAGUAUGUGGUAAAAAAUAAUUUUGUGCAUUUUUUACAUACGGAUUGCAUUUUUGCUGGGCGUUUUGUAUAUUUCAUAUGUGCCACUAAGUUCAAACCCCCCAAAUUAUGCUCAGCUAAGUCUUCUGAGUAAAAUGACACCCCAUAUGAAUGUCUUUGGCACUAUUUCGUGAAGCUACAGUGCCAUAUAGGAGACCUGUCUUAGCUUCCAUUUGGGGUAUUAUAACAGUUUGACUGUUCAAAAAAAACCCCACAAAGGCCUACCAUUUGUAAAAGGAGACACUCCAGGGUAUCUUAUAAGGUGCAUGUUGUGCCUUAACAUACCCCCAUUUUUUCACCAAUAUAUGCCAAAGUAUGUGGUAAAAAAUUAUUUUGUGCAUUUUUUACAUAUGGAUUGCAUUUUUGCUGGGCGUUUUGUAUAUUUCAUAUGUGCCACUAAGUUUAAACCUCCCAAAUUAUGCUCAGCUAAGUCUUCUGAGUAAAAAGACACCCCCAAUAAAUGUCUUUGGCACUAUUUCGUGAAGCUACAGUGCCAUAUAGGAGACCAAGCCAUAUCCGUUUUUACCAAACUUUGAAUUUUGACGCUGGGCCUAUGUGCAAUUUCCAAGCAUCUUCGCAGGUUUUAAAUUCAAACUACCCCACAAAGGCCUACCAUUUCUUAAAGUAGACACCCCAGGGUGUUUCAAAAGGUAUAUUUUGAACCUUAGCGUGGGAUCAUUUUUCCGCUAGCUUGUACCAGAUGUAGUGGUAAUAAGCGUUUUUUCUGCCUUUUUGACAUACAAAGUGAGUUUGCACAGUAUAUUUUGCAAACCUUAUGUGUGCUACGACUGUAUAAUACUUCAUAUGUUGCUCAGCUAUGUCGGCUGAGUACAGCAAUACCCCUGUAUGUACCUUUGCCAGGUAUGUGUGGACAUCGGAGGGGCACAUUUGGGACACAGCCAUUCCAGUUUUUUUCAAACUUUGAAUUUUUAUGCUGUGCCUAUGUCCCAUUUUAGAGUAUUUUACCAGGCUAUAUAAUCCAAAUACCCCAUAAAGCCAUACCAUUUCUUAAAGAAGACAUCCCAGGGUAUUUCAAAAGGCAUAUUUUGAACCUUAGCGUGGGAUCAUUUUUCCGCUAGCUUGUACCAAGUGUAGUGGUAAUAAGCAUUUUUUCUGCCUUUUUGACAUACAAAGUGAGUUUGCGCAGCAUAUUUUGCAAACCUUAUGUGUGCUAUGACUGUAUAAUACUUCAUAUGUUUCUCAGCUAUGUCAGCUGAGUACAGCAAUACCCCUGUAUGUACCUUUGCCAGGUAUAUGUGGAUGUUGAAGGGGCGCAUUUGAGACGCAGCCAUUCAGUUUUUUUCUAACUUUGAAGUUUUACGCUGUGUCCAUGUUCCAAUUUGGAGUAGUUUAGACGGUUGGUUAUUGAAACUUCCCCACAAACCCAUACUAUUUAUUAAAGAAUACACCCUGGGGUGAUUCAAAAGGCAUAUUUUGAACCUUGGCAUGGGAUAAUUUUUUUCUCUAGUUUGUUCCAGGUGUAGUGGUAAUGAGCGUUUUUAAAAUGUAUUUUUUUACUUUUUAUAACUUUUUUACUUUUAAAAACUAGUUUUUAAACUUUUGUUUUGCGUAUUCAUUUUUUUAAACUUUCCUAAACUUUCUUAAAACUUUUUUACAGAUUUAACAUUUUUCUAAGCUUUUUUUUUUACCGUUAACCCCUAACUAGCAGUACGCAGCACUAACAGUAAAUUCUCAAUUUUCCCAUAACUCCCACCCACCCCAGCUAGCAAAAUACAUAGUUAUAAAAUAUUUAAAUUAAUUAAUUAAAUAAAUUGAACCCCUGAGGGUUAAAAAAUAAAUUAAAAGUUAAUCCCCAGGGGUUAAAAAAAAAUUAGAUCACAGUAUAAUACUGUGAUCUCUAAUUGAUCGCUGUAGGCAGUGAUCGACUGGCAGGGAAUGGGGUUAAUUUUUAUUUGGACUAGGUAAAGGGUUUUUUUUUUGUUUUGGUUUUUUUACUUAAACGUUAUUAAAACAUUUUUUUAAGCUUAAUUUUUUACUUUUUAAAGUUUAUUUUAAAACUUUUUUUAACGUUAACCCCUAGUUAGCCUAACGCCAAAUCCCCCAAUUCCCCACUAACUUCCACCCACCCCAGCUAGCUAAAUAUAUAAUGUUAAAAUAUUUUAAUUAAUUAAUUAAAUAAAUUUAACCCCUGAGGGUUAAAAAAAAAAAGAAUUAACCCUCAGGGGUUAAAAAAUUAAUCAGAUCAUAGUAAAAUGUAAUCCCUGCCAAUUGAUCACUGUAGUCAGUGAUCAAUUGGUAGGGAAGGGGUUAAUUUUUUAUUAAAAUGGGUAAUUGGGGGGGGGGACUUUAAAUUAACUUUAUUUUUUUAACAGCAGGGGGCAAGAUCAUCACUGAUCCGGCUCCCUGCACUUCACACAGAACCCGGAAGUGCAGGGAGCCGGUAGGUGAGUAUACAGAGCACAUGUGCUGGGCAGCCUGACCGGGUGCUCCUGGUAUGCCUCUAAUGCAGAGGCAUACCGGAGCACCAUUAACCCCGCGAUCGACCGCGAUAGGGUCUCCCCUCUGUGACGGACCUCGUCCGUCACUCGUCCUUAAGGGGUUAAAAGAAGAAAACCACCACAACAAGAGGACAUAGUCUUAAAUUAGAGGGGCAAAGGUUUAAAAAUAAUGUCAGGAAGUAUUAUUUUACUGAGAGGGUAGCCUCCCAGCUGAAGUGGUAGAGGUUAACACAGUGAAGGAGUUUAAGUAUGUGUAAGAUAGGCAUAAGGUUAUCCUAGCUAUAAGAUAAGGCCAGGGACAAAUGAGAGUUUUUAAAAAAAAUUGGGCAGACUAGAUGGGCUGAAUGGUUCUUAUCUCCCGUCACAUUCUAUGUUUCUAUCUCAGAAGAAUAAAAGAGGGCCAUGUAUGGAAAACCAUAUUUAACGUAGUACCUAGUAAUGUUGUUUGGAUUGUGCAAUGCAGUAGCAGUGUUCCAAUACUUCAAAAUAGUCACUAUAGUCCUGUGAUAAAAAUAAUAAUAAAUGAACAAAUGUACAAAGUAAAAACCUUUCAAUGUAACAGGAGCUGGUAUUUAGGUAUACAAACAACAGGUCAAUAGAAUCUAUACAAAUUAAAAAUUGAUUCAAUAAUACAAUUAUGAUGUAUGUACUUAAAAUAUCAUUAAAAAAACAUACAGAUAUCAAAAAAAUGUCUGGUAAUCAAUCAUGUAAAGCAUGAGGUGCAAAAAACUGCCUUUAUCCAAAGGGCUAAUGAACAAUAUACAUGUGAUAAUCAUGAAAGUGAGGGUGGUGGGGGGGGAGAAUAUGUGUGUAUAUGCAAGUCUGUGUGUGUUCAUGUGUCUGUGUGUAUAGUAACAAUCAUACUAGAGUGUGCCAGGCUAUUUAACAGUUUAGGAAUACUCUUUGACCCAGGAGUGAUUCAAGUUGCAGAAUAGUAUUGGUCCUUCUUUAUUUAAUUUGAAAAAAGACCAAUACAGAUAAAUCCGAUAUUUCGUUCCAAUUCACAUAGUAAAUUUAUAUAUGUCUUGUAGAGAGAUUUGACGAAUUUAAGACAAUAUACUUGAAACAAACAAAUAUUAAAAUGAACAGUAUGAAUAGGGACGUACAUAAUUAAGGACUGCACCAUUACACCAUCCUUAUUUUAGAUUGGGUUUUCUUUUUUCCUUGAAAUUAGUGCCAUAGAUCCUGGUAUGAGAUCAAUUUAACCGAUGUAGUAAUAAAGUUACAUUCCAUUACAUAUUGAUAUUCUAUUUGGUUUAAAAUGUCUUGCCAUAGAAGAGGUUGAGUAGAUUUCCAGUGACGAACUAUAGAAAUCUUCAGAGCAUAAAGAAUGUGUAUAAUGAAAAAAAAAUUUUCAUUAAUGGAAAAUCUAAGUUAAAUAAAAAUAUCGAAAGUGUGUGACUAUUAUUGUCUCUUGAGUUAAGUCUAAUAUCAGAGAAGAUAUACGCAUCUUAAUAUAAUUUAGUAUCUCACAAGUAAACCAAAUAUGAAAUAUUAUACAAUUCUCUUUGUGGCAUCUCCAACAUAUAGGUGAAUAAACUUCAUACAGUUUAUGUAGUUUAGAAGUACUAUCUAUACAAGAUUUUUAGAUGCAAUUCUAACAAAGAUAUACAAUGGAUGUGUUUUUUUAAUUGGAUAGUGGUACGGUACCAUUCGUAUGGGGUAUGGUUUAUGAUAAGAUCCUUUUCCCAUUUCACUAUUGGUAGUAUUUUUUCUGCACCAUCUUGUAUAAGUUUGGAAGAUCGGGUUAUUAAGCCCUUUGUUCCUACUCUAUCCAAAUAACUAAAAAUAGGGUGUUAAAAUAUAACAUCUUUUGAGUUUAGAAAGUACUUAAUCCUUAGUUAGCGAAAAGUUUUGCUGUAGGGUAUAUUGUAUUUAUCUUGUAGACCCAGGAAGCUAAUCAAUAUUUUAUUAUUAGAGGUCUGCAAUUUUGUUUAUCCCUAGUUUAUCGAUCAUGUCAUAUUGGAGAUAUUCUAAUGGGGCUUGUAUUAGAAUGGAAUCUGAAAGGUUAAGUUUAGUUUUCAACAUUUUUAAAACUUCUAGAAUAUCCAUAAUCAAUUGAUUUGGAACAUUUCUUGGUUUGAUUACAUCUAGGUUAAGUGACCAAAAUACAGUAUUUAAAUUGACAUGUAGAUAGUUUUCUUGCUCUAUCUGGAACGAGGCAUUUUUUUGAAUAAUACACUUAUUCCAUACCAGUACAAUUAGACACGUUUGAUUCAACUUUGCGAUAUCCGGAAAUAAGAUACUACCUUUAUCAUAUUUAUUUUGUAGAAUUUUCUGAGAGAUUCUUGGGCGUUUAUUUGCCCAAAUAAAGUUUGAAAAUAAUCUUUGAAAUUGUAGAAUCCUAUCACUGCCUUGUCUUAAGGUAGAGAUCUAAAUAAAAAUAAAAAUUUCAGAAUAGAGUAAGUGUUUACUAUAUUCAGACUCCCCAGCCAAGAGAUCUCAAUUUUUCUCCACUUAAUCAGUUGCUUGUCAAUUAAAGUAUAAAUAUCCCCAUAAUUCCAGUGUAUUAUAUCCUGAAUAUUAAAAGAUAAUUUAAUUCCUAAAUAUUCAAUAUGCUCCAGGUUCCAAUUAAGUUGAAAUUUAGAUUUGAGUAUAGCUAGUUCGGCAAAAGGUAGGUUUAACACCAAAAGUUGCAUUUUCUUUAAGUUUAUUUUAUAAUUCAAACAUAUUUUCCAAUAUUUCCAAAUAUUUCAGAGAUGUCAACUUUUAAAAGCCAUGAGCCCCUACCCGGGUGAAGACUUAAUUGCAAAGUGUCAUACAUGGAAGCAUACUGCAGUUUAAAUUCUUAUGAGAGGAUUAAUGAAUUGAAGUUGGGUGCAGGUGAAGAAUGUGGAUCUGAGAGGUUGAUAAUGAAAACUAUAAGAUACUCAAAAUAACUAGUACAUGAGUAUCCACUGGAAUAAUGAAUAGUAAUGAUUCUAUACAAAGUGAGAUAUAGAGAUAUAUAUAAUGAGAAAAUACAAUAAUAGAAAAAUGGGUCAGGUGAAAGUAGAAAAUAACUGCCUAAUGGCAAAAAACUCCCUUCCUAAUGUCUCUAAAAGUAGAUACUGCAGUACACAGGUUUAGACUUUAAUAUAUAAUGCUUCAUAGGCCAAUAUCUGUGACUACAGGCUGGUAUCAAUACAUCCAAAGAAUAUAUGAGACAUUAAGAACUUGCUUUUACCUAGUAAGUCUCAAGCUGUGGCAUUAUAUAAGAUAUAAUAGAUUGCUAGCAUAUUGGAACAUUAGAGGCUGAAUAAGCAGAAAAGUAUAAAUAGAUACUAUAUGUGGGAUCUAUUGAAAAUAAUUCAAUCAGUAAAUUGUAUCAAAAAAGUAUCUAUAAUGUUAACUGCCAUGUACUCAAUUGCUAGCAUAUUGGGACAUAAGUAACUGAAUAAGCAGAAGAGUAUAAAUAGAUACUAUAUAUAUUGGAUAUAAAAUAAUCCAAAAAAUAAAAUGUAUUAAGAGUAGUAUCUAUCAUAAUAACUGCCACAUAUAAACUAAGUCCAAAAUUAUUGAAUAGACAGAAUAUAUCCACAAAUGGAUCUGUUAUAUAAUAUGCCACAUAUUAGGAGGUAUAAAGCAUAAGAGAGAUAAAGUGAAUAGUGAAAAAACAGUGUGCUAAAUGUGCAGAGCCAUGCUUAGAAUUCUGGCUGCCUGCACAUGGUGACAGAGUGCCCUAUAAGUGAAAAUGAUGAGGGGAAAGAAGACCCCCCCCCCCCAACCCCUCCAAAAUAACCUGAUGCGCGUUUCGGUGCUCUUGUGAUGCACCUUCGUCAGGUCUUCUUUCCCCUCUUAGUUUUGCCACCUGACUGGUAUUUAACAGUCGGUAUUUGAGGCUGCCAGGCUGGGCAGAUAUUGCAGUAAUACCGGCAAUUCAAAUGCAGGUAUUUUUCUUAGUAUAAAUGGUGAUUACUCUGCAAUACCAGCAUCGGCCAGUAUGGGGUCACUGUGUGUGGAGAAAGGCAGGGAUAGUAAGUUACAGCAUAACCCUGCCUCUCUCUACUACUCACUGAUGCUGGGGGAAGCAGCUACACAGCACAGAGAGUCCAGACAGCAGCUCAGGUAAGUGAGGGAUGGGGGGAAAGGCAGCAGGGAGACAUGGGGACACUGAGACACUAGGGGAUACAGACACUAGGGGACACUGGGAAACCUGGGGACACCGAGACACUUGUGGACACUGGAAAACAUAGGGACACUGAGACACAUGGGGACGCUGUGAGACAUAGGGACAUGGAGACACUAGGGACAUGUCUCCCAGUCUCCCUAUGUCCCCCAACCAGUGUCCCUAGUGGCUCAGCGUCCACAUGGCUCCCAGUUUCCCCUAGUCUCCCAGUGUCUGUGUCCCCAUGUCUCUCAGUGUUCCCAGUGACUCAGAGUCCCCAUGUCUCCUAGCCAGUGUCCUCAGUGUCCCCAAGUCUCCCAGUGUGUGUCCCCAUGUCUCCCAGUGUCCCCAAAUAUCUGUGUCCCCAUGUCUCCCAGUGUCCCCAUGUCUAUGUCCACAAGUGUCCCUAGUGUCUCAGUGUCCCCAUGUCUCCCAGUGUCUGUGUUCCCAUGUCUCUCAAUGUCCCUAGUGUCUUAGUGUCCCCAAAUGUUUCAGUGUCCCCAUGUGUCCCAGUGUCUGUGUCCCUAGUGUCUCAGUAUCCCCAUUUCUCCCAGGGUCCCCAAAUAUCUGUGUCUCUAUGUCUCCCAGUGUCCCCAUGUCUGUAUUCACAAGUGCCCCCAUGUCCCCCAGUGUCCCCAAGUGUCUCAGUGCCCCAAUGUCUCCCAGUGUCCCCAUGUCUCACUGUGUCCCCUAGUAUCCUAGUGACAUGGGGACACACUGAGACACAGGGAGAAAUGGGGACACUGGGAGACUAUGGGACUGGGUGACAUUGGGACACUGACACUGUGAUACAUAGGGACACUGAGACACUGGGUGACUUGUGAGUCUGAGACACUGGGAGACAGGGAGACACUGGGAGCAAUUCAUCUAUACAGCACAAUCAAACUGUGAGUAGUUUGUUGGUGAUUUUACAGAAUUUUCUCUUAUGUCACUCCUUGUGAUUUACAUCAUGUGAUGUCAUGCAUAACUAAUUAAUUAUACAAAUGGCUGGUAUUUUUUUUUCCAAGAAAGGUGGCAAACCAAACAGGAACACAAUAAUGUAUUUCUCACCCUAUUAUGCAAGACCACCAUCUAGCCCCCCUGACUCCCUCUUGCCUCCCCAAAUAUAGUAAAAUCUUACUUGUAUUCAAGUCUGCAGAUUCUGGCUCUGCCUCUGCACUGACAUCAUCAGAAGUGGUGGUCUGAGCAAAUUACAAUGCUUCCCCAUAAGAUUGGCUGAGACUGUCAACUAGGCAGAUCAGGGGCAGAGCAAGCACAAGUCAAACACAGCCCUUGCCAAUCAGCAUCUCCUCAUAAAGAUAAAUUGAAUCAAUGCAUCUCUAUGAGGAAAGUUCAGUGUCUGCAUGCAGAGGGUGGAGACACUGAAUGGCAGUGCUGCGCCAGGAAGCACCUCUAGCAGCCAUCUAAGGAGUGGCUAGUGGAGUUAUUUUCUCUGAAAAGACAGUGUAUAAUGCAAAAAGCCUGAAGGGAAUGAUUCUACUUACCAGAACAAAUACAAUAAGCUGUAGUUGUUCUGGUGACCAUAGUGUCCCUUUAAGUUUGGAAGCUUAAGAGGGAUGUAUGGCAACAAAACCUGUGUGGACUGGCUGACAAAAUUAGUUUAGGUAAUGCAGACUUUGGUUUCUCUAACACUGUGGCAUGUCCCCUUUCUUCUACACUCACUACAUACACCUUUUCUCUGUCCCAGACUAUAUACCAGGAACUUCUGCCUAGUAAGAAGAUAAAGAGACAAGUGGACAUAUGACUGCCAAGGGGCAGUCCUUAGAAAGCGUGGAGUAGGCGCAUCAUUUGAUGCAUUUAUGUCAAGCUCAGGGUGAUGCCUGCAUAGUAUGCCCUUAGUUGGACAGCCUGCAUGAUUGGCGGGCAGCCUGACAUGCAUUCAUGCCAGGCUGGCCUUCCAAUUCUUUGGACAGACAUGCCCCCUUUUUGGGCAUGUUCACUCCUUUUGGCAGGUCUUGUCACGUGAUUCGCGCCAGUGGCACACCCUUUUACCCCGCCCAUUGACUUCCUGCUUCACUGGACACUGCUGUUAGGGGUUAUGGAUUUACUUGAAAGAUGAAAGCAUAAAUUAGAGAGAAAUUAGCAUAGAGUAUGUGUUUUCUUAUAGCUGCAUCCUAUGAGUUUCCCUCCAGCACCAUCUCCAUCAGAUACAGGAUGCUUGGGAGGUAUGGUUGUUUUAGUGUUUUUGGUUGAUAAGAUUCUGUAAUUAGGCCCAUCAUAAUUGUCAGCACCAGGCCCACUGGGCUCUUAAUCUGGCCCUGCUUGUGGAAUGGAUAUUUUCCUUGUAAUUAGUUGGAAGCUGAAAUAUCAGUUAAACCAGGUACAUGUAGAAAGCAUGCUUUUGAAAAAUUACAUUUUUUUUAUAAUACUGCAAAAAAAUGAAUUACCAUGUAACAAUAUGUGAAUUAUAAUAUCGUAUUAUACUGUGUGGAUAUCAAACAAACAAACAACAACAAAAAACUGUGCUAGCAUGAAAAGCUUGCAAAUGAAUUGACACUGGUUGCUUAUUGGUGCUAAAUUGAUGAUUCAGAGGGAACAGCUAAUGUCUGUACAACAACAGAUCAUUUAAAAAGGCACCAGUGACGUGUUGCAAAAUGUAUACCACAUUAACAAUAGUAACCUGAAAUAAAUAGAGCCAUACAACAUACAAAAAAUGAGUCCUGCCAAACAUCAUUAACCACUAAUAUUUGUGAUUGUGUGUGACUGUGUAUGUGCUGGCACAUGUGAUUUAGUUGCAUAGAAACUGCACUUGUAAGCAUUGUGUUGUGCUAAAUAACUGCUGAGUGCCAGAACUUACAAAUUGACCUAAAUUAAAGUUUCCCUAACCAGAGAGUCUGCUUGAAAGUAGGAGGUGAACAGAAGCCCCCCCAAUGACAUCUGAAAAUUAUGUUCAUGUUGUUUAUGAUGUUCAGCAACCACAACAGUAAAUGUUGGGUAUUUGAGUAGUUCCCAGCAUCACAAAAUGUACAGAAUACCCCUGGUAAAAAAAAACACUUCAACUUUGGGAAUGCACCAUAAUUAGAUUAUUAUUAUUAUUAUUAUUAUUGCCAUUUAUAUAGCGCCAACAGGUUCUGUAGCACUUUACAAUAUAUUAGAUGGUCCCUUUUCUGUACGUACAGGAGCCAACCACAAUGGGUGGAGAUGAGCUAAUGGUGUCACAAACAGAAAGGUUGUGGCUGCUGACAAACCUGGAGAAGAAAGGAAGAGUAUUUAUAAUACAAUUACAGGCUUAUUAGCCUUACCAUGUAUUACUCUAAAAUUUGAAAUGGGCCAUCAGGCUAAUAUUACAUUUAAAGAAUUGAUCUCCCUGCUACCCAACCUUACAAUGUCGCUGAUUUACUCUAUGCCCUCACUAAACAUGGACCUGCGAGUCCAAGUGAAGUAGGACUGUCUUGAUUUGAAAAUGAAAAUAAAAAUCAUAUUUACAAAAAAAAAGAAUUGAUCUCCAAACUAAUGGCAAGUAUACAACUUGGAUCCCUAUUAAAAAAAAAGUGAAGAAACCAUGCUUAUAGGCUGUCUAUACAGUGAAAUAUUAUUAGGAAACCCAUUACACAAAUAUGUGCAUAAAGGGACUGCUAGCCAGUGCAAUAGUUUCUUUAAUCAUGAUGGUCGUUACCAGUUAAAGACUAUUAUCCAUUAUGUUAUGGUAUGGGUAUAAAAAACAACAACAACAAAAAACAAACAAACAGAUUUUUAAUUAAAGAUAAACUUUAAAAAAAAAAGCAUUUGCCUUUGAUUUGUAGAGCACCUUGAGCCCUGCUUUACAGCACAGAAUGUUCCUGCUCUUUUGUUGUCAUGACCUAGUUUUUCCAAUCUGAAUGAUGGUUUAUAUUGGGAUCGGUAAUCUGUAAGAAGAUUAGGGGUCUUUGCUGCCAGAAUCUUCACACGUUUGACACGUCAGAAUGGAAUUUCACCUAGGUAACAAGGCUGCUGCACUACUUUCUGAUACAAUUAUAGAUACGAAAAAUAAGUGUGAAUUAUGAAGAAUCACUUUUUUUUUGGAUAAUUCUAGAUCAUUUUAAAAAUAAUCUAAUUAAAAAUAAAGUAGCAAUUCUAAAGGAUGGUUUCUAUGCUGAUAUACAUUAAAGGAAAACUUGAAACACCAUAACCACUACAGUGCAGCACACUGUUUUUGGGGACAGGGACGCUUUAGUUCCACCAUAAUGUAAGUAGUCAAACCUUUUGAUAAUGAUUUGAUUUCUUACUUGGGGUCUGCUGGGCACCAAUCACAUCAAUUAUAAACAGCUGUAAGCUCAUACAUGGAUCUUCCAUUAGCUCUCCUGAGCUAAAUACUAAUGUGCAGGGCCAGCUCAUUGGCUGACAGCAUUAGCUUAGACAUGGUUGUCAUAGAGGCUGUGACCAGUGCUCGACAGACCCAAAAAUAAAACUGUUAGCUAUUGAUUUGGCUACACACAUGGGGGUCACCAGGAUUAGUUGUAGCGGUUAGGGUACUUGGUGUGUUCCUUUUAUGUUAGAGACUUGCAUGAAUGAAGAAAAAAGGUUCCACAAAAGUGACAAUUCCUUUUGAAGAACAGAUUCACAAGACAGCAUAGACUUUUACUCAUUGGAGAGCUAGCAAGUGUAGCAGAGGGGCAAUUGCUCCCAGGGACUAGCAUGAUGGAUGGCAUAGGGGCUGUAGCUUGCAGCCUCAAACCAUUCUUCUGAAAAUUAAGCAGGAGAUGUGUUGAGAAGGAGUUAGGCAGAAAUUGUGGAGUGCCUUUGCUUGGCUCUUUGUUGGUUUGUUCAUGAACUGGUGGCCUAUGUUGUUAAUGCUUUCCAUGCCUGGAGUAGCCCACUGUGAUGGUUCUUUGAUGGACUACAUUAUCUGAGGAUGUUAGACUACAAAUAGCACGUAUAAUGUCCAUAAAGGUGUUUGCAAAUGACCGCAGGUGAGAUGAGACAGUGAUCAUGACAUUCAUAACAUACACCAUUUGUCAUUGGUGGCAACAGAGUCAAUAGUAAAUGCAUUUCUUAAGCAUGGACAGAUCUCUGUGAAUGUUCUGUAAAUGAAUUUCAUUGGCAAAAUAAAGGCCAUUUCAUUUUUACUUGCCCACAAGGCCAUUACGGAAAUGGGAUAGGAGCGCUCAAGGGUUGGGAGAGAGCAAGGCUUCUGUCUCCCUCCAGUCUAUCACCAAAUCCUGCAGCUUUCAUCUCAAAAACAUUGAGUGCAACAGCACCCAAUUAACUCCAGAUGAGGCUAGAGGGCUGGUCCAUUCCACUAUUCACUCUUUUCUUGACUACUACAAUCUGCUUCUUAGUGGUCUUACAUGCUCCCAAUUUGCCCCAUUACAGUCUAUAAUGGAUGCGGCGGCAAGGCUCAUCUUCCUGUCUGCCUGCACCUCCCACGCCUCACCCCUCUGUCAGCCCCUGCGUUGGCUUCCCGUAAGAUAUAGGGUUCAAUUUAAAAUUCUGGUUCUUGCUUACAAAUCCCUACAUAACGCUGCUUCAACCUAUGUAUCCUCCCUAAUACACAAGUAUGUCCUGUUUAGGCGCCUACGUUCUGCCGAAGGCAUGUCUAUCAUCUGUUCGUACUCCCACCUCUGAUGCUCGCCUUCACGACUUCUCUAGGGCAGCACUGUUCCUGUGUGUAGUGGUUACCCCGGUGAGUAGAGGGGUUUCUACCGCCAGAAGGCGUCCUUCUCCGGAAAUUGUGAGGGGUAUUACAGCAUUCCAGGUAGUCAUCCAAGUAGAGAAACUCUUAAAAGAGCUAGUAGUGAUAGCUUUAUAGCAGUCUCCCCCUAAAAGAGACAAGACUCUAGAUUGAGGGUAGAGUAAGAUCUGAAUUUUAAUGGAGACACACUAGCCUUUUAUGCAGGUUUCCCAACAAGGGUGAUACCCAGGUGGACCUUGUUGGUCACAGGGACAUAAGGUAAACAAACCAAUAAAAAACGAGUUUUACAUUGAGAAAAAUACAGAAUACACAAUCCUUCCCCUCUGCUUAGGAGAUAAUUGAGUUAAUUACUGUAUCAACUCAAUUGUCUCCAAACGAAAAAGACAAGUUUUUCCACAUUUUUGGAAACACCCCAAAAACAUAUGAGAACCCCAUAAAACAUACAUCGCCUGAUAGCCCCGAUCUGGGGGAACAACAUACUUAAAAAUCACCUAGAUCGAUUCAGGGGUUCAAAAGUUAGCUGGAAGUCUCUUUUUGACCGACCGCACACAUGGUUGCAUGCCCAAACUAGUUCCAGAGAAUUACGCUGUGCGGCCAGUCUAUUUCGAACAGUCUAAGUAAUGUUCAAAUAGUCGAACUGAGCCGUUCGUGCACAUAGGUAGUGAGUGUAGUUGGUUCGGUAGAUUGUGUCUACCGACCAGUGCUCCAUUUGUGCAAUUCCCAUCGAACCUAACGGGGGAGUGGAAGUCCCAGCGAUGUUCGUGCCGUCGAGUGUUCCGAUUCUAGUUCCAUGCACUCGACGACAAAACAUCGCUGGCCGCAUUCGUAUUUCAAGAUGGCCGCCGCUACGUGUUCGUGCAUACAAACGUCGACCACUUAGAAAGUUUGGGUGUUUGUGGUUUUAGAGAUGUUAAGAAGGUCAAUGAGGUUAAUAAGUGCCACGCUCCCGGUUUGAGUGGUCGGUCGUUCGGUAGUUCUUUCGGUAUUCGAACGGCCAAGGAUAAAAUAAGGCAGACUGUGUUCCAUUCGAACGGGUAAACGAACAAAGUGUAUAAACUUUACAUUUUAAGGACAGAGGGUCUGUCACACUGUAAAGCUCCCUUCCUUUCUCCGUUAGAUCCUCACCCAGUCUCCACUCCUUCAAAAAAUCAUUAAAAACUUACUUCUUCAUGAAAGCGUAUCAAUUAAACUGUUACUAGCUCCCCCACCGCAUCCUGAUUACUCUCCUGCAACUGUCAUUAAAAAACACUCUAAGUCUUCAGUGAAUACUAUUCUACAAAUCUACUUUUCUACCCCUACCCCUACCUUUUCUAUCACUUUACCCCACUCACCCCUAGCAUGUUAGCUCAUUGAGCAGAGCUCUCAACCCCUCUGUUCCUGUGUGUCCCACUUGUCUGGUUACAAUUUUGUGUUUGUUAGCACCCAUUGUAUAGCGCUGCGGAAUUUGUUGGCGCUAUAUAAAUCAUAAUAACAGUCAUUCAACGCACAGCCAUAUUAUAUUUGUGCCAAUUGACACAGGUUCAGCAAAGAACUGACUGAGAAGAGGGGGAAAAGGUUCAGCAAAGAACUGACUGAGAAGAGGGGGAAAAGGCUGUUUUUAUAACCUCUGAUUUCACAGAAAUUUAGGCAUUGGCUAUCAAUUCUGCUAGCACUAUAUGUAGAUGAAAUUUUAUUCACUAUUUUUGUCACAAUUUGUAGAAGGGAACCCAUACAUACAGAACCUAAAAUACUGGUAUAGAAGCUGUAUUACUGUGUUUUAAAGGAACACUAUAGGGUCAGGAACACAAACAUAUAUUCCUGACUCUAUAGGGUUAAAACCACCAUCUAGCCCCCCUGCCCCCUCAUGCCUCCCUAAAUAUAAUACAGUCCUACUUGUAUUCAAGUAGCUGCUUGCUUUGAGCCUGUUUCCUUUAAACCUGCCCACUUCCUGCUGACAUCAGUAGAAUUGGUAGCCUGAUCUAAUCACAAUGCUUCCCCAUAGGAUUGACUGAGACUGACAAAGAGACAGAUCAGAGGCAGAGCCAGCACAAUUCAAACACAGCCCUGGCCAAUCAGCAUCUCCUCAUAGAGAUUAAUUGAAUCAAUUAAUCUCUAUGAGGAAAGUUCAGUGUCUGCAUGCAGAGGGAGGAGACACUGAAUGUUUGGAUGCAUUUUAGGCAGCCAUGACCCAGGAAGGAUCUCUAACAGUCAUCUAAGGAGUGGCCAGUGAAGUUAUCACUAGGCUGUAAUGUAAACACUGCAUUUUCUCUGAAAAGACAGUGUUUACAGCAAAAAGCCUGAAGGUAAUGAUUCUAUUCACCAGAACAAAUUCAAUAAGCUGUAAUUUUUCUGGUGACUAUAGUGUCCCUUUAAAGUCUAGAGUAGUCAAAGUAGAAAAAGCCGGGGUCAAGGAAAAGAGAAAUGAGGUAAACGGUAGACAAGCCAAACUUCAAGAACACGGAGAGUAGAAUAAACAAAUAACAAGCCCAGGUCAGUAACAAAAUUACUCAGAAAUAGAUAUGCACUAUUGGGCCAAACAAGAACCACAACAAAGCAAUUUUGACAAAAAAGGGAAAUAAAUAAGUCCCAUGCCCAACAUUAAUUGGUUGGCGUCAUUUAGGGCAGAAAGACUGCCGAAUUUGUUUCUUUGCUAAUUCGUUCGGUUCAGUCGAAUGGCCGCUAGGUGUCAUGCCAUUCAAACAUUGGAGCGAUCGAACAUAGAGAGGCGCCCACAAGCAGCAUCUCUCUCUCUAUUGGAGAGGUGAACUGGGGCUUUGGAGCAGGUAAGUAUUACAAUUAUUAAACUGGUUAAACUGUUUGUCAUGACAGGUGUCAUUACUUGUUUAAAGUGCUUAACCUUACACAGAGUUAUAAAGGACACAAUAUUAUCCAGUACCAUUGCUACUAAAUUGCAGGGACUCUUUAGUUCUUGCAAUCACUUUUUUACCAGAUGACACUGUAUGUCUAGUUCCACUUUAUUAAGAAAAUUUUGAAUAAAGAGAUUUUAUUUAUUUAUUUAUUUUACUGAAAACGAGCAGUGGUGAGAAUAUUUCAGGAAUGCAUAUUCUUAUGUUUCUUUUUUAUAGCUUGAGGGAAACAAAGGAUCCAUUUCCAUAGUGUCAUAAAAUACAUUUUUAUACUAGGAGUGCUUGAAAAUGUUUACGAGUUAACCCAGAACCCUGCUUUGAUGAUCUGCAGUCAAUUUAUCAAGAACAUCCAACCAAUAAUCUGAUAUGAGUUUAUGUGUUUUACAAAACAGACCAAAUUAAGUAAAAAUUGUUUAUUUUUAGUCAUUUCCAAUGAUUACCUGGCCUUUCUUUAUUGAAACAUCUGUUACUUAAUGUUUAAUAUUUUGUGUGUUUUAAGCACCGCAGCUAUUUCUAUUCAUUGCAGUGGCUAUAGUACAACAUUUCUUUGGAUGCUGUAUUCCAGUUUGCAUCAACACUUUUUUGAGUAGUUUAACAAAAAAUGUAGGGUCUUCUGACACGUAAAGUCCAUAGCCCAACCUUUCUGCUGCAGCUCAGCAAAUUUGGAUAUUAAUUACUAAUUGAAAGUGCAAUUAUGUAGUAGUUGUAGUGCUUAAAUCGUCUUUAAGGGAUUGUCCCAGUCUCCUCCUCAGAAAGUAUCAAUAAAAGCUGAAACAUUGCUAGUAAUUGAGGUCUGUUUCAAAACCAAUAACCCAAUAUAUAUUUCCCAUCACUUACCUGAGGACCUUGACCUCUUAUUAGUACAAUUUUAAAGUGUAUCUGUAAUCUACAAAAUAUGUUGACGAUAAGAUCAACUUCAGGUAUGGCUGCUUUUAACGUGUUGUCUUGGCAUAAUUGCUAAUAAAUAUAGCUUUCAAGAUACACUUAACCUGAAGAUCAGUUUUAUUUUCUACAAGAUAGGUCGGUUGCAAUAGGUGUCAUAGAUGAAUACACAUUUUCAUUCCCCCCACCCAAAAAAAUGCAGAAAAUAAAAUAAUGAAAAAAAGUAUUCUGUAGCCCCUAUUGCUUAGUAUGCACAUUCACAUACUUACGUAUGCCUCAUUUGGGACCAGUGGUGUCUUGUUUGUAUUUCUUGUAAUACCAUUAUGACAACAUAUAAAAACCUGAAGGGGUCAAACCCAUGCCAGGUCACCUAUAGGGUGACUUUAAUAAAACAAAAUUGAAGAGAAAAAAAAUAAUAACAUAAAUAAUGCAUUUGCUAGCAAUUUGCAAAUCACAAUGUUUACAUGAAAUGUACCUAUAUUUCAUGAAAAAUAAAUUUUAAAUGUUUGUUACUUUUUUUAUUCUGUUAAUUGUUUUAAGUAACAAGCUCUUUCUAAAUAAUAUGUUUUAGAAUUUCUUUCCUUUUCAUUGUGUAGUUUGGCUGAAGUUUUCUCUUUCGUUUCCAGGAUCUCUCAGUUUCAGCGAUCCCUUGCUGCAGUGGAUUGUGUGGGAAAUCCAAACGAAUUGCUACCGUGGACCUAUCGGAAUUUGCUGUAAGUCAUGACGUGGUUUUCAAUAGAAUAAACUCCCCAGGAGACUUGGACACGUUUUGCUCUCCCAAGAGGAAAGUUAAAUGAAUGUGAGAAAAAAACAUAGCAAAAAAAGAAUGGUAAGGAUCUUGUUUGCCAGAACUGAUUUUAACAGAGUCUGUUACUGGGAAAAAAAUUAUAUCAGAGCUGCUACAUGAAAGGAAAGAAAACCUAUUUAUAGCACCCGCGUCUUUAUUUUUAUUAGUCCGUUUACUAGUGUUAUGUUUGCAUACACUUUAGAACACUGUUACCCUGAGAUACAACUGGGGGUUAUUUAUAAAGCAAUUGAGGAGAAGAGUUCUAAAAGUGAAACUAUCACCAUGGAAACCAUGGAAACCAAUAGAACAUUCCUGCUGAUUACUCUGCUUUUAGAACUUUGCCCUAGAUUGGAUCGCUUUUUAUAAAUAAUCCCUAUUAUGCACAAACGCGGUUUUAAUUAUUUUCUUACAGAUUGGUUUUUUUUGUGGCAAGCCACUACAGUAUAAAAUACCAUACAGUCGUCGACAUCUCCCCCUGCACAUAUAGUUUAUUUAUCUUUUACAAGUAAAUGUGACAGCUGCAUUCAUUUUUUAUUUUUUUUAAAAGCACAUUUUCCAUGAACCCAGGUUUGAAUUGACCCUGACUAAGGCCCAACGGGAUGCUGAGCCUGUAUUCUUGUUGUAUGCAGUGUAUGCAUAUUCUGGUAGUGUUGAACUCCUAUAGCUCAAUUAGUUAAUUUGUUCUUUUUAUAUAGAUUUUUUUUUUUAAUUCUUUAUUUAUAUAGUGCAUCAACAUUAUUGUUGAAUGGGUAAGGCAGUGGCUGAGUGACAGGCAACAGCAGGUUGUAGUCAAUGGAGUAUAUUCGAAGCAUGGUCUUGUCACCAGUGGGGAACUUUAGGGAUCUCUACUUGGAUCCAUUUUCGUUAAUAUUUUUAUUAGUGAUAUUGCAGAAGGUCUCGACGAUAAGUAUGCCUUUUUGCUGAUGAUACUAAGAUAUGUAACAGGGUUGAUGUUCCAGGAGGAAUAAGCCAAAUGGCAAAUGAUUUAGGCAAACUAGAAAAAUGGUCAGAGUUGUGGCAGCUGACAUUUAAUGUAGAUAAGUGCAAGAUAAUGCAUUUUGGAUGUAAAAACCCAAGGGCAGAGUACAGAAUAUUUGAUAGAGUCCUAACCUCAACAUCCCAGAAAAUGGAUUUAGGGGUAGUUAUUUUGUUACCGGGUAACACUUAAAGAAGCCACUAUAUAUAGGAUGAGGUAGAGGGAAAAAAUGCCUAAAAAAAUCAUAAUAUAAACAAAUAACAAGUUAGACCUGUGCUGCAGAUACUCCACACUGAAAUCCCAACAGUGUAUAUACAACUAAAAAACAAACACGAGUCCUGCGCAUCCAGCAUAGGUGUGCACACCCAGGUGCUACCACAAUUUAUUUGAGGACAAAGUUAAAGCAAACGUUUCGAGCAACAGCCCUUUCUCAAUGCUAAUGUCUUGCUAAUGUACUUAAAGAAGCCAAGUACAAAGAGUUGGACGCAGGUCUGUUCAGGAAGUAAAGGUCUUUAUUCUAACCGAUUGGGUCUCAGCUGAACUCUUGUCCAAAAUGUCUGAGCAAUGAGCACAUGGUGUAGAGGCUUUUUAUAUGCUACACAUCCCCCAUCUGUACCCUUACACCAAUCAACAAACAGGAUCUACAGGAUCACCUUAUGCAGCAUGGAUACUUAGAAGAAUGGAAUGUGGUUUCAGUUCUUGCACAUGCUCAGUACAAUAAUGACAGUCUCUAGCAUGUAACUUGAUACAACAGAUACUUGUACUUGUAUAAGCCACAUGGAGAUUUUAGGCCUAUUAAAUUUUGGCAUAGCUGAAAUCCCAUCACAUUCCCCCCUUUGAUGCCUCUGAUAUACAAUUAUUCCAGAUGCAUCACUUAACAUAAUUUGCCAACACCACUCAAGUAACCACGAAACAGUAAAGACCAUGUGAGCAUGCUAGCUUAAUUUUACGAUCUCUCAACACUCAUCGACCUGAUUAUCAAUGACGGGCUAGAGGUUCAAAUCUCCAGAUGGCCAUUACAUGUGCUGCUGUCUUCCUUUCUAUGGUGCUCUCAAUAACACUACAUAUAGAUCGAAUUACUAAUGGAAUCAGGCAAGGCAGGAAGAUGCAUAAGAAAAUAAUAAAUACUACUCCUCCUACCAGUGCUUUAAUCCCUCCAAACUUAUUCAUACCAGCUCCCAAACCAACUACUUGGAUUAUACCCAUUCCAGAUCUGAGUAGGUACGUGCGUUAAUUUAACCAUGUGGCUGGUAAAGUCAACCAUAGCCUGUCCUUCAUCAUCUAUAUGCAGGCAGCAAUUACUAAGAUUAAACUUUCCGCACACACCUCCUUCUACUGCUAAUAAAUAGUCAAGAGCCAGCCUAUUUUGGUAAAUGGCUGACCUCAUGCCGGUAUUCUGUUUUGCCAGAAGAUUAAGUGCUUCAGCUGUCUCAUUGGUUAUAAUCUCAACCACUGCCUGUAAUCUUAUGAUGCGGUUGAGCAUGUAUAUGGGGGUUCGGUAACCAUAAGUACCAUCUUCAGCCCAGGUAGCAGGUCCAUAGUAAUUAAUAAUUCGCUGGGGUGGCCAUUCGUCAUCUUCCCAAUUACCUAUUUUUAACGAUUCUCGCCUCUUUCUAUGGUUUAUAUCAUAUACCUUAACUCCCAAGGUCUCUUCUGUUUCGAUUGGUAACAAGAAGAAGAAUGGUUUGAGCAUACCUAGCACACAUGCCCCCUCCCAAUCUGGUGGUAAUACUGAAUAUGCCUUCUUACCACAAAUCCAGUACAAAUUUUCUGGGGCUCUCCAGUUAGAUGUAGCCGAUAGAUCAAACCAUACCUCUCUUAAAUUAGUGUAAUUAGCAAAAGGAUUAUUAGGUUCUGAGACAUUUGAAGCUGACCACCAGGUGGUAUUAUGGGUACUAGCAUUAUAUGCCUUCUGCCCUAGACAAAUUAACCCGCCUACAGGUGUAUUAUACAUUGGACCUCCCCUUGCUACGCAUACAUGACCUAUUAUGGAUGUUUUUAACUGCCAUUCCGAUUUUUCCCGUAUGCUUACUUGAUGGCUAGAUUGGGAAGGCGUCUGUUGCUCAUUUGUCUCAGAACCUGGGUACCAUACUUCUCUUGCCUCCCAUGGCCAGAGGCGGCUCUAGACUUUAUGAGGCCUUAAGCGAAACUCAAACAUGAGGCCCCACUAACCAAAAAGUGAAGAAAAUAGUUGAUAGGCUUUUAAAUGAACCAAAUCAGCACCAUUUACAUUCCAGUUAGGAUCCGUAUUAGGAAAAUGGGCAGUAGCCGAAGCCGCUGGGUUUGCUUGGUUUUGGGUACAGGCAGUCUCCUCAAGAGCCUUACGGAUCCUUUCCUCAGAAUUAAAAAGAGUUAAUAAUAGCUGCUGACAAUCAGCCCAAGUUGUGAGUUUGUAUGAUUGAUGUGACCAAAUCAGUCAUAGCUUGCUGUUUUUUCCAUGUAUGAGGGGUUAUGGGUUUUCCAAUUAAACGGAUCGGUAUUUUUAAAGGCAACAUAUACACAUACAGGGUCUCAGUCUCCCAAUUGCAACUGGCCAUUGCCCUCAAUGUGUGUUGGGCCAGGUGUAAAUCAGAGAGGCAUCUGUAAAUGCCAGAUUGGUGGGUACCAGUAAUCCUACAUAUUAAAACCAGACUACGGACAUUUAUAGCAUUAGGUGGGUGGAGGAAGGUAAAUUAAGCAUCUCAGUUUGUAUUUUAGUAAAGGGGGAUAUCUUGGACAAGGCUGGGAGGGGCCCAUCCAGUAACUAAAAAAGGGUAAAAGUGUAUUGCAGCGUCUUAUAGCAUUGAUCAUUUCUUUCCAGUUGUAUUUUAGACUGUUACUGUUACUGAAGGCACACAGGGCUCAGUAGUUAUAGUGCUAUGUCAGUGAUUAUGGUACAAAGUCAUUGCUGAGAAUUAUCUGAUCUAAUGGACUCAGUUACUGUUAUUAAGAAUUCUCCUCACAAUUUUGACUGUUAAUAAAAUUCAAUAAUAAAAUAUGCUAAAAUACACUCCUACCAAAAAGGGAGUCAGUUUAGAAUACAAAGAACCAGUGGGGGUAGGUACAGAAAUAGGAGGGCUUAAAGCUAUAUAACUGGCAUCUAAGAUAGGUAUGUGGGUAGGCGGGGACAAUAGAGCUGGGGGAGUGCACACACCAGUUUUAGCUUGGGAGGAAGAGUAGGGGGUUGGUAAAGGGAGAUAUUCAGGGGGAGUGUCCAAACUAGGUGGCGUUAAGGCCUUAGUGGACAAACAAGUUCUGGCAACCAUGAGGUUGCAUUGUUCCUUGUGGCACAGCUUGAUCCAUUUAGGCAGUGUUUCAACAAUCUGUUUCCAACUGUCGAUACGGAAACUGAUCAUAAAAUUCCAGCCUAUUAGUUACAACUGUAUAAACCUGCUACACUAAAUCUGGGUCAAGACUACCACAGGACCACUGGUUACCAGAACAGGCUGUUCUCUGCUACACAAAGUAUUUUAAUCUUUUGGGGGACAGUGUUACUCCAUAAUCACAAACAGCAUAUCCCUUAGCAAAGUUCUUUACAAGACAAAGGACCAACAGUUUGUGAAUCAGAAGCAAAGAGAGUCUGAUUCAAAGCAGUACAAAUAUUACAAACACAAUUGACACACAAAUCUCCUUAUCACUUACACCACGUGGCGCAGUUACCAGGCCAAAACACACAUAUACACGCACGCACAGGAUCCUCACACGGUUCACAACAUUACGACAUCUCACACAUACAAAACAAAAUCAAAACCCACCAAAAACUAUACAAUUAUCAAUACAGUUAUAAAUCAAAUCAUACAAUUAUCUAUACAGUUAAUCAACAUAAACUAUCAGAACGCAUAACAUUGCAACAAUUUUGUAUCAACGGUCAGUGGUUAUGGUACUGUCAGUGGUUAUGGUACUAUAAAGUAGUUAUGGUACCAUUAAGUAGUUAUGGUUUUGUGAUUACAAUGUCAGUCAGUAUUUAUAAUAUCGUGAUUAUAAUGUCAGUAGUUGUGGUAUCAGUCAGUUGUUAUGGUGCAUAAUUAAACACUAUCUGCACUUUACAAGUCCGCUAAACAGCAAAGCUCAAACUUUAGCAAGACAUACAUAUUACAAACUAGAGCGUAUCUAUACAAUAUUUACAUCAGCCCAACUAAUAUUCUAAACUGGACAGCACCUCGAGAUCUAGCAAAAGGAAUUUACAACAGGGUCCGACUAGUCUACGCUGUCCAGGCACCACGAUCUAGUGAACGGAAUUUACACCAGAGUUCACUUAGUCUAAAUACUUUGAGAUCUAGCGAAAGGGAUUUACAAAAGAGUUCGCUUAGUCUCCACGUUCCAGUAUCCACGAUCUAGUGAAAGGAAUUUCACUUAGUCUAGAUACCGGAGUCCAAAUGAACAUAUAUACACCAGAAUUCAGCCAGACAAACAGACCCUAUGCUAAACGGGCUAGCUACAGAGCGUUUAGCGUCAGACGGUGUACCUUCGUCUCUUCCCCACAUGCGGGGAGGUCAGUCAGAUACAGAUUUUAUCCCUAGAGGGUUACUUUAAGUUCCUGGACCUGGGUUCACACUUCAUCGACGGGACACCCCGAUACUCACUGUGCAGAAACCGAUGUUCUCCUGGACAAAAAGGCCAGUGGUGCCGAGACGAAGGGAGGUCCACGCAGUAACAGUCCAGGGGUAUUGCCGUGGAAGAAUGGGUAAGAUUUCACCAUCUCGGGAAUCUCUGCCCUUGGCUUCUCAGACCAAUGCACCAGAUAUGUUACCGGGUAAUACUUAAAGAAGCCAAGUACAAAGAGUCGGACGCAGGUCUGUUCAGGAAGUAAAGGUCUUUAUUCUCACCGAUCGGGUCUCAGCUGAACUCUUGUCCAAAAUGUCUGAGCAAUGAGCACAUGGUGUAGAGGCUUUCUAUAUGCUACACAUCCCCCAUUUGUACCCUUAAGGCAUGUGCAUAGGGAAAAUUUUCGGUUUGGUUCGGCAUUCCAAAAUUCGGGACUUUCGCAAUUCGGGACUUCAGCAAUUCGGCACUUCAACACUUCAGAACUUUGGCAACUUCGGAACUUCAGCACUUCGGGACUUCGGAAAUUCUGCAACUUUGACACUUCGGAACUUCGGAAUUUCCGAACAUCAGCAUUUCGGAAUUUCGGGACUUCGGGACUUCUUUUGCAGCCGCUUAGUAGAUAACUCUCUAAUUCCCACGUUAUUAGGGAGUUAUCUACCAAAAGGCUGAAAGACCUAAAUUGGUCUUUCAGCCAAAUUUACUAAUAUUAAGUAUAGCCCCUACUCGCUAUACCAUAAGAAGGGGCAUGUCUAUUAAAAAGUGAGCAGCCUAUAGCUGCUCACUGUUAAAAAAAACAAACAAAACAUAGGGUCCCCCCUCCCGAGCCUAUUGCCCCCCUCCCGAGCCUGUGUGCGGCAGGUGGGGGCCCUACAGUAAAAUAAGAGGGGAGGAACCAAAUGUCCUCCCCCCUGGCCCCCACCCCUGAGCGGUGGGUGGGGGCCCUAAAUACUAAUAAGUAUAAUAAAUACUAAUAAGGGGGGACCUAAUGUCCUCCCCCCUGGCCCCCACCCGGCUUAGCCGGAAUAAGGGGGGGACCUAAUGUCCUGCCCCCUGGCCCCCACCCCUGAGCAGUGAGUGGGGGCCCUACAGUAAAAUAAGGGGGAACCUAACGUCCUCCCCCCUGUCCCCCACCGCUGAGCAGUGGGUGGGUGCCCUAAGUACUAAUAAGGGGGGGACCUAAUGUCCUGGCUCCCACCCUGAGUGGCAGGUGGGGGCCCUAAAUACCAAUGGGGGGACAUUUUGUCCUCCCCCCGGCCCCCAACCCCUGAGCGGCGGAUGGGGGCCCUAAAAAAAAGUUACCCCCAGGUGACUAGGGGUCCUCAAACCCCUAGUCGCCCCCUCCCCCCCAAAAAAAAUUAACCCCCUACCUACACCCCUCACCCUAAAAAUAAUGAGGGGGGACCUUUAACUCUUCUUAGUUCCCCCCUCUUAUUAGUAUUUAGGGCCCCCACCCACCGCUCGAGGGUGGGGGCCAGGGGGUAGGACAUUAGGCCCCCCCUUAUUAGUAUUUAGGGCCCCCACCCACCGCUCAGGGGUGGGGGCCAGGGGGAGGACAUUAGGUCCCCCCUUAUUCCAAUUUAGGGCCCCCACCCGCCGUUUAGGGGUGGGGCGAGGACAUUAGGUCCCCCCUUAUUAGUAUUUAGGGCCCCCACCCACCGCUCAGGGGUGGGGGCCAGGGGGAGGACGUUAGGUUCCCCCCUUAUUUUACUGUAGGGCCCCCACCCACCGCUCAGGGGUGGGGGCCAGGGGGGAGGACAUUAGGUCCCCCUCUUAUUAGUAUUUAGGGGCCCCACCCACCGCUCAGGGGUGGGUGUCAGGGGGGAGGACAUUAGUCCCCCCCCAGGCAAUUUUUUUUUUUAACAGUGAGCAGCUCACUGUUUACUAGACAUGCCCCUACUCAGGGGCGGGCUGGGCCGGGGGGCAGGGAGGCAAUUGCCCCCCAGGCCGCCCUAAAUUCCUGUAAGGCCGGCCGCGGCGGGCCGGCCCUUUAAAUACUGCAGCCGCCUGAGCGCUCUGUUAAGAGCCUCAGGCGGCUGCAGCUUCUCCCCUCCCCUCCCCUCCCUCCCCUGUAGCGUGGCCGAGCUGCACUCCGGUCCGCGGUGGCCGGCCAGCCGGCCGGAGUGAUAGGAGGGUGCACACUGAGUGUGCACUUCCUGUCAGUCCGGCCGGUUACAGGAAACAGAAACUCCUGUUCCGCGCGGAGUUUCUGUUUCCUGUUACCGACUGGACUGACAGGAAGUGCACACUGAGUGUGCACCUUCCUAUCACUCCGGCCGGCCGGCCACCGCGGACCGGAGUGCUGCUCGGCCACGCUACAGGGGAGGGGGUAAGAAGAGAGGGAGGAGGGGAGGGGGUAAGAAGAGGGGAGGGAGGGGAAUAAGAAGAGGGGGGAAUAAGAAGGGGGGAUAAGAAGAGGGGAGGGGGGAUAAAGAGGAGAGGGGAAUAAGAAGAGGGGAGGGGGUAAGAAGAGGAGGGGAAUAAGAAGGAAUAAGAAGGGGGGAUAAGAAGAGGGGAGGGGGGAUAAAGAGGAGAGGGGAAUAAGAAGAGGGGAGGGGAUAACAAAGAGGAGAGGAACAAGUAAGAAGAGGGGGGAGUAAGAAGAAGAAGGGGGUGUAAAAAGAAGAAGGGGGUGUAAAAAGAAGAAGAGGGGGUAAGAAGAAGAAAGGGGAGUAAGAAGGAGGGGAGAUAAGAAAAAGAGGGGGUAAGAAGAAGAAGGGGGAGUAAGAAAGAUGGGAGUAAGAAGAUGGGGGAGUAAGAAAGAGGGGAGUAAGAAGAAGAAGAGGGGAGUAAGAAGAAGAAGAGGGGGGAGUAAGAAGAAGAGGAGGGAGGAAGAAGAAGAGGAGGGAGGAAGAAGAAGAGGGGGGAGUAAGAAGAGGGAGAGGGGGAAUAAGAAAAGGGGGAGGGCGGAGUAAGAGGGAGAGGGGGAAUAAGAAAAGGGGGAGGGCAGAGUAAGAAGGAGGGGAGAUAAGAAAGAGGGGGGUAAGAAGAAGAAGAAGGGGUGAGUAAGAAAAAGAGUGGGGAGUAAGAAGAAGAAGAGUGGGGAGUAAGAAGAAGAAGGGGGGGUAAGAAGAAGGGUGAGUAUGAAGAAAUGGGGGGAGUAAGAAGAAGAAGGGGGAGGAAGAGGAAGAAGAAGGGGUAAGAAGAAGAAAGAAGAAGAAGGGGGGUUAAGAAGAACAGGUGGGGGAGUAAGACGACCAAGGGGGGAAGUAUGAAGAACACAGGGAGGAGGGGGGUAAGACGAACACAGGGGGUGUGAGGAGAACACAUAGAGGGAGGAGUGAGAAGAGCACAGGGAGGGUGGGUGAGUGUGAGAAGAGACCGCUAGGGGAGGGUGGGGGAGAGGAGAGACCACUAAGGUGCAGGGGAGAGCUCUACGGGACAGAAGGGGCAGCUCUAUAGGACAGGGGCCAAGACAGGGAGCUCUUUCACACUACGCGCGCGCGCACACACACACACACACAAUGCAUCCCUAUACAUACACAGAAACACAACAUGCUUCCCUUACACACAGAGAAACACACAAUGCAUCCAUUACACACACACACACAAUGCAACCCUUACACACAAAGACAAUGCAUCCUUUGCACACAUACACAGAAACAGACAAUGCAAACCCGUACACACAUAUGCAAACACACACACUUCUUUUCUUACAUACACACAGAAACACAAUGCAUCUCUUACACUCAAUGCACACACAUACAGACACACACCUUGCAUCCCUUAUGCAUACAAACACAGAUUCACACAAUGCAUCCCUUACACACAACCAGAAACACAUAAUACAUCCCUUAUACACAAAUACACACUGCUUCCACUACACACAAACACACUACAUCACCUGCACAAACUGGUAACCCUAUACACUACAUACCAUAAGCACACAUAUUAGAUCCUCUACAAUAACACAUAACACAUCCCCUACACACUCCACUCCCUGUGAGCGAACUCAUGGGUGAGUGGAACUUAUGAGUGGGCCUUAUGGGCAUACUCACCGUCAGGCCCUGGGGCCCAGACCUUGAGCUGUGUAAGGGGCCCCAAAAAAUGGAGCUGCUUCCAAUUCUCCCAGAACAUUGAAUUUUGUGACCACAGCUGCAAACAGCCUCCAGAGAUCCUGUUCUACACCAGACCAGUGGAGCCAAACUGCAGCCCAUCAUCAUCCUCAUCUGCUUGUAAGUAGGCAAUCUAGUAUAUUAUUAGUGACACUAAUCUAUAAUGUACCUCACAUUAAAGGGACACUAUAGCUUAAUGAAGUGGUUCUGGUGUCUAUAGCUGGUCCCUGCAGGCUUUUUAAUGUAAACACACACUGUGUGCAGCACUGGCGUUAGUUCAUAUGGGUGGGGCAUUGUGAUGUCACAUGGGGGGGCAGCAAAUUUUUAUUUUGUCUAGGGCGGCAAAAAUCCUUGCACCGGCACUGAUCCUGGGCAGGUGCACCAGUCUACUGGUGACCCACAGGAGGGGAGUGCACUGAUUGCACUGCACUCUCCUCCUGUCCAGCCCCAUCUUUACCGCAGUGCAAGUGCCCUCUGCCCCUAAUUUACAGUGGCUCACACUCACAACAAGCAGUGCCUGGAGCCGUGAAGGAGCGGGUAUGGCAAAGAGCUACUGAUUAGCAUAACAUCAAUAUCCGUUAUAAAACCAGGAAGAGGUGGGCAUGGAUGGUGAACUGAUUUGGUGGUGCAAUGGGCCACUUGACUGGUUUUGCCCCCCAGGCCUAAGGCUGCCAGCCCUCCCCUGCCCCUACUCGUGGUAUAGCGAGUAGGGGCAUAAUUUACUAAUACUAAGUAAUCUUUACUUAGGAUUAGUAAAUUUUAUUGAAAAAACAAUUUAAUUCUUUCAGCCUUUUAGUAGAUAGCUCCCUAAUACCGUGGGAAUUAGGGAGUUAUCUACAUAUUCAUUCCUGUCAUUACAUGACUGGCUAAAAAACUUACAUUUUAUAUGAAUGUAUGUUACUUGAUUGUUGUAAGUGUUGCAAAUGCUUACAGCCGAAUCCUGGCUAUGUUUGUAUACUUUUUAUUUAAAAUUGUAUACAAUAUAACAUUCUUCUUCUUUCACUGGGUAAGUAUAUGAGUACUUAGGCAAUACUGUGCUCUGGAAUUUCGGCACUUUGGAACUUCGGCAACUUCGGCACUUCAGCACUUCAGAAAUUCGGUAAUUUCAGAACUUCGGGACCUCGGCAGUUCGGACAUUCGAAAGUACCCGAAUGUCCGAAUUGUCCGAAAUUCGUACGAAUUCACAUUCGGACCGAAACUAAUUGCACAUGUCUAGUACCCUUACACCAAUCAACAAACAGGAUAUACAGGAUCAUCUUUUAUGGCUAGGCAGCAUGGAUACUUAGGAGAAUGGAAUGUGGUUUCAGUUCUUGCACAUGCUUAGUACAAUGAUGACAGUCUCUACCUACAUGUAACGUGUAACAACAGAUUCAACAGAUGCUUGUAGUUGUAUAAGCCACAUGGAGAUUUUAGGCCUAUUAAAUUUGGCGUAACUGAAAUCCCAUCACAAUUUCAGAUGACUUAAAGGUAGGCAGACAAUGUAAUAGAGCAGCAGAAAAUGCUAGCAGAAUGCUUGGCUAUUUAGGGAGAGGUACGAGCAGUAGAAAAAGGGAAGUGUCCAUGCCAUUGUACAGAACACUGGUGAGACCUCACUUGGAGUAUUGUACGCAGUACUGGAGACCAUAUCUCCACAAGGAUAUUGAUACUUUGUAGAGAGAUCAGAAAAUGGCUACUAAACUGGUUCAUGGAUUGCAGGAUAAAACUUACAAGGAAUGGUUAAAGAAUCUUAAAGGACCACUAUAUUGCCAGGAAAACAAACUCGUAUAAUGAAAAUCACAGUGAGAAGCGCGGAAGCGCCUUUAGCGGCUGUCAAUGAGAAAGCCACUAGAGGCUGGAUUAACCCUAAUGUAAACAUAGCAGUUUUUUUGUCUGAAAUUAUCAAUCUAUGUUUACAGCUGCAGGGUUAACCCUAGAUGGACCUGGCACCCAGACCACUUCAUUGAGCUAAAGUGGUCUGGGUGCCUAUAGUGGUCCUUUAACAUGUAUAGCUUGAAGGAAAGACGAGACAGGAGGGAUAUGAUAGAAACAUUUAAAUACAUAAAGGGAAUUGACACAGUAAAGGAGGAGACUACAUUUAAAAGAAGAAAAACUACCACUACAAGAGGACAUAGUCUUAAAUUAGAGGGGCAAAGGUUUAAAAAUAAUAUCAGGAAGUAUUACUUUACUGAGAGGGUAGUGGAUGCAUGGAAUAGUCUUCCAGCUGAAGUGGUAGAGGUUAACACAGUGAAGGAGUUUAUGCAUGCGUGAGAUAGGCAUAAAGCUGUCCUAGCUAUAAGAUAAGGCCAGGGACUAAUGAAAGAAUUUAGAAAAUUGGGCAGACUAGAUGGGCCAAAUGGUUCUUAUCUGCCGUCACAUUCUAUGUUUCCAGGGCCGGACUGGGAGAAAAAUUCAGCCCGGGCAUUUUUUUAGCACAGCGGCCCACUAAGAAGGGGGCAGGGCAGAGAGGGUGUGUUUCGUUAUCACCAAAGACAAACACGCCCCCUCUCAAAGUGAGCGUUGGGUCAAUGCUCUUCCAGGGCAGAGCUCUGCUAAAGAGCUCUAGCAUGAGAAAAACAACAACCUGUAUUUGUUCUGCACAGUGCAAGCAAAUUUAAUAACAUGCUUGCACUGUGUUUCCUUGAAACUUGUCUCUGGUGUCUCUAUAAAUGGAUACCAGGAGACAAAAGGACCAGGAAAGAGUAUUGUGCAUGUGUUUGGAGCCUGCUUGUGGGAUUGUGUGUGUGCAGAGUGAGCUGGUCGUGGUGUGGUAUUGUGUAAUAAGGUCGGUUUUAGUCGUGUUGUGUUUGUGGUGUAAUGUAAUGCAUAUGUGGCUAGGAGCUGAAGAGAAUGUGUGUAUAGGGGAUGUAGUAAAUGUGUGCACACAGGCUAUAGUGUGUGUGUGUAUAUAGGUGAUGUAGUGUUUGUAGGGGUUGUAGAGAGUGUGCGUUUAGGGGUGUAGCAUGUGUUUGUUUACAAGGAAUCUAGUGUGUGUAUAAGGGAUCCAGAGUGUGUAUGUUAGGAAUGUAGUGUGUGUAGGUGGUGCAGUGUGUGUGUGUGUAUACAGGAGUCUAGUGUGUGUUUGAAGGACCCAGAAUGUGUAUGAGAUCUAGUGAGUGUGUGUAUAUAACGGAAUCAGAGUGUAUAUAGGGAUUUAGUGUGUGUAUAUGAUCCAUAGUUGGGUAAGGGAUAUAGUGUGUGUCUGGAAUGUAAUAUGUUUAGGGGUGCAGUAUGUGUGUGAGGGGUUCAGUGUGUGUGAAGGGUGCUGUGGUGUGUGUGUAUAUAUAUAUAUAUAUAUAUAUGUUUGGAAGUAUUGUAUGUGUGUGUGUGUUUAGUGCAGUGUGUUGGGGUUCUGUGUGUAUGUGUGAGGGGUGCAGUGGGUGUCUGUGAGGGGUGUAGUGUGUAUGUGAAGGGUGCAGUAUGUGUGUGUGAUGGAUGCUGUGUUUGAGGGGUGCUGUGUGUGAUGAUGCUGUGUAUGAUGUGUUUAAGGGUGCUGUAUGUGGGUGCUGUGUGUGAGGGUGCUGAAUGGGAUGUGUGUGAGGGUGCUGAGUGUGAUGUGUGUGAGACUGCUGAGUGUGAUAGUGCUGAGUGUGAUAUGUGUGAGGGUGCUGAGUAUGAUGUGUGUGAGAGUGCUGUGUGAUGUGUGUGAGACUGCUGAGUGUUAUGUGUGUGAUAGUGCCGAGUGUGCCGUGUGUGAGAGUGCUGAGUGUGUGAGAGUGCUGAGUGUGUGAGAGUGCUGAGUGUGAGAGUGCUGAGAGUGUGUGAGAGUGCUGAGUGUGAGAGUGCUGAGUGUGAGAGUGUGUGAGAGUGCAGAGUGUGUGAGAGUGCUGAGUGUGAGAGUGCUGAGUGUAAGUGCUGAGUGUGAGAGUGUGUGAGAGUUCUGAGUGCUGAGAGUGUGUGAGAGUGCUGAGUGUGAGAGUGUGUGAGAGUGCUGAGUGUGAGAGUGUGUGAGAGUGCUGAGUGUGAGAGUGCUGAGUGUGAGAGUGCUGAGUGUGAUGUGUGUGAAUGUUAAAAGUGAUUGUGUGUUGGGAGGGUAAAAAAAACAACAACAAAAAUGCAUUAUAUCUUCCCCCCUUACCUUUAGCCUGGGAGGGGUCCGGCACGGUGGUAUCUGGGAGGGGGGGGCGGCACUCAUCAUCCCUGGUGGUCCAGUGGUUAGUGAACUCCAGCCUGCGGGCUAGAGUUCACUCUCGCGAGAUCCGGUCGUUGCCAUGGCAACGCUCCGGAUCUCGCGAGAGGAACCCGGCGGAGCUGCAAGAUAGAGCUCCUCUGGGUCCUCUCCCUCCCCAGCCGCAGGUCUGUUUAAAUGGGCCGGUGAGGGAGAUCUUUGAUCUCCCCACCGGCCCUCCAUGGCAAACAGCGGGGCCGGCGCUCGGAUAGUGCCGGCCCUGCAUAGACCAGCAGGGGAGAUCCUGAGACCUCCUCGGCCCAUGGCCACCACGGCCCACCGGGCAUUUGCCCGGUGUGCCCGAUGGCCAGUCCGGGCCUGUAUGUUUCUAUAUAAAUACAAUACUCAAAUGUAUAUCUUUGUCUGUUUUUCACAAAAACAAGUAUAAUUUCAUAGUAAUUAAAAAUUUCAGUGUUUUUUGCUACAUUUAUUGCAUAUUUCAAAGGCAGUUAUCAAUAAUUCUGUUUUGCAAUCUUUGUGCAGCUUUUUACAUUGAACUUAAAAACAAGUUAAUUUAAUGAAAUAGAACAAAAUGAAAAAGGAUGGGGAAGGAAGGGGGUGAAGGUCCACUGCAAUGAGAUGUUAAUGUCACAUGCACAGAAAGCGAGAUUAAGUUGAAGUUGUGUAUUUCCACCAAGGGUCCCAGGUCUUCUGGAAUGAAGGCAGUGAGUUAUACACCCUGUUCCAAAUUAUUAUGCAAAUGCUAUUUUUCUCAUUUACCUAAAUAAUUGAUGUAAGUAACAGUCAGCAUAAUUUCAAUCAACUAUUAAGAGUGCAAUUCAAAUUUUAUUGAACAAACCUCCUAAUGAGAACAUUAUUUUUUUUAAACAUAAAAAAACUUACAAUGCACUGUUCAAAAUUAUUACGCACAGUAAGUUUCAAGACACUUUAUAGGUUGUAAAGAACUGCAAAUUGUCAUUUGAUGUGUUUUCAGCAUAUUUACUGAAAUCAAAAGCUAUUUCAAUCAAACUUAUAACAACAUUUUAACUUUUUAAACAUUUUAACAGGUCACGUUACAUUUUAACAUAGGACCCCUUAUUUGAUAGCAGCUUCACAAGUCUUGCAUCCAUUGAACUUGUGAGUUUUUGACAGUUUCUGCUUGAAUUUGUUUGCAAGAUGUCAGAAUAGCCUCCCAGAGCUGCUGUUUGGAUGUAAACUGCCUCCCACCCUCAUAGAUCUUUUGCUUGAGGAUGCUCCAAAGGUUCUAAAUAGGAUUGAGGUCAGGGGAGGAUGGAGGCCACACCAUGACUUUCUCUCCUUUUAUCCCCAUAGCAGCCAUUGAUGCAGAGGUAUUCUUUGCAGCAUGAGAUGGUGCAUUGUCAUGCAUGAAGAUGAUUUUAGCAUAAAUUCUUCCUUCUGUACCAGGGAAGAAAGUGGUCAGUCAGAAACUCCACAUACUUUGCAGAGGUCAUCUUUACACCUUCAGGGACCCUAAAUGGGCCGACCAGCUCUCUUCCCAUGAUUCCGGCGCAAAACAUGACUCCACCACCGCCUUGCUGACGUCGCAGCCUUGUUGGAACAGGGUGGCCGUCCACCAACCAUCCACUACUCCAUCCAUCUGGACCAUCCAGGGUUGCACGGCACUCAUCAGUGAACAGGACUGUUUGAAAAUUAGUCUUCAUGUAUUUUUCUGCCCAAUGCAGCCAUUUCUGCUUGUGAGUAUUGGUUAGUGGUGGCCGAAUAGAAGGUUUAUGCACAGUUGCAAGACUCUCGAGGACUCUACACCUUGAUGUCCGUGGGACUCCAGAGGCACCAGCAGCUCCAAAUAACUGUUUGCUGCUAUGUAAUGGUAUUUUAGCAGUUGCUCUCUUGAUCCGAUGCAUGGAUCUGGCAGAAAUCUUCCUCAAUGUGCCUUUAUCUGCACGAACCCAUCUGUGCUCUGAAUCAGCCACAAAUCUCUUAAUAGUUCGCUGAUCACGCUUAAAGGACCACUCUAGGCACCCAGACCACUUCAGCUUAAUGAAGUGGUCUGGGUGCCAGGUCCAGCUAGGAUUAACCCUUUUUUUUAUAAACAUAGCAGUUUCAGAGAUCAUAGGCACUCUUAACUGUUGUCUCCAGCAGUGAUGUCCACUCUCCCUGGCAGCAUCUGGCUUCUGAAUUUUCUGAUUCAGGAAGUGUGGAGUACCACUGGGCAGGGGCACCUCUGAUAGACUUAGAGCAGUCAGUUCAUGCUCUCAGACAGUCAGAGACUUCCCAUUCACAAAACUGGCUUCUCUUCAGCACUGUAUGGCUCUGCUGCUGUUAAACUACUUUUAGUUUCUUCAAACAGGAAACCUUGGACUGUGGCAGAUAGGGGUGCCGCUCAUUGGUCAAUCAGCAGCUCCUAGCACCAUAACUUCCCUUUUAUGAAGCUAUCAUGGUUCCCAGAGUGUUCAUUUAAUGUCCUUUGUACAUCACAGAGGAUUCUCUUGUGACAUGUAACAGACCCUCUCAUACAUGCAUUUUACUGUCCCACAACAUGAGGGUCAAAGUAUACACCCAACGUCAGUAAACUUCUUCACGACUUUCCAAGUCCAUUCAUUCCACAUGUCAUUUACACCCAUUGCAUCCCCAUGUGAACUUAAAGAAGCACUAUAGUCACCAGAACAACUACAGCUUAUUGAAUUUGUUCUGGUGAGUAGAAUCAUUACCUUCAGGCAUUUUGCUGUAAAUACUGUCUUUUCAGAGAAGAUGCAGUGUUUACAUUACAGCCUAGUGAUAACUUCACUGGCCACUCCUCAGAUAGCUGUUAGAGAUCCUUCCUGGGUCAUGGCUGCCUAAAAUGCAUCCAAACAUUCAGUGUCUCCUCCCUCUGUAUGCAGACACUGAACUUUCCUCGUAGAGAUUCAUUGAUUCAAUUAAUCUCUAUGAGGAGAUGCUGAUUGGGGCUGUGUUUGAAUUGUGCUGGCUCUGCCCCUGAUCUGUCUCAGCCAAUUCUAUGGGGAAGCACUCUGAUUGGAUCAGGCUACCAUUUCUGAUGAUGUCAGCAGACUGCUUGUUUUUUUGAGGCAAACAGCAUGCAGAUCUACAGCUUCAGGAUUGAAUACAGUAAGAUUUUCCUAUAUUUAUGGAGGCAUGAGUGGCCCAGGGGGGCUAGAUGGUGGUUUUAACACUAUAGGGUCAGGAAUACAUGUUUGUGUUCCUGACCCUAUAGUGAUCCUUUAACCUUCUCAAUAGACCUAAUUUUGUGUCAUAUCAGAUUAGUAAUUGUGUAGAGGAAAACGGUUACCUCACUAACUCUCACUACUGUGUAAACUGAAACAGGUCUUGCAUGAAACAGAUGUUACACAUUUCUGUCACAGUGUUUUGAUCAUGCUACAUUCGGUUAGUUCUGCUUUGUCUGUUCACUUUGAUAACUUUUUCAAUUACUUUUCUAGGAGGGGAGGGUCGGACCUUGGCAUAGUAACUGAAUGUAAUAUGGUUGGCCUCUGUUUGCAGCAAGCUAUCCUCGAUGGAGAAUCUUUACAGAAACCCAGGU